AUAUAUGUGUGUGUGUGUGUGUGUGUGCAAUUUAUAUGAAAAACUAUAUAUAUAAUUCAUCAUAAGGAAGGUUGUAGUGUGCUGACAUGGUGCUGGUAAAACCAGAAAGUAUGAUAUCCAUGAGGUGUACAAAGAAAGAAAAGUGUGUAUGAAGUCGAUCAUAAUAUUUGAGGGCCAACUACUUGUAUAUGGAAACAACCCUAACUAUUACAGCUUUGCAUUGUCACAAAUGUGAUCCUGAAUAUAUCAGACAGCUUAAAAAUUAUCUGUUCACCCACAUUGGCUCCUCUCCAUCCGAAGAUCUCCAAACUUUAUUAGAUCCUUAUACUUCCUUAGUGGCAGCAAUUUGUUGCGCCGUUGAUAUGGUAAUGAAUGAUAUGUGGAAUGUGCCUAAUUUUGUAGUUUUCCUCUCCCCCAUCAGGUGUCAAUCGUUCUGCAUGAUCAUUCAUCAAAGGCAGCAAGUCUAACUGCUCAAGUGUAGUGAGAAACUGCAAGCCUUCAGGUAACGUCUUCAGCCCACAAGCAACAGUGCAAGUGGAGGAUAUUCAUAGAAUCUGAGUAUUCUAGUUGGUGAAGACAGAAUUCUCAAAGAGAUGAAGACAGAGUUCUCAAAGAGAUGGAGACAGAAUUCUAGUUGGAGUAUUCAGGUAACGCCUCCAUUUGGUGAAGACAGAAUUCUCGAAGAGGAUUGGGGACCUGGGGACCUGCAAUUUAGUUCCUGUGUAAGGGCGGUCAUCAUAUACUUGCAGCAAGCCCUGGUUGAUCAAUUCAUUUAUAUUUUCUUCUGCUAGUUCCUCCAUAAUCUGCCCUGCUUUCUCUUGAACCAGUCCUUCAGCCACUAGUAACCGAAUAAGUUUCCCUUUGGAAAUCCAGUGGUUCUCGGGGAAGAUGGAACAAUAUAUCAAGCAGUGGUAAAGAGAAUCAGGUAAAUCUCUACAACAUAUUUUUUAUGGCAUACAUGAAGAAGCCCAUGAGCGGUAGGUCUCGGGUUCGAGACUUGGGAGCAGCCUCUCCAUAAAUGGGGGUAAGGCUAGCCGACAUUCAUCUCUCCCAGACCCUGCGUAAAGCGGGAGCCUUAUGCACUGGGUACGACCUUUUUUUUAUACAUGAAGAAGAAGCUGAUGUCUCAGCUUCUUCAUUGUCUUGGGAGUCUUUAUUUUCUUCCAUCUCAAAUUCAAUGGUAUUUGAACUAGCCAUAGAGAUCUACCAACUGUGUUUUGCAUUUGCAUACAGAAGAGAAAUAUAGCAAUAUUUAUGGGUUAGAGAUUAUGUCAUACGGUAUAUAUGCUUUGCAGUUUGAUCCUUGUUUGCAUUUCCUUCAAGCCUGUCGUAGUGUUGUGGUCUUGUAGUCCAUUUCUUAGAAAGCUUCAGGAUGUGACUUCGUGGUGGAAAUAGAGGCUUAUAGUUUGUGAUGGUUGAGCUUUGUAUCGAAGCAGCCUGCAGCGGAAGAGAUGAUGAAGAAGCUGAUGUCUCAACUUCUUAGUUCUCUUCGAAGUUUUUGUUUUCUUGUCUCUCCUUCGAUGGUAUUUGAACUUAGCCAUAUGGUGUUCUACAAAUGUGUUGAUAGCUUAUGCAGCUUGAUGCGACUCUGAGAUGGUAGCAGAUGCAAAUUUGUGAUGGUUAAGCUUUGUAAAAUCACAUUUAAUAUAAAAUUUCAAUACAAUAAAAAUAAAACAUGAUUUUAAUUGAUAUGGGAUGAGGAUGGAGAUGAAUGAUAAUGAUGGUAUGUACUACCAAAAUUACUCUUUAUUUUAUGUUAUUUUUUUUAUUGAUUUCUUUUGUUACUUUGUGCUUGGUUCAAAUGAAAACUUAAUUAUGGCGCUAGGGCGACAAUCAUUUUUUUAUUGAUUUCUUUUGUUACUUUGUGCUUGGUUCUUUUUUUAAAUCAUUAAAAAUUGAUUCUAACUAUCAACUGCCUUAUUAUACGGUUUACAAAAUAUAGUCUAAGAAUAUGGUUUUCCAAACCUUUCCCCUCCCCCAUAAAUUGUGUUACAAAUUUAAACACCAUUUUCUCCGCAUUUAGACCGUUUCAAACAAGCAUUGACGCCUCUCGUUCAUAAUUAACGAGAAUCUAAUGUGAAAAAAAAAAAGUUCAGGUGCCUAUAUCAAAAUGCAUAUUUAAUUUGGAAUGUGCCCCUUGAAAUUGUUACAGAGAAAUGCUAAUGAGACUCUUUCAAAAGUGGGAUUAGUUAUAGACUCUCUGUUACCUUAUGUUUUUUACACAAUGUUUUAAAAUGUUGACUCAAAAAAUUAACGUUAAAUUAUACCGUGACAUGGAGUCCACGAAGGGUACAACUUUUGAGAAAGUCCUUACAUUUCUCAUUCUUAGAUAUUUUUCUUUAUGACUUGUAUCCUUUCAUAGGGUAUGUCCGGCAUACCAAGCUUGGAAACCAUUAAAGCACCCAUUUACGGGGAGGAGAUGGGCUAAACCUCAUAAUGGGGUAACAAUAAUGUAGUUUAAUUUUUCUUUUGGCAAGAAUCGAAUAUAAAAUUUCUCACUUAUAAGUGAAAAUGAAUACCACUAAACUGUAGUACCAAGUGACAAAAAUUUCAUACUCCUGGCUCUUCUUAAACAUGUUUAGGGUUGGGGGAGGUGUGGGGGUCUUUAUAUAAGGAUCUUUACUAGUAAACCCUUUAGCCACGAGUACAAUUUUGGUCAUAAAUAAUACUGAACAGACGACAGUUGCUCAUGAAGCUGCCAUUUCGAUUUGUCAGAAUAUAGAUUAUCCCUAAAUAUCGUCUGUGUUGGGUAGUGAUAAACACUACGUAAUUAAGAUCUUGAAGCGCUUGUUCGCGAAAACUUCAAUUUUAGCCGCAAAUGCCAAGUUUAAAUAUAUGAAGGGAUAUGGGUAUGUGAAAUUCAAGCUCUUCAUAUUAAUGACUAAAACUAGUCUAUAAUAGAGUGCGUGUUAAGAAAAAUGCUAAUGAUUCUCUAUGAAUUAUCUAGCACUUCACAAUUUAACAUUAAUUAUCGUGCUAAUAUUAUAAGAGAACUAUUAUUAGCAUUCUAAUAAUCUCAUUUUACACUCUUCGCAAAUGUAUUUUCUUUCUAAAAUCGGUAUAACAAGGCUAAAAAAUAGUAGAAGUAAGGAAUAAUGAAAAAAUGAAAGAAAUGGGAGAACGGAGAUCGAUCCCGGUCGAAACUAGGGUCGGCGCCACCGAUUUUGCUCAAAUUUGGAGGCCUCACACGAAGAUGUGAGAAAUACUCUCAUAAAUAGAGAAAGACUCUCACUCGAGAGAGAACCCGAAGCUUCCAACUUUUGAUGUGAUGUUUGUGUAUAAUUUCCAAACAAAACUUUUGGCAACCCUUCUUCUGCCAAUCCAUAAUUAAUUUUCUAAAUUCAUUAUUUAUCGUUGCAUUUUUCACAAGGAAUCCAAUGAUCUCGUAUCAAUAUUAGUUCCAACACGUAUUUGAGCAUACAUCGCAAUCCAUAAUAUAUUGAAACAAUUGCAUUAACAGAGAAAACAUGUAAGAGCUGGAAUAAUUAAACUAAUCAGGGAGGAAUUAUGAAAAUGAUCAUAGGAGCCAGAACCCAUUAUCCACGAUUCUGAAUUAAACUAGUCAAGGAAUUAAGAAAAUGAUCAUAAGAGUUGGAACCUAUUAUCAACGAUCACAUUCCAAAUUAAACUAAUCAAGGAAAUAUGAAAAUGAUUAUUGGAGCCAGAACUCAUUAUCCAUGAUUUCGGAUUAAACUAAUGAGGGAAUUAUAAAAAUGAUCAUAGGAGCCAAAACCCAUUAUCACAAUUCCGAAUUAAACUAAUCAGGUUAUUAUAAAAAGAGAAAUUUUAUUUGAACCCAUAUAACAUCUUUCUACGCUCAACUUAAAUUUUAAAUAUGAGGUGUCCUUUUUAACCUAUUACAUAAUUACUAUAAAGUACAAGAUGUAAUUAACAAUAAAACUAAAUUUUAUUAACAAACCCACACCCAAUACUUUCACCAAUCCUUCUUCUACGAAACUUGAAAAGAGACAAAGAAAUUAGAUCAGUGACUGAAAGCCUCACAUAAAAAUCACAAGUACAUGAAGGCAUAUACCACUUCCCAAUCCAUCCUAUAGAAAACUGAGGCAAUCACACCAACGUCAAGGCAAAGAAGACAGAAGAUGGAGAUUGUGUACUAGUUAAAAUUGGUUAGGCACAAAACCAGAUAGCAUGAUAUUUAUGUAAAUAUUCAUAUAACUAAAUUCAAAUGGCAAAGAGCAUAGGCACCUAUAGAAAAAUUAUGGGUUAUUGCUAAAAAGUGGUAACAAGUCAAAGGAAAAAUACGUAAACUUUUGGAUAGCGAUAUUGGACACUCAUUUUAAGUGUUUUGCACUCAAAGGAAGGAGUGCAAGAGAUUCAAUCGAGCGUGAAAAUCACUAGCCAAAUUUUUUUCGAACAAUGUAACAAAGAUUUAAAGCCGAAUGUCAAUAGAAAAGCUGUAAUCACCAAAAAGGAUACAAUGAAGAGAGUAAAAUUGCUGAUGGAAUUGGCAACAAUAUGACCGCAAAGGGUGCUGAGGCGGACAUCAAUUACCAUACCUAAACGUGUAUAUAUAAACCUGUCAAACAAAAUAACAACUGAUGAUUUUCUAACAAAUGCAAAAUAUAACAAGAUUAAAGAAAAACUGCAAGUAGCUAAGUCUCGAAAUCAAACUCAGUAAAAACUAAAAUUAAGGAAUGCAUAAAUCAGAAUCUAAAUCAUAUUGAUUUGGUUAUUCUGCAAGAGAAAAAGUUAUCACAAAUUCAACAAGUUAGUAAUAUAGGUGUAAAGAUAAAUUUACAUAUUGAAUUGGGUUUGUGGGGGUAGUUUAUAUAGUAAAUUUGGGUUUAAAAAGAUAUUGAUAGCUUAAUUAAAAAGUUAUGUGGAAAGAGACUAUAUGGAUUCAAAUAAAAUUUUCUUGAUGAAAAUGAUCAUAAGAGCUGGAACCCAUUAUCCACGAUUCCACAGUGGAAGAAAAUGAUCAUAAGAGCAGGAACCCAUUAUCCACCCAUUAUCCACGAUUCCACAGUGGAAGAAAAUGAUCAUAAGAGCAGGAACCCAUUAUCCACGAUUCCACAGUGAAAGACUUGUCAACCUUUUGAAAGUCCAAUUAGAAACUUUAAUCCAAACCCCUGCAAAUAAGUUAGGGUGACUCGAGAAAACUUAAAACAAAAAUACGUAGAGUGUGAACCAAGGUUCAUAGGCAGAUCAAAGUCAAAUCAAAGUCAAAUCAAAGUCUAUAAAUCUUGCGUACCCUUUGCACUAUCAUUCAUCUCCACCUUCACCCAUAAAAAAUAAAUUAAGGAAGGAAUUUGUUCCGGCACCGCCGCUGGGGGCUUGAAAUUUGGGGGCCGAAGCGAUCGCAAAAUGGAGCCCUACAUAUGAGCAACCGUCAUAAAAAGUUUCUAAUUUCUUUGCUUUUUUCUCACUUUAUUCUCGCAGAUAAUUAACUUAGAAAAGACUUUAUUCGUAGAUAAUUAACCAAGAAAAAAUUAUGCAAAUGACAUAUUGGUAAAAAAAGGACUCUCGUAUUGAGGAGUCUUACGCGACUUGUGACGAGUUACUUGUCACACUACACAUGGGUGAUUGUACUAAAUUGAGGUGUAUGGUAUAUAGAAAUUCUAAUUUGUAAUCAAGUUUUAAUUUCAAUGACGUUAAAGUUUAAUAAAAAAUUGUCAUGCGUUUAAAAUUACACUAUUUUCAAUAAACAAAUGAAGAAUCUCUUGUAUGGUAGAGAAUAAAUGAAAAGAGUGGAUGACGCAGAAUAAAACGAUGUAAGGGUUAUCAACGUAAUCCAUUGCACAACAAAAUCUAGAAAUCCAUCAGAAAAUUGAAUGAAAUCCCAAAGGGUUUUUGUUUGAUUAAUUCUUGAAUGAUUGUCAUUGACACAUCCAGAUGACUUAAAUAAAGAUUACAAAUGUUUGGAACAACUCAAAUGACUUCUAAUAAUUACAACAACAUUAGUUAAACAUUAAUCGGACUACAAACGAAGAGUCCGAUUUUUAUUUCGAAACUUUAAACGCUAUUUUGAAGGUUGAAAUGAACCCAGAUGACCAAAAUCCAUCAAACAUCGAGGCCUAAGCAGUGUGUUGGACUUGUGGCACCAUUGUUUUUUUGGAAAGUUAUCACGGGCCAAAUCGAGUCUUGAAUAUUCAAAUAUUACUGUCCCUUUAUCUUUCCACGGUUCAUUUCCUAUUCUACAUCAAUGGACGACUCAAGGGUCCUCCCUUUGAUAGUCCAAUUAGAAACAUAAGCAUAUAUUGACCCAAAAGGAAGAAAGAAACAGAAGCAUAUAAUUAUUGUCCAAACCCCUGCAAGCUAAAGUCUAUAAAUCUUGCCUUCCCUUUGCACUAUCAUUCAUCUCCACGUUGUGGUGAAAGGAUUUUCGAAGUUAUUGUUUCUGCUUCCGAAGAUGAAUGGUUCUUCAGCAAAGCUGGUGGCAAUUACAACACUAGUGUUGCUUCUAAUGGGGGAUUUCCAAGUAACUUGUGGACCACUGCCUCAUGGUAUAAUAAUAAUUAUCUUCCUUUUAUAAGAUAUCCAAGCAUUAGUAUUAGCUACUUAAAUCGACUUAGUUUUUACCAAUUUUAUUAUUUGGUAACUAAUUUCUUGCUUCUUGUGAUUUUCUCAUGUAAUUGAACAAGGUUGCUUUGAAUGCCAAAGUGAUAUUUUGAGCACGAAAGUGGUGCCCGAUCGCCGCAGUCUAAGACCAUUCAAAAGGCCGCCACCUCCACCUGCUCGCAAUCCGCGAUGGAUUUGGAGUGUCCCCCCAACUCCAAAUCAACUGCAAUCGCAUAUCCACCGAUCCUCCCCACCAACUCCAGAAACUCCAAAUAAGGCUUGACACACCCACCCCACCACACCCCCCGGGGGGGGGGGGCGGCAAACCCCUGAGGAACAUCCGGGGGACCGCAUAGUUCCUAUUUUCUUGUAUUUUUAUUUGUUUUCUUAAGAAGAGUCAAGUUUAUCUCUUUAUUGUAUUUUUUUACCUUAUUAUUUCUUCUUAUAUAAUGAGCUAAACUUUAUGUCCCCUUAACUAAAUGCAACUUCUUUUUUCUAAUUCUAUAAAAUUUCUCUUAUGCAGUCGAGGUUUCUUUAAAAAAAAUGGAACAAACCAACCAACCAACCAACCAACCAUGAAACUAAGAAACAGAAAAUUAAGCCAUAAUAUUCAAGCAAGAUGACCGAUAGAUAUAAUUGAAUUCUAUUAACAUUCAUCAAUGCAAUUGAAUAAUAAAAUAAAAAAAUUGAAUUCAAAGAACGUCAAAUUUCAACCAAAGAGAAAAAAGGACACAUCCAAUUUAUUAAGCAAAGAUUUCAAUCGAUAGGUGAUGAGUCGAUAUUAUUCUAUAUUUUUACCCUAAUCUUAGUUAUAACUAGAAAAUACGCCCGAGCGUUGCUGCGGGAACCAGCUGUUUCAGGCGUAAUCGGAUGAAUAAAACACAUUUAAAUUGAAUAAGAAUGUCCCCAUGAUUAGUUUCUCGUUUAUUUUUCACAAACCAAACACAUUUAAAAUCCAAGUACGAAAGCUUUGCAAAGAUAAAUAAACAUGCAAUUAGGGCACAUAAUCGUAUACCUAAAAAUAGCAAGGAACCAACUUCUUCCUCCCACAACCAGAGUUCCUGAAAUUUCCAAAGAAAGUAAAUCCGUUGGCAAUUCAGAGAAAUUGGAGGACCAAAUCGUAUUAAAUUUGAGAUAAAUGUGCAAAGGUACACCUAUUAAAUGAGAUACUAAACACAUUUCGAAUCUGUGAAAUAGAAGAACAAGCAUGUUAAGACUCCCAAGAUGGUUUGUUGAGCACAAUAAUAUAGGUUAAUAAAGGUAAAUCCCAAUCCAAAUCUCCAACCUUUUAACCCAAAAUGAAAACAAAAAGCAUGGAACAUAUAUUUCAGUUUUAUUAUUAGAUUUUCUAAAUCCUCAAUUUGAAUGUGUUGUAAAGAUAAUACCAUCAACUAAGGGUGGCAAUCUGACCAUCGUUGUGCAUGUCAUGUCGGCUCUAUGCAACUGAAUAUAUAAAAUUUAAGCAGCCCCAGACAGUCUCCUAAGCAUCUACAAACCGUUAACAUUAUUUCCCCAAUCUUAUUUCCCAAUUUUAUUAAAUGUUGCAGAAACGAUCACAAUUUACUCCCUUCCGAUUUCCACCUAACUCCGAACAAACAAUAUUGAUAAAUCUUUAUCAUCACCCUUAACAAAACAAAUUAUAGCGAAAAGAAAAAAAAAUUCCUAUGAAAACAAAUUCUUCUGGAUGUCCAGCUCUACCCAUCUAUGGGAAGGCAAGCAAUCGGACGUACAUUCAGACCAAGCAAAAUAAAUUUUACAAUUUAUCAAAACAGCAACCGAUUCUCCCGAAUAGAACACACACAUAGCAACAUAUUAUUCACCAUAUUCUAUGCUUUCAUUUUCGUUCUCUCUUUAGUUAUCUAAACUUAUAAUUAUCAAAACAACAAUAGAAUCAUAGAGAAACCUUCAAUCAUUUAUCAAAACUGAAUUAAUUAAACUUCUGCUCAGCAGUCCGUUAAUUUUAAUUGCAACUCAUUCUAAAAAUUAAAAAAAUUGCAUUUGAAUAAUCAAAUGCACUUACACAUUACAUUCCUUUUAUUGGUUCUUGACACAAUACAUUUUAGGAUUGAUGUUACAAUAAUAUCACUGCAAACUUGCACACAAAUGUUUGACUGAAUUCAGAACCACUUAAUUCAAUAUAAAAAAUUACCUCACAUGCUUGCUCCCCUUUUUCUCUCGCAUCGUCGGCUCCGCUUCUAAACGGUUAAUGAAGUCCUAAAAACAGAAAAACAAAAAACAUUUACCAAUCCAACAUUUCAACAUAUGGUUUUGGCAGGUAUAACAUUUCAACAUAAGCAUGAUAUAGAAAGACAGAAAUCCACAUGUCAGUUUGCUUUUUCAGAACCAACAGAAAGGGCAACUACAAGAGAAUGUAACCAAUUUUAAACAGUAAAUCAAUCUCCCAAUAAAGGAGAACAUAAGCAUGACAUACAACGAUCGAAGGGAAAAUUUAAUUUGGUUUCCUCAAAAGCAACGCAAAUCAAAUUGAACAAAGUGAAAACCGGAUAGACAAAGAUUAGAAAUUUGCUUGCAUCUCUAUCAUAUCCCGCAUUUCCUUUACAAAAUAAACAAUCAUGAAUACAGAGCACAUGAAAAUCAGCAAACCAAAAAAACCCUAUUUUUUAUCAUGUCGAACAAUCACGAAUGUAGAAAAUUAUACAAAACAGUCCCUAAUUUUGACUACGGACUUUAUAUACACAACGGCCUAAAACAACACAAAAUUUAAUCAAUUCCAUCCAAAUUCAAUAUUAUGCAUCAAAGAAAACAAUCUAUCUAUUCCUAAACCAAAAUGAUCACACAAGACAAAUUUUCCAAAUUCCGAAACAGCAAUUCAAUCUGUCAAUUCCUAAACAAAUUCUCAUAAUAACAAUCCCAACUUUAUUAUUGACAAUAUACCUUCAUCGUGCACUGAAAGAUGCCAAAUUCUAUUACCAAGGAGAACAAACUUUUUCUAAUGUUUAGGCAUGGGUGGCAUGUCUGAGCAUCUGUGCAAUCCACACACACACACACAUAUUACCACUUAUAUACAUAUAUAUUUUAUCACUGAUUGAAUAUAGCAAGGCUAGUCAGAAGGUAAAGCUAAAAGCAAUGAAGAUCAAAGAACAUUGAGAUGCACUCUGAAAGUAAGAGUUAUAGUAAAAUCCAUGCUAAAAUAAACAGCAGAUAAUCACAUGAAUUUAAGCAACAAAAAAAAAAAAAAGGAACCAAAAGAAACAGAAAAGUACCUGAAGACAUUCAAGCCAUCGAAUAUAGUUUUACUGAGAAAUUGAAAGGAUUUCCGGGUUCGGGAUCGUGAAGCUUAGCAAGCAGGCAUGGCUUUCAGAAGGAUGGGUCGGAAAACUGAUUGAUUUGGACACCCGGAACUGAGCUGAGCUGAGCUGAAAUGGAGGUGGGGUGGUCAGUUGUGGGGGUGUGUGUGUGAGUGUGUGUGUGUUCAGUAGAACUGCUUUGUGCUUUUUGGCUGGUGGAUAUAGUGGACGAAACAGAGAAAUCUAGGGAGGAAACAGUGCAUUACCUGUUGAAUCAAACGCCAAAAGCAAUUGAGAGGCUUCCUAGAUCAUAAAUUUUGUCAAAGAUGUUUUCAGAAUGUAUACUAUGUGGAAUAAUGGUAAUUAAAAUUUACCUUAACACUGCCUUUAAGAAAAUUGGCUUCUUGGAGAGUUUUUGGUUCAACCUGAAUAGAAAACCAACAAAAAUUACCAUCAUCGAACAUGAAAUUGAAUCAUUACAAAAUGAAUUUAGUAGUAAGAUCAUCAAACAUGAUGCUUUCUAGACCAAAUACAUUGACAAAGUACUUGAUGGUCAAUCAUUUUUUAAAUUCCGUUUAAAAGCAAAAGUAUAAAAGUGACCUUACUCUUACUUAUCUAAACUAAGUCUUUAUAGUGAUGUUAAUACCUGUUCCAAUUAUUCUUGCUGAUUGAAGAAACAGCCUGAAGCACAUCUUUAUUGUUAGAACACAAACCACCAGGUAUGAAAUAGUGUAUUCAGUUUUCUCAUUUGCCUGAAUAAGAUAAUAUAGAACUAAGGUUAGGAAGCAUAACACAGGAGAAGAAAACUGUAAAAUCAAACAGUGGAUUUACUUUUCUUAUUUCCCCUCCACUACAGCCGCACCAUCAACACUACUAAAAUCUGGGUUUGAUGAACUUACUGGGUCCAUCUGGUAGGACAAAAAAAUUUGAAUUUACCAUUGUGGCAUGGAUGAAUGCAAAAGCAUUCCAAAAUUUUUUCCCAACUUUUAAAAUUAAUUAGUAAGAUUGUGAAUUUGACUUGAAUGGCUUCAGCUGGAGCUAAGUAAGCUUACAGUGGGUGAAUAAAAGGGUUAAAGACACUUUGCAAAAAAUAUAAAAAGGGUUAAAGACAUUGCAAUUCAGCUUCAUACCAAACAAUAGACAAAGCACGAUAGCAUGUUGCAAACUAAUUGUUCAAUCAAAUUGAAAGGAAAAGUUGCAGGACAAAGAUAUUCACCUAUCAAAGCAGCAAAUCCCACAAACCCACAUUCACAAAUACAUAUUUCACUACAAGAAAGAGACUGCACUACUCUCGUCUUAAACACAAACCUCUUCAUCAACUAUCACAAAUAAGCCAUUGUAAGGACUAUUUCCACAUCACAAUAAAAAUAAAGUACAUGAAGUAAAGCUCAUAUUUUUAGCAGAGGUAUUUUAACAAUUCUGCAAGUGAUUGAUUGGCCAGGUAGGGAGAGUAAUUCUCUUAGCCCCACUGCAUCCCGGGUUCAAAGUUCUAACCAACCCCUGUCCCCUUGGUGUAGUUUUCAGGAUAAAUACCACGUUUUAAUAACUAAAAACAUCAAUUCUGAUCAUCCCUACCAGUUUAAGCACGCUAAACACCAAAUUUAAUAUGGUCUUGUCUUAGGUCACCCAACCCCUUAUACAAAACCCAAGAUUAAGUUCCUAACGGAAACAUUACCUGUUUUAGAUUUUCCCAUAGCUGGCUGUACAACAACACACAUCACGACAAUUCCUCAACCAAUCCAACCAAAGGUAAUUUACACUGACCCACUGUCAUGUUGUUCUCCAAAAUCUUGCCAAAACUCAUCAGUUCCCCUUCAUUCGGCAUCAUCUGCGUCAGUCUUGCCUACAAAACAAUCAAAACGCCAGAAUAAAAAACAAAUUCUUUCAGAAAAAUCAAAGAAAUUCAAUCAGGUCAUCAAUCAAUUAAGUACCUAAUUCCCCUGGAUGUCUUGAAUAAAUAUAACACUCCAACAUAAAUUAACUACCCAAUAUUAAUUUUUCCUGUUUCUUUCUUAUUCUCGGGAAAGAAACAAACCCAAAAACAAAUAAUUGAAGAAAACAUACAGAAAAUAUUGGGGAGGAGUAACAUACAAUCUGCUGAAUUCUUCUUCGCUUUGCAGAUAAGAGAUGGUGGCCGAACUAAACUGCGAAAAAGAGAGAUUCAGAGUAAGAAUUUGAGGUGAAAACAAAUGGACACAGGGAAAUGAACUUAACCUGCGACGACAUAAUGGAUUUAAUCUAUGACAGUGCAGUGCACUUAAUCUGUGGCAGAUUCACACACAAACAAAAAUGCAUUUAGACUUAAUUUUAAAAAAAAAAUGCACUACAUAAACACCACCAUUGAGCUACUCAACACUACAAUUUUCUUUUCCUUUUCCCCCAUUUUUCUCAGCCACCAACCAAAGGGUAAGCUUCAAAAUGUCAAUUUUCAUUUCCUUUCCUACACCUGCCCUAAGCAUCCCUAAAAUGACAUAUAUAAACUCAAGCUUUGAUAGUUAAAUGUUAAGGAUCAGCAAUGAUCAUAUUGACCCUUUUUAAAUAAGUUUAUCAAACCUCAGCUAUAAACUGGGACAUCAUGUACUUAAACAGCUCCGGUUCUGUAAAUCGGACUUCUUGAAGAAUGUAGUGGAUCUACAAUAACAUUACAUGAACCUUUAUCUAUUAUCUGCCAAACCACUCAUUGAGCACCAAAAGAAAUGGUGAUAUUAAUAUAGAAGAUAAGGAUAAAAAAAAAUAGUGAGUAAUGACACGCCAAUUACAUGUCCAGACACCUCCCCCCGUGCGAAAGCAAGUAAAAGUGAAACUAUAAUAUAGGUUUCUUUGUGAAAAGAACUUGUAUAAACAUAGGCAUCUUCAAUUAAUUUAAAUAAGCAAGAGAUGGGUGAACUGGGCUGGUAGGAUCAGCAGCUUAGUUUUCAUUUACAUUCAAUUCAGCUGACAUCAAGACCCAUUGUACAAUUAACUGGAUGACCUUAAACGUUUCUGAUCACAAAAGUUGUGAUCGCCAAAAAUACUGUGUUUGUAUAAGAAACAGAAGCAGCAAUCGACAUGCAGAUCUUCAAAAGAAUACUAAAAAAUAAAGGAAUAACAAACAACAUUUGAGUUUCCAUGUCCCAUUUGACCAAAAAUCUAAGGACGUGCUUAAUGUAAAAGAGAUUUUUCGGACCAACUUACAAAAUACUUGGAUGAACUAAUAAAUCCCAGUUUUGGGAGUAAAAGAUAUGAAUUCACAUUUAACAAUUGUAACAUAUAUUGCAUGUACCAGAAAUCAUUUUAAUUAAUUUCCAGAGAGGGUUUAGGGUAUGUAGAAAUGGAAACAGUUGUUAACAAACACUGUAGCUUCAAAAGAAUACCAAAAAAAAAUAAAAAUAAAGGAAUAACAAACAGCAUUCGAGGUACAUCACAAAUGAAACUGGCCUCUCACCGUGAGACUUCUUUUUCUCUCAACCGACUCUUCUCUUUUGGCUUCACUGAAAAUACCAAAAAAAAAAAAUGAGAUUUUAGAAAUAUUUUGAAUCCAACACACACUAAACUCUGAUAACGAUAUACCUUAGUAUACCUACUACAACAUACUAUGACCAACUUCAUUUGUCAUUCCUUUCAAACCCAAAAUAAUAAAAUUCGGGAAGACUUACCUUUCACUUUGUUGAUGCACAAAAUCCCGUGGAUCUUGCGGGUAACGUCACACAUAGAUCAUAUAAAUAUACAAUAAUGUAGUACGCCUAGUGAAAUGUGUAUGUGACUAUAAUUUAAUGAAAUUUAAUAAUGUAACAUAGAAUGCAUGUGGUGUGGUUGCCAUAGAUUAAUCUCCUUAGUGGGUUUUCCCAAACUGACCGUGAGACAGUGGAUAAUCAAAUGAAGGCUAGUCCAAAGUUUUAUUCUAAUAUUUAAAUAAUGAAUAAAAUAUUCACAAAAUGAUUAAAGUUAUAUCAUUUUAAAAGGAAGUGGCGACAAUAUCAAAGGGUAAUAAUACUAAAGUUAUGAUAUGAAUGAUUAUGGUUUGAGAUAUGCUGUGUUUCUGGUCAACAUAAUAUUAAAAUAAUAAACAAUGAGCUGGAAAUGAUGAUAACAGUGCUCUUAUCCGUUAUCAUCAUUUCUGAGUUUUUCCAUGGGUUUGACAGUGGGAUAGUGGGUUGUAUUCGUCCCCUUCAUGAUGAAAGUUUCAUCAUAACAUUUAAAUAAUAAAGGUAGUUUAAAUAAUGAAUGUAGUGGUCAUGAAUGAUUAAAGAUAAAUAAUAAAAUAUUAAAUAAACAGUGAUAAUAUUAAACAAAUCAUUUGAGAAAAGAUAAAGUUCUUAUCUUCUUCCAUGUUCUCCUGUGGGUUGGGCAUGAUCAACAGUUGCAGGAUGCAUGACCUGCUCGCGACAAGUUUGUUAGUGCCGACACUAAUUUUUUGACGAGUUAUCUAGCGACAGCAUCGCUUUGGUUGAGUAGUGAUGACAGUUUUGAGUCCCCCAGAAGUAAACUGCAUGGUUCCAGUAGAGCCGCCACGCAACGAGCACCUCUUCCAGCCAAGCAAUCGCCUCGUCAAGAGCAUUGCCUCUAGUCGAGCAGCCUCGCAACGUGUGCUACCUCUAGCCAAGUAUUGCUUGACGUUAAGCACCAUCUCAUGUCGAGUACUAGUUCUGGACGACAUCUAGUCACUUUGGCCUGCCCAUGGAUUGGAUUUGAAGUCUCCAGCCAAAAGACUCUUGACUGAAGACUUAGGUGACUCCUGUUGUACCAUAUAUUGGGCCUCGAUACAUGGGCUUCAUUACUGAGCCCAUAAUUUAUGUAAGAGAAGGAAACCCUUAUUCUAUAAAAGGGAUCCUCCUCACCUUCACUGAAGGGGGACUCAAGAAGAGACAGAGGGGAAAGGAGAGAGCAAACACUACCUCUGUCGCCUCCAUGUAUAUCCAACAUUCAUUUACACAGUGAAACGAAAUCAACGUCAGUGUGGACGUAGCCUCAACUUGAGGUGAACCACGAUAUAUCUUUGUGUUCUUGUACAUUUGUGUGAUUCACAGUCGGUUUUACGGUGGUCGAAGAUCGAUCCGAUUUUGUGCAUCAACAUUUGGCGCCGUUUGUGGGAAUCGAUACGAAAUGCUAUGUAGGAAACCCUUAUUCUAUAAAAGGGAUCCUCUUCACCUUUACUAAGGGGGGACUCAAGAAGAGAGAAAGAGAAAACAAGAGAGCAGACACUGCCUCUAGUGUCUCCAUGUAUAUUCAACAUUCAUUUACAUAGUGAAACGGAAUCAACACCAGUGUAGACGUAGCCUCAACUUGAGGUGAACCACGAUAUAUCUUUGUGUUCUUGUGCGUUUGUGUGAUUCACGGUCGGAUUUACGUUGGUCCAAGAUCCACCGGAUUUUGUGCAUCAACAUUUGGCGCCGUCUGUGGGAAUCGAUACGAAAAGCUAUGUAGAUUCUCUCUACUUUUUUCAUCAAACCUCACAACCUCCACCGUGAAUCUGCAGAAACCUAAGAACCAAACACCUGUACAGUCACUGCAAAACCCAUGUCUUCCGCUCCAGCUCCCGAUCAUGGCAGCAGCAAUGGAAACACAAUCACAGCCUCUCUCUCUUUGUGCGCAGUUGUUGAAGCUCGAAGACGCAACAAUGGCGACGAGGUUGAUACGGAGGGCCAUAGCUUCUGCGGUGGCGUCGGGAUCAACGACGACGGCGUCGUUUCGUUACGCCUGUGUCCGGGCUAUGGCGUCGGAGGCCCAGGCCCAGCAGGUGGACCUCAAAGUCCCGAGACAAAAUGAACAUCAAAACAUUCUCAAUCUACCGGUGGAACCCGGACAACCCGAAAAAGCUGGAGCUCAAGGAGUACGAGAUCAACCUCAAGGAGUGCGGGCCCAUAGUGCUUGACGCCCUCACCAAGAUCAAGAACGAGAUGGACCCCACCCUCACCUUUUGAAGAUCUUCCCGGGAAGGGAUCUGCGGCUCCUGUGCCAUGAACAUCGACGGUUGCAAUGGCCUGGCCUGCCUGACGAAGACACAGUUCAUGGAUUUUUUUUAUCUGCUGGAGCCAUGCAGUUUACUUCUGGGGGACUCAAAACUGUCAUCACUUCUCAACCCAAGCGAUGCCGACGCUGGAUAACUCGUCUAAAAAUCAGUGUCAGCGCUUGCCGCGAGCAGGUCAUGCAUCCUGCAACUGUCGGUCAUGCUCAACCCACGGGAGAACAUGGAAGAAGAUAAGAACUUUAUCUUUUCUCAAAUGAUUUGUUUAAUAUUAUCACUGUUUAUUUAAUAUUUUAUUAUUUAUCUUUAAUCAUUCCUGACCACUACAUUCAUUAUUUAAACUACCUUUAUUAUUUAAAUGUUAUGGUGAAAUUUUCAUCAUGAAGAGGACGAGUACAACCCACUAUCCCACUGACAAACCUACGAAAAAACUCACAAAUGAGAUAAAAGUAUUGUUAUCAUCCUUUCCAGCUCAUUGUUUAUUAUUUUAAUAUUAUGUUGACCAGAAACACAUCACAUCUCAAAUCAUAAUCAUUCCUAUCAUAACUUUAGUAUUAUUACCCUUUGAUAUUGUCGGUCACCUCCUUUUAAAAUGCUAUAACUUUAAUCAUUUUUUAGAAUAUUUUAUUCAUUAUUUAAAUAUUAGAAUAAAAUUUUGGGCUAGCCUUUAUUUGAUUACCCACUGUCUCACUGUCAGUUUGGAAAAACCCACUAAGGAGAUAAAUCCAUGGCAACCACACCACACGCAUUCUAUGUUACAUUAUUAAAUUUCAUUAAAUUAUAUUGUCAUACACAUUUCACUAGGCAUACUACAUUAUUGUAUGUUUAUAUGAUCUAUGUGUGAUGUUACCCGCAAUAUGCACACUUUAAUGAUUGAUUGCUUGUAUACGAUACUCAUACAAUUUAUUGAUUAAACAAGGACCAAAAUUAUGGUGGUCAACACUAUGGAUCAGCCUAUGGAUCACUGAGCCACAUGCUUAUGGUGACAAAGAUUUAGUUCGAAUGAUGAUUUCUUGUCUGACAAGACACUCACUUGCUCAGACACUUGCUUAUUUGGACACCUAUGUGCCUGAACACCCGUGAGCUUGGAUACCCAUUCGUUUGGGCACCUACGAAAUUGAACACCCUUGAGCUCGAACCUCGACUCACGGACCCAACUUAUGAACCCAACUCAAAGACCCUACAGAUGGCCGCGACUCGAUGACCCUACGUAUGGCCCCGACUUAAAGACCCGACUUGUGGACCCGAUCCGUGGAUCCGACACAGACCCAUAUACAAACCCACAAAGCGGAUCCGAGUCAUAUCGAGAAUUAACUCAUAAUGAGCUCACAUUGACGUCGAGUACAUACUCGCGACGAAGAACGCCACAAACCGAGCCGCCUUGCAACGAGCACUGCCUCCAGCCGAGCAACCGCCUCGUCGAGAGCGUUGCCUCUAGCCGAGCAGCCUCGCAACGUGUGCUACCUCUAGUUGAAUAUUACUUGACGUUAAGCACCGUCUCAUGUCGAGUAUUUAUUCUGGACGACAUUUAGUCACUUCGGCCCGUACAUGGAUUGGAUUUGAAGUCUCCAGCCAAGGCAUAGACCCAUAUACAAACCCAACAAGCGGAUCCGAGUCAUGUCGAGAAUUAACUCAUAAUGAGCUCACGCUGACGUCGAGUACAUACUCGCGAUGAAGAACGCCACAAGCCGAGCUGUCUCGCAACGAGCACCGCCUCCAGCCGAGCAACCGCCUCGCUGAGGGCAUUGCCUCUAGCCGAGCAGCCUCGCAACGUGUGCUACCUCUAACUAAGUAUUGCUUGACGUUAAGCACCGUCUCAUGUCUAGUACUAGUUCUGGACGACAUCUAGUCACUUCAGCCCGCACAUGGAUUGGAUUUGAAGUCUCCAGCCAAAAGACUCUCUUGACUGAAGACUUGGAAGACUCCUGUUGUACCAUAUAUUGGCCUCGAUAUUUGGGCCUCGAUACAUGUGCUUCAUUACUGAGCCCAUGAUUUAUGUAAGAAGAGGAAACUCUUAUUCUAUAAAAGGGAUCCUCAUCACCUUCACUGAGGGGGGACUCAAGAAGAGAGAGAGGGAAAACAAGAGAUCAGACACUGCCUCUAGAGCCUCCAUGUAUAUUCAACAUUCAUUUGCAGAGUGAAACGGAAUCGACACCAGUGUGAACGUAGCCUCAACCUGAGGUGAACCACGAUAUAUCUUUGUGUUCUCGUGCGCUUGUGUGAUUCACGGUCGGAUUUACGCUAGUCCAAGAUCCAUCGGAUUUUGUGCAUCAACACACUUCGUCAAUGGUGGCCAAACAAAAAUCCUAAACUUUGAUCUAUUCACACUUCCCUGUCUCUCAAUUGGGCACUGAAAGCUCAACACAGGAAUUGUAGGACCCCAAAUGUACUCUCUAUGCGAAAGCUGGAUCAAACAGACAGAAUACAAUACGGAUAACUCAGUAAGAAAACACAAUAUUACAAUUUUUUACAUCUAAUGCAAGAUAACUCAGUAGGAAAACACACCAUUUUGGCUAAACCGAAGUUGAGCAGACAAUACAAAUAAGGAAAUUAUGGAUUUUAAAACAACAAAUAAAUUUUGUUCAAAAUUGACUUCUGUCAAUUCCGUCCCACCAAUCAGGACUCUUCAAGUAGGUAGUACAUUUCAAGCAGAUCCUAUGUCUGCCAUUAACUAAAAACACUCUCAAAUCACACCAGCCAGCCAUACAAAGCCACUGACCACAUCAAACAUUAGGCACGAUUCCAGUAACCAAAUUCAAAGAACAGAGUUCGGAUAACGAAAUGCAAAGAACAAGAUACAUAUAGUAAAAUUCAAGAACAUGAUUCAAAGGAUUUGAACUAUAUUGUAACUUUUAAUAAUGCAUCAAGAAUUUACGAAUGUGUUUGCUCACGUAAACAUACAUCCAUUAUCAAGAUCAAAUACAACUAACAUAUGUGAAUUUACCAAAAAGAUGUAACUGAAUAUUCUGAGAACGAAUUAACUCAAAUUCUCCUAUGGGUAAGGCUCAGGAUACAAAUAUCUACUCCAAAUAUACAAGAUUGAACAAUCAAAGUUCCCACUUAGAAAAAACAAAUAGCACCCUAAAGAAAAAGUACAAGCCACGCACAAUGGCCUUGGAAGUGCAUGUAAAAUCUUAGUUUAAUGAUAAUUUCUCAAUCUACAUAUCUAGAAACUAUCAUAAACUUGACCUUUCUCAUUGCUUUAAACUAAGAUGAAUCAGGGAACAAAAAAAACCUCACCUCAAGAGCUUUCUCUUCCUCAUAAAUAAAUUUUGAUAGCUUCCUCAUCAAGUCUUUUCGGUCGACUCCCACUAGAGCAUUGCUUAUCUGUUAAUAUAUAUGAUAUAAUACGUCAAUCAAAUACAUGCUUUCGCAAAGAUUAUGUUGUGUUUGUGCAAAUCUAAGUUUUCAAAUAAGUUAAUGCUGCUAAAUAUAUCCCAGCAUAAAGAAAAUUUGGCCUGGCCAACUUUAUACAACCUUAGAGGGAAUGCUCAUUAUUAGUAACCGACAAAUACAACAGUUUGGCCAAACAAUUAUUGGUUUGAGCCAUAUACCAUGUGACCUCAGACAUUGCUGCUCCUAUACAAUUUUACCUUUGAAUUAGAGAUCCGUCUGUUGUACACUUGUCUAAUAUUGAAUUUGCAUAAAAUUAGCCUUUCAACGUAUAUGCAAAAACAAAACACAAACGAAAAGGAGUAAAAUAACAGUCAUUUCACUACGCAAAUCGUAAGUUGUUCUUGGAGUUUCUGACAAAACAAACUAUAAAACAAAAGAAUACAAGGUGAUACCAGACUUUCCAGAUUUCAGCUUCUCUUUUCCACGACUCCAUCCAAAACUGUACCUAAUACAUGCGGGUAAGAAGAAGAUAAGGAAUACAUCCAUGCGGCUAGCUGCCAAAUUGAUGUUUUCUGGUGGCUUAAGAGAAAUCAAAACACAAGGACAGGACUAUAUUGCCUUACCUACCAUGAGGAUCUUCAAGUUCCUUCUUCACCUCUUCAGCGAGAUCCAUGAGCACUGCUAUAUCAAACUAUCCUCCUACAUUAUAUGAACUGCAGUUUCAAUGAACAUAAAAAUCCUCUUUAGAAGGUUAUUGGAAUUUCAAACAUGCAGCGUGUUGUGUAUGAAUCAAUUUAUAUAAAGAAGACAAUAAAAUUCAUAAUUUACAGAAAGGGGAGAAGAUUACCAGAAAAUUGAAGUAUUUUCCCGAGAAGUAUUUUCAAGAGAGAGAGAGAGAGAGAGAGGGAGAGAGAGGGAGAGAGAGAAAUUGACGGACCUCGAAGUUGUCCUGGAUCUUGCGGGGGUCGAGGGCUUAGCCCUAGGGGUCGGCGUCGGGGUUGGUGAGCAUAUCGGGGCGCUGAUACAUGUUGGAGAGGAGGAGGGUGGGGCUGAUGCAGGCCUUGGUGUGGAGGCCGGAGUACCCUUUGUCACUCUGCAGACUGCCCUCAACCCACUCUGAUUGAGCCCGACGGAACCCUUUCUACGAUGGUCGACACGUGCACGGUAGAAGCGGUGGCAAUUUCGUAAAUAAAUCGAAAUUUUCAAUCCGUAACAGAAAAGGCAGUGGCAAACUGGCAAUUUUAUAAAUAACUAAAAAUCCAUCUCAAAACACUGUUCAUUUGUACCGCGCCAAUUUUGAUCCUUACUUUAGAUUAAAGUAAUUUAUUUAUUAUUUUGUGAGAAUUUUGAUACUUUAUUUUAUAUUUUAAUUGUAGAACAUGUGAAUCUAUUUUGAGCAAAAAACGAUGAAAUGAAAUUUUUUUGGAGUAGAUUCAUGUGUCUUUCAAGAUAAUUGUGUCGAAGUUUCAUAAUUUAUUUCUCAGCUGUUUGACCGUAAUGAAUAAAAGAAGGUUGAUCACGCAGUGCUGGCAGUUUUACAUUUUGUUCUUGUUUGGGCCAUAAGUAAUUCAAGAUGACCUUUUUUUAGGAAAGUCCUUUUUAUAAAAUGUAGACAUUUUUAUCUUUCUAACUCCACCUAGUAGGCUUGAUUUUGAGCGGAUUCGACUAGGAAACAUGUUGAAUAUUUGGCUGCCUAGAUUAUCCAAGUUAGGAUAGAAUUGUAUUUCCUAGUUUAUUAUUUUACUUGGGUUUCCAAAUUUGUUGGGAGACCUAAUUUAGAUCAUUUGUGCACACUAUAUAUAUUUAGUUGGGUCUUUUUCUAGGGCAAAAAUGUUUUUAGACUUGGAGAUCUCGGCUUAGGAGCUUUUGACGAUUUGUUACAAAGGUGUUUUCUAUCCUUUCUUCUUAAUAAUAUUUUUGCUUUUCAAUUAUAAAUAUGUGUAACUAAUUCUUUUUACUAGGACGAGUCCACGAGUCUUAGUAUAAAUAUGUAAUUUAUUUUCAAUUUGUUUAAGGCAUAUUGCUUUGAAUUAUUAAUCAUCGUGUUUAAACUAUCUUUUUGUCUUAAUACUUGAUCACCAUUAGGAUGUUUAACCAAGUAAUUUGAUGCAACUUCUGUUGGAAUGUCAUCCUGAAAUUGAGUAGGGUUUAUUGUGAUUAAUAAUUGUAAUCUCACUUAAGACGAUUGCCACGUCGUAAGUGUUGCAUGAUUUAAAAAAAAAAAUUAUUCACAAAGCUUAAUGAGUCUUGCAUGCUCAUACUUAAUAUGAAUAUCACAUAUAGAUUGAGUGUUUCAUAUACGUUUUAGCUUGAAUGCCACAAGUAGAAUAUCCAUUAGAAAAAAUGAGUUUUAACGAAACACUCCCACUACUGCUCACUUUUAACGAAAAACCACAUUUUUACAUUUCCCAAGUAUUAUUCACUACACCUUUAUUUGUCAUUUUUCAUUAAAACUAAAUAAAAAAAAGGACUUUUCGUUAGUUUUCUUUUAGAAAAACAUAACCUUCAUGGUUUGCAUGUGUCAACUUAUACGUAAUUGGUAGAACUGCAGAUGAUUGAUUUUUUCUUCAAAACUAUUUCGAUUCUUUUAUUUUCUUUUUGCUGCCGAGUUUUUACUAAAACCAAUUUCAAUUCUUUUAUUUUCUGUUUCUUUUAUUUUUUCACAAUUUCGAAUCUUGUUUUAAAUAGUCAGCUAAGAAUAAGUUUUAAAUACAAUUUAUUUAUAUCAGUUGUGUGAGUUUUAAAUACAAAUGGUUCAUACUACAAUUACCUGUUUUCUUGCAAGUAUUUCAAUCGAUACCCACCAAAAAUAUAUAUAGGAACGCACUACCUUAUUAAUGUUCCCGGACCACCACAUCCGUCACCGUUCAAGCAUUCUGCUACUUUGACUGAGUAAUGUCACAUGGAUUUUUAUAUUAAUCGGAAGAUAAAAUUUCCCUACGUAUAAAGUACCGGGAUGUGAACGAUUAGUGUUUCCGUUUGGCUUUGGAGUCUUAAUCUCUGCAAAGCCACUAGAGCCAAAGUAAAUGAAUUGAUACGGUCGGUUUUUAUAAUUCUAGUAGUCAUAUAAGAAAUUUGGUGUAAAAUUAUAAAUGAGGAGUGAAAAAUAGGAAAUGUUGAAUCUAAAGGGCUGUUUGAUGAUUAUUUUGUUUUUUUUGUUUUUUUUUUAUUUUUAGUUUUCAUAUUUUUGAAAACUGAAAUCUUGUUUGUUUAUUACUUUCAGUUUUCAAUUUUACAAAAAAUGAAAACUGAAAACCAAAAAGUGAAAACUCAAGAUCAAAUUUUAAUAACUCAAGAAAGCAGUUUUUAAUUUUUGGGUUUUUUGUUUUUAUUUUUCUUGAAAACUAAAAACUGAAAAUAGUUACUAAUUAAGAUUUUAGUUUUUAGUUUUCUAAAAAAUGAAAAUAAGAAAUGAAAAUUGGAAAAAAAAUUGAUUAUCAAACAGUUUAUUCAUUUUUAAGUAAGCAUUUACUUUUAAUAGCGGGACAAAGUCUAGCAGCCAGUUGCUGGCUCUAAAUAACCAGCCUAUCAAUAUGUUCAAUUCCUCUUGAACAUAAUUGGACGGGUUGUGUGCAAGCUGAGUGACAUUCCUAAACCUGUAAUUGCUGGUGAAGUGUAGAUGGCAAGCAGUUAUAUGAAUAAGGUGCUUUAUCUAUAGAUAUUUUUCCAGCUCUCGCAAGAAUUGUAUGGGGUCAUCCUCAGAGGUACUUCUUCAAGGAAAAUGAUCCUCACCGAAUCCUUUUUCUAGGGAUUAUCUGUGAUCGCGACCGUUCAUCGUAUAUCGUGCAGUCAGUUUUCGUUAGGUACUAUUUAUAUUUAAUUUUAAAUUUUAAAUUCUAAAAUAAUUUCUGACUGCAUGAUGGAUGGUCCCAAUCACGGAAUCCCCAAGAAAAGGAUCUAGCGCCAUAUCCUUUUCCCUUCCCCAAUCACCUUACCGAGGAAUUCUACUGUACUCCGUAUAGGUAUUUUUGUUUACGUUGGAUUGGAAAGGGAUCCUCUUCGGAUCCCUUCCACCACAUCCUCCCCAUCAAACAAUUCGAGUCCUUGAAAUUUGGUCAAACGGUUAUAAUUAUUAUAACUUUUAAAAUGAACUCUUAUUUGUAGCAGUUUAAUCAAAUUUAAAGGAUUCAGAUUAAUUGAUAGAAAGAAUUUGGUGGAAGAGAUCAGGAGAUGAUCCCUUUCCCGUUGGACUUUAGCUGAACAUUAAUUUGGGCCCUAUUUUUAUUUCCCAUUAUUCUGUUUUGAUCGAUUACUGCAUAAAAACUAUUGGAAGAGUGAAACGCUACCGUUUCAUUUUAUAAAGUGAAAAGGUAGGGCCACAGCCCUCUUCUUAUUCGCAAGUUGCCGGAGCCCUCUGCAAGUAAACUUAUUUUUCGAAUGCAGGGGCCGUGCCUCUGCCUCUCCAAAGUUUACCAAUCGCUAUCAAGAACCAACCAAUUACAUGCUCUGUUUCUCAAAACCCAUCUCCCCCACGACCCUUUUUACGCAACUAGAUUACUCAGAUUCUAUGCAAUCAACGGAGAAGUUCGCUCCGCACGUAAAGAGUGUUCGACGAAAGUCCCCACUGGAGUGUCUACCUUUGGAACUCCAUCAUUCGAGCCCACGCUCAAGCACGCGGAUUUGAAGAUGCAUUUUCUCUGUUUGCUGAGAUGCGUAGAACUGAAAUCAAACCGGAUAACUUCACUCAUGCUUGCAUUGUACGUGCCUGCGCUGAUAGUUUUGAUUUGGAUGGACUGAAGCUUGUGCAUGUGGAGUAAUGGUUGCAGGGUUGGGAUUGGACUCCAUUUGUAGCAGUGCACUUGUUUCAGCUUACUGAAGACUCAGCCUUGUUGAUGAAGCAAUCAGGGUGUUUAAUGGGAUUCGACAGCCGGAUUUGGUUUUAUGGAAUUCGAUGAUUUCGGGUUAUGGAAGUGGCGGGUUUUGGGAUACAGGUUUGCAGCUGUUUAGUGAGAUGAGAAGCCAUGGAGCUGGUGCCGGAUGGAUACACAAUUGUUGGGUUGCUUUUGGGUUUAGCGGAUUCGAGCUUGAUAAGUAUUGGAGAGGGAAUACAUGGUCUUUGUUUGAAAUGGAAUUUAGAUUCUAAUGCUCAUGUGAGCAAUGUACUUGUGAGCAUGUAUUCGAGAUGUAUGUCUAUGAAUUCUUCACAUAGAGUUUUUAGUGGUUUGUUCGAGCCAGAUUUAGUAACACGGUCUGCUUUGAUCACUGGGUUUUCGCAGUCGGGAGAUUAUGACAAGGCAUUGUUCUUUUUCAAGAAUUUGAACAUGGAAGGUAAGAAGCCGAAUUCGGUUUUGAUUGCCAGUAUGUUGGCUGCUGCUUCUCAGAUGGCGCAUGUAGGGCCUGGUUGUGAGAUACAUGCUCAUGAUUUCCUCUGCACUUAUAGCCAUGUAUUCAAAGUGCGGCUUCUUGGGGAUGGGUACUCGUGUUUUUGAGAUCAUGCCAGAGAAGAAUAUUGUUUCGUACAAUUCUUUAAUAUUGGGUCUUGGUUUGCAUGGACUUGCCUCCGAGGCCUUUAGAAUGUUUGAUGAGAUACUCAGAAACGGAUUGAAACCUGAUGAGUCUACAUUUUCUGCUCUCCCUUGUGCAUGCUGCCAUGCUGGCCUUGUCGAAGAUGGCCGGGAAAUUUUCAGAAGAAUGAAAGAUGAGUUUUGCAUUCAAGCUAGAACGGAGCAUUAUGUUCAUAUGGUGAAACUUCUUGGGAUGGAAGGAAGAUUGGAAGAGGCUUACUAUCUAAUUUUGUCCUUGCCUGAGCCAGUGGACAGCGGCAUAUGGGGAGCCCUUUUAUUGUGCUGUGAUGUAUGUGGAAAUUUGGAGCUGGCAGAAAUUGUAGCCCGAAGGCUCUUUGAAAGUAAUUUGGAGAAAAGUGCUUACAGAGUCAUGCUUUCAAAUAUAUAUGGUGGGAUGAUGCAAAGAAGUUGAGGGAUUCCAUAACAGAAGGAAAACUGAUGAAAAUGCCCGGGCUCAACUGGAUUAAAGGUAGUGAAUUUUUGUUUGAUCAAAAUAUUACUUGUAGUAGGAUUUAAAAUUAGCGACAAAACAAGCUAUCUGUACUAGGAACAGAAUAUUUUUUAUGAGUACGGAAAUCUGACAAGGCUCUUACUCUCUGCGUUAAUCGAAUGCCAUAAAAUCUCGGAUUGGUUUUGCUUGUUUUACCUUCUGAUCUUAUAAGCAGCUCUCUAGUGAUGCAUAAAGAAGGCCAGAGGCAACUAUUAAGAUAUGAAGAUGAUAAACUGAAGGAUAUAAUAUUGUAAUUAUUAAGCUAUAAAGACGAUGAAUUGUCAAAUGCAACUGUCCGUAGCAGUGGAUUUUAUUCUGCUUUGUGAUGUUUUACUGGAAUUGAAAGUGUGUAUAGAGGUGUACAAAAGAAGAAAAGUGUGUAUGGAGUCAAUCAUAAUAUUUGAGGGCCAACUACUUGUAUAUGGAAACAACCCUAACUAUUACAGCUUUGCAUUGUCAUCCUGAAUUUAUCAGACAGCUUAAAAAUUAUCUGUUCACCCGCAUUGGCUCCUCUCCAUCCGAAGAUCUCCAAACUUUAUUAGAUCCUUAUAAUUCCUUGGUGGCAGCAAUUUGUUACGCCGUUGAUAUGGUACUAAAUGAUAUGUGGAAUGUGCCUAAUUUUGUAGUUUUCCUCUCCCCCAUCAGGUGUCAAUCGUUCUGCAUGAUCAUUCAUCAAAGGCAGCAAGUCUAACUGCUCAAGUGUAGUGAGAAACUGCAAACCUUCAGGUAACGUCUUCAGCCCGCAAGCAACAGUGCAAGUGGAGGAUAUUCAAAGGAAAAAUACAUAAACUUUUGGAUAGCGAUUUUGGACACUCAUUUUAUGUGUGUUUGCACUCAAAGGAAUGAGUGCAAGAGAUUCAAUCGAGCGUGAAAAUCACUGGCCAAGUUUUUUUCGAACAAUGUAACAAAGAUUUAAAGCCGAAUGUCAAUAGAAAAGCUGUAAUUACCAAAAAGGAUACAAUGAAGAGAGUAAAAUUGCUGAUGGAAUUGGCAACAAUAUGACCGUAAAGGGUGCUGAGGCGGACAUCAAUUACCAUAUCUAAACAUGUAUAUAUAAACCUGUCAAACAAAAUAACAACUGAUGACUUUCUAACAAAUGCAAAAUAUAACAAGAUUAAAGAAAAACUGCAAGUAGCCUAUGACCUUUAAGUCUCGAAAUCAAACUCAGUAAAAACUAAAAUUAAGGAAUGCAUAAAUCAGAAUCUAAAUCAUAUUGAUUUGGUUAUUUUGCAAGAUAAAAAGUUAUCACAAAUUCAACAAGUUAGUAAUAUAGGUGUAAAGAUAAAUUUAUAUAUUGAAUUGGGUUUGUGAGGGUAGUUUAUGUAGUAAAUUUGGGUUUAAAAAUAUAUUGAUAGCUUAAUUAAAAAGUUAUGUGGAAAGAGAGAUUAUAUGAAUUCAAAUAAAAUUUUCCUGAUGAAAAUGUUCGUAAGAGCUGGAACCCAUUAUCCACGAUUCCACAAUGGAAGAAAAUGAUCAUAAGAGCAGGAACCCAUUAUCCACGAUUCCACGGUAAAAGACUUGUCAACCUUUUGAAAGUCCAAUUAGAAACUCUAAUCCAAACCCCUGCAAAUAAGUUAGGGUGACUUGAGAAAACUUAAAACAAAAAUACGUAGAGUGUGAACCAAGGUUCAUAGGCAGAUCAAAGUCAAAUCAAAGUCUAUAAAUCUUGCUUACCCUUUGCACUAUCAUUCAUCUCCACCUUCACCCAUAAAGAAUAAAUUAAGGAAGCAAUUUGUUCCGGCACCGCCGCUGGGGGAUUGAAAUUUGGGGGCCGAAGCGAUCGCAAAAUGGAGCCCUACAUAUGAUCAACCGUCAUAAAAAGUUUCUAAUUUCUUUGUUUUUUUUCUCACUUUAUUCUCGCAGAUAAUUAACUUAGAAAAGACUUUAUUCGUAGAUAAUUAACCAAGAAAAAAUUAUGCAAAUGACAUAUUGGUAAAAAAAGGACUCUCGUAUUGAGGAGUCUUACGCGACUUGUGACGAGUUACUUGUCACACUACACAUGGGUGAUUGUACUAAAUUGAGGUGUAUGGUAUAUAGAAAUUCUAAUUUGUAAUCAAGUUUUAAUUUCAAUGACGUUAAAGUUUAAUAAAAAAUUGUCAUGUGUUUAAAAUUACACUAUUUUCAAUAAACAAAUGAAUAAUCUCUUGUAUGGUAGAGAAUAAAUGAAAAGAGUGGAUGACGCAGAAUAAAGCGAUGUAAGGGUUAUCAACGUAAUCCAUUGCACAACAAAAUCUAGAAAUCCAUCAGAAAAUUGAAUGAAAUCCCAAAGGGUUUUUGUUUGAUUAAUUCUUGAAUGAUUGUCAUUGAUACAUCCAGAUGACUUAAAUAAAGAUUACAAAUGUUUGGAACAACUCAAAUGACUUCUAAUAAUUACAACAACAUUAGUUAAACAUUAAUCGGACUACAAAUAAAGAGUCCGAUUUUUAUUUCGAAACUUUAAACGCUAUUUUGGAGGCUGAAAUUACCCCGGACGGCCAAAAUCCAUCAUACAUAAAAAACUAAGUAGUGUGUUGGACUUGUGGCAUCAUUUUCUUUCUGGAAAUUUAUUACGGGCCCAAAUCGAAUCUCAAAUAUUCAAAUUUCCUCUUUGGUUCAUUCUGCCAUUUAUUCUACAUCAGCGAACGACUCAAGGGUCCUCCCUUUGAUAGUCCAAGUAGAAACAUAAGCAUAUAUUGACCCAAAAAAACAGAAAGAAACAGAAGCAUAUAAUUAUUGUCCAAACCCCUGCAAGUUACGGUCUAUAAAUCUUGCUUUCCCUUUGCACUAUCAUUCAUCUCCAAGUUGUGGUGAAAGGAUUUUCGAGGUUAUUGUUUCUGCUUCCGAAGAUGAAUGGUUCUUCAGCAAAGCUGGCGGCAAUUACAGCAAUAGUGUUGCUUCUGAUGGGGGAUUUCCAAGCAACUUGUGGACUACUUCCUCAUGGUAUAACUAAUAAUUAUCUUCUUUUUAUGAGAUCUCCAAACAUUAGCAUUAGUAUUAGCUACUUAUAUCGACUUAGUUUUUACCAAUUUUAUUAUUUGGUAACUAAUUUAUUGCUUCUUUUGAUUUUCUCAUAUAAUUGAACAAGGUUGCUUUGAAUGUCAAAGUGAUAUUUUAAGCUCCAAAGUGGUGCCCAUCCGCCGCAGCCUAAGAAGACCAUUCAAUAGCCCGCCAUCUCCACCUGAUCCCAAUCAGCAAUCGUGGUGGCAGACCCCACCCUUCUAGAAACUCCAAAUCAACCGCAAUUGCAUAUCCACCAGCAAUCGUGGUGGCAGACCCCACCCCUCUAGAAACUCCAAAUCAACCGCAAUUGCAUAUCCACCGACCCUUCCCCCACCCUCCCCCCCCCCCCCCCAGACCCACCCCUCUAGAAACUCCAAAUCAAACCGCAAUUGCAUAUCCACGACCCCUCCCCCCCCCCCCCCAAAAAAAAAAUAAACCUCAGAAACUCCAAAUAAGGCUUGACCUACCCCCACACCCCCUCCCCCCAAAAACGCCCCUGCAGCAGAACCCUGAGGAACAUCCGGGGGACCGCAUCGUUCCUAUUUUCUUGUAUUUUUAUUUGUUUUCUUAAGAGUCAAGUUUAUAUUCCCCGCUCUUUUAUUGUAUUUUUUACUUUAUUAUUUCUUCUUAUAUUAUGAGCUAAACUUUAUGUCCCCUUAACAAGUGCAACUUCUUUUUCUAAUUCUAUAUAAUUUCUCUUAUGCAGUCAAGGUUUCUUUAAAAAAAAUGGAACAAACCAACCAACCAACCUUGAAACUAAGAAACAGAAAAUUAAGCCAUAAUAUUCAAGCAAGAUGACCGAUAGAUAUAAUUGAAUUCUAUUAACAUUCAUCAAUGCAAUUGAAUAAUAAAAUAAAAAAAUUGAAUUCAAAGAACGUCAAAUUUCAACCAAAGAGAAAAAAGGACACAUCCAAUUUAUGAAGCAAAGAUUUCAAUCGAUAGGUGAUGAGUCGAUAUUAUUCUAUAUUUUUACCCUAAUCUUAGUUAUAACUAGAAAAUACGCCCGAGCGUUGCUGCGGGAACCAGCUGUUUCAGGCGUAAUCGGAUGAAUAAAACACAUUUAAGUUGAAUAAGAAUGUCCCCAUGAUUAGUUUUCUCGUUUAUUUUUCACAAACCAAACACAUUUAAAAUCCAAGUACGAAAGCUUUGCAAAGAUAAAUAAACAUGCAAUCAGGGCACAUAAUCGUAUACCUAAAAAUAGUAAGGAACCAGCUUCUUCCUCCCACAACCAGAGUUCCUGAAAUUUCCAAAGAAAGUAAAUCCGUUGGCAAUUCAGAGAAAUUGGAGGACCAAAUCGUAUUAAAUUUGAGAUAAAUGUGCAAAGGUACACCUAUUAAAUGAGAUACUAAACACAUUUCGAAUCUGUGAAAUAGAAGAACAAGCAUGUUAAGACUCCCAAGAUGGUGUGUUGAGCACAAUAUUAUAGGUUAAUAAAGGUAAAUCCCAAUCCAAAUCUCCAACCUUUUAACCCAAAAUGAAAACAAAAAGCAUGGAACAUAUAUUUCAGUUUUAUUAUUAGAUUUUCUAAAUCCUCAAUUUGAAUAUGUUGUAAAGAUAAUACCAUCAACUAAGGGUGGCAAUCUGACCAUCGUUGUGCAUGUCAUGUCGGCUCUAUGCAACUGAAUAUAUAAAAUUUAAGCAGCCCCAGACAGUCUCCUAAGCAUCUACAAACCGUUAACAUUAUUUCCCCAAUCUUAUUUCCCAAUUUUAUCAAAUGCUGCAGAAACGAUCACAAUUUACUCCCUUCCAAUUUCCACCUAACUCUGAACAAACAAUAUUGAUAAAUCUUUAUCAUCACCCUUAACAAAACAAAUUAUAGCGAAAAGAAAAAAAAAAUUCCUAUGCAAACAAAUUCUUCUGGAUGUCCAGCUCUACCCAUCUAUGGGAAGGCAAGCAAUCGGACGUACUUUCAGACCAAGCAAAAUAAAUUUUACAAUUUAUCAAAACAGCAACCAAUUCUCCCGAAUUGAAUGCUAUCACUCAUUUUUUAACACAAUACAUUUUAGGAUUGAUGUUACAAUAAUAUCACUGCAAACUUGCACACAAAUGUUUGACUGAAUUCAGAACCACUUAAUUCAAUAUAAAAAAUUACCUCACAUGCUUGCUCCCCUUCUGCUCUCGCAUCGUCGGCUCCGCUUCUAAAUGGUUAAUGAAGUCCUAAAAACAGAACAACAAAAAACAUUUACCAAUCCAACAUUUCAACAUAUGGUUUUGGCAGGUAUAACAUUUCAACAUAAGCAUGAUAUAGAAAGACAGAAAUCCACAUGUCAGUUUGCUUUUUCAGAACCAACAGAAAGGGCAACUACAAGAGAAUGUAACCAAUUUUAAACAGUAAAUCAGUCUCCCAAUAAAGGAGAACAUAAGCAUGACAUACAACGAUCGAAGGGCAAAUUUAAUUUGGUUUCCUCAAAAGCAACGCAAAGAAGGAUAAAUCAGAUCAAAUUGAACAAAGUGAAAACCGGAUAGACAAAGAUUAGAAAUUUGCUUGCAUCUCUAUCAUAUCCCGCAUUUCCUUUACAAAAUAAACAAUCAUGAAUACAGAGCACAUGAAAAUCAGCAAACCAAAAAAACCCUAUUUUUUAUCAUGUCGAACAAUCACGAAUGUAGAAAAUUAUACAAAACAGUCCCUAAUUUUGACUAAGGACUUAAUAUACACAACGGACUAAAACAACACAAAAUUUAAUCAAUUCCAUCCAAAUUCAAUAUUAUGCAUCAAAGAAAACAAUCUAUCUAUUCCUAAACCAAAAUGAUCACACAAAAGACAGAAAUUUUCCAAAUUCCGAAACAGCAAUUCAAUCUCUCAAUUCCUAAACAAAUUCUCAUAAUAACAAUCCCAACUUUAUUAUUGACAAUAUACCUUCAUCGUGCACUGAAAGAUGCCAAAUUCUAUUACCAACUAAGGAGAACAAACCUUUUCUAAUGUUAGGCAUGGGUGGCAUGUCUGAGCAUCUGUGCAAUCCACACACACACACACACACAAACAUAUUACCACUUAUAUACAUAUAUAUUUUAUCACUGAUUGAAUAUAGCAAGGCUAGUCAGAAGGUAAAGCUAAAAGCAAUGAAGAUCAAAGAAUAUUGAGAUGCACUCUGAAAGUAAGAGUGAUAGUAAAAUCCAUGCUAAAAUAAACAGCAGAUAAUCACAUGAAUUUAAGCAACAAAAAAAAAAAAAAAAAGGAACCAAAAGAAACAGAAAAGUACCUAAAGACAUUCAAGCCAUCGAAUAUAGUUUUACUGAGAAAUUGAAAGGAUUUCCGGGUUCGGGAUUGUGAAGCUUAGCAAGCAGGCAUGGCUUUCAGAAGGAUGGGUUGGAAAACUGAUUGAUUUGGACACCCGGAACUGAGCUGAGCUGAGCUGAAAUGGAGGUGGGGUGGUCAGUUGUGGGGGUGUGUGUGUGAGUGUGUGUGUGUUCAGUGGAACUGCUUUUGUGCUUUUUGGCUGGUGGAUAUAGUAGACGAAACAGAGAAAUCUAGGGAGGAAACAGUGCAUUACCUGUUGAAUCAAAUGCCAAAAGCUAUUGAGAGGCUUCCUAGAUCAUAAAUUUUGUCAAAGAUGUUUUCAGAAUGUAUACCAUGUGGAAUAAUGGAAAUUAAAAUUUACCUUAACACUGCCUUUAAGAAAAUUGGCAUCUUGGAGAGUUUUUGGUUCAACCUGAAUAGAAAACCAACAAAAAUUACCAUCAUCGAACAUGAAAUUGAAUCAUUACAAAAUGAAUUUAGUAGUAAGAUCAUCGAACAUGAUGCUUUCUAGACCAAAUACUUUGACAAAGUACUUGAUGGUCAAUCAUUUUUUAAAUUCCGUUUAAAAGCAAAAGUAUAAAAGUGACCUUAGUUAGGGGUGAGGAUCGGAGAUCAAGAAAUACCAAAGAGCGACCGUUUCGUUACCUAGGAUCUAUCUUGCAAAAGAACGGAGAAUUAGAUGGAGAUCUCAACCAUAGAAUACAAGCUGGAUGGAUGAAGUGGAAGAGUGCAUCCGGCGUGUUGUGUGACCGCCGUAUGCCACUGAAGCUCAAGGGAAAAUUUUAUAGGACGGCAAUAAGGCCGGCGAUGCUGUAUGGCACAGAAUGUUGGGCGGUGAAGCAUCAACACGUACACAAAAUGGGUGUAGCGGAGAUGAGGAUGCUUCGUUGGAUGUGUGGGCACACGAGAAAGGAUAAGAUUAGGAAUGAGGAUAUCCGGGGUAAAGUAGGAGUAGCCGAAAUUGAAGGAAAGAUGAGAGAAAAUCGGUUACGGUGGUUUGGACAUGUGCAAAGAAGGCCUACUGACGCUCCGAUUAGAAGAUGCGACUAUGGGACAGAGGUUCAGGGCCGAAGGGGCAGAGGAAGACCUAGGAAAACUUUGGAAGAGACCCUAAGAAAAGACUUAGAGUACUUGAAUCUAACGGAGGACAUGACACAGGACAGAACACAAUGGCGUUCUAAGAUUCAUAUAGCCGAUCCCACUCAGUGACUUGGAUUUUCCAAGUCUCCAACCGAGAAGUUUUUCCUCACUCGGGAAAUUAAGGGAACACUACCUCAACCUAUAUGCUCCACUCACAAAGCUUCAACAUACAAGCUUCAACAAAAGAAAAUUCAAAGAACUUAGCGAAGAAGGCUUUGGUGUAUUUAACACAAUAAGUUGAAAUGAAGGAAAACUUAUUUAUUGAUAUCCCCGAUAAGUUACAAAUAUGUACAUAUACUUGAGUCAAAAUAAACAAACAAGAGGGAGCCUUCACAAAGGUUGCUUAGGAGAAGUCUCAGCAGUCGGUAGAGCCCCAGAAAGAGAAGGCACCGGAGGGGGAUCAUUCGGAGCCUCAGUACUGGACAAAACCCUAGAAGGAGGAGGCAUCAGAGAUUGAUCAUUUGGAGCUUCAUUACGCGGUACAGCCCCAGAAGACGAAGGCAAUAAAUGCCUUUGGAACAAACCCACAAAUCUCUGAUGAUCAAGUAAAACCUGACCAUCAGAUUCCUUCAUCUGGUCAAGCUUCAUCUUCAUGUUUGUAGCAUAGUCAUGUGCGAGCCGGUGCAACUGUUUAUUCUCAUGCUUGAGCCCUCUAAUCUCCUGUUUGAGACUCAUCACUUCAGCCGCCAAUGAUUCAACUUGGCGGGUUCGAGCAAAUAGGCGUUGGGCCAUAUUAGACACAGAACCUGCACACUGAACACUGAGAGCCAGAGAAUCCUUAACAGACAACUCAUCAGACCGUUUGGAAAGUAGUCUGUUAUCUUUAGGAGUGAGAAGGUUCCUGGCCACUACCGCAGCGGUCAUAUCAUUCUUCAUCAUAGAAUCCCCAACGGUAAGAGGACCAGUAGGGGAGACGAAGGAUGGGCACCAUAUGUUGUCUGGAGAAGGCGGGGCUGCCUCUUCAACAAGGUUCAAGUCAAAACGACGAUCGGAGGGGCCAGACAUUUUCAAAGGAGGGGUCGGACAAAUCAAGAUCUUAGAAGUGCAAGAAUGGAGCUUCUACUGGUGGAUAUUCAAGUGUGCUUUGGAACUUAAUGUCAGCCCCUAUAAAAAUCUGCACUCGACGAAGCUUCAGAAAUCGAAGAGGCGUUUGCUUUCUCAAAAGUUGGGCUGCUCAGAGACCACGAGGGUCGAUCUCAGAAAUCGAAGAGGUGUUUGCUUUCUCAAAAGCUGGGCUGCUCAAAGACCACAAAGGCCGAUCUCAGAAAUCGAAGAGGCUUGCUUUCUCAAAAGCUGGGCUGAUCAGAGACCACGAGGGCCGAUUUCAGAAAUCGAAGAGGCACCUACUUUUCCAGCCUUGUCAGUACCUGUCACACGCACACUCAGCUUUGCGGAAAUUAUGGGCAUUCUGUCGAAGAUUUCUGGCGAAGUAGAAAGCAGAUGAAUCGUACUGUUCAAUCACCCACUUCCCACACGCAACAGUAGCUCAUGGGUACCACAGAUAACUUUGCCAAAGUUCUCUGACAAAGUUGAGACACGUGAAGCUUGCAGCUCCCACUACAUCGCUCUGACCAAGAAGGGUAAAAGAAUUGCAAAGAAACAACACUAACAAAGUUUAGACACAUAAAUUUUGAAGGUCUAGCUACCAUAUUAUUACCCACAAGGGUAAAGGAACAGUACCACCGCUGGAUAAUUGGAAAGUCCCGGUGUGUCAACCUCUGUGCUUCGUGGCAAGGUAGACUAGCAAACAUGCCCAACCUUUACUCACAUUCGAGAAAACACUCCUAACAAGAUUGCUUGCUCCAAAAUCGAAGAGGCACCGCCCUCCGAAUCUCGAGAGCCAGACUCCCAACAUGAUUACUUUCUCAAAAAUCGAAGAGAGGGUAAAGGAACAGUACCACUGCUGGAUAAUUGGAAAGUCCUGGUAUGUCAACCUUUGUGCUUCGUGGCAAGAUAGACUAGCAAACAUGCCCAACCUUUACUCACAUUCGAGAAAACACUCCUAACAAGAUUGCUUGCUCCAAAAUCGAAGAGGCACCGCCCUCCGAAUCUCGAGAGCCAGACUCCCAACAUGAUUACUUUCUCAAAAAUCGAAGAGAGGGUAAAGGAACAGUACCACUGCUGGAUAAUUGGAAAGUCCCUGUGUGUCAACCUCUGUGCUUCGUGGCAAGGUAGACUAGCAAAUAUGCCCAACCUUUACUCACAUUCGAGAAAACACUCCCAACAAGAUUGCUUGCUCCAAAAUCGAAGAGGCACGGCCCUCCGAAUCUCGAGAGCCAGACUCCCAACAUAAUUACUUUCUCAAAAAUCGAAGAGACACCGCUCUCCGAAUCUCGAGAGCCAGACCCCCAGCAGGAUUGCUUUCUCAAAAAUCGAAGAGGCAUCGUUCUCCGAAUAUCGAGAGCCAGACCCCCGACAGGUUUGUAAUCUUCACACGCAACAUCAGCUUUCCAGAUACCACAAACCACUUUUUCAAAGUGCUCUGACAGAGUUAAAACAUGUGAAGCUGGCAGCUCCCACUACCGUGCUAUAACCAAGCAGGGUAAAGGAAUAGCAUUAUUACUUGAUGUUAGGGAGACUCCUAUAUAUGUCGACUUCCAUCCCUAACGGACAGGCAGACCUGCAAAAAUGCUCAACCCUUUCUCUUAUCUGAGAGGGCACUCCCAACAAAGCCUUUCGAAAUAUUCAGCUUUCUUUCCCCCCGAUAAUACCUCUGUAAACAAGCUAUACUAGAGCAAGAAUAUCUCAUAUCAUCAGGGUUAAAAGCAAGAGUAUCCCAUAUCAUGCUUUUUUCCCUGUCUUUUCCUUUGGCCUUGUUCUUACCUGCAAGACAAGGAGAAAGAGAGCAAUCAGUCAGCACUUGGAAUCAAGCUUCCAGCCAGGAACUGACUGCCUGGAACCCCUUACCUGAUUACUUACCUGGCAUUGCUCUCGAGUACUCAUCUUCAACAUCUUAUGCUUCCAGGGAAGAUACCGCAUUUGCCUGAGGAACAGAUAGGGCAAGUGAGAAGGAUACAAGGAAGCAUGUGGAGACAAGCGUAACAGCACACGUGCCGAUACAUCCACUACUCUCUAUCAAAAGCAAAAGUAUCCCAUAUCAGCAGGGUCGAACGUACUCUAGAUUUGAUGGACUUGUUUUGACCCUCAAAUUCUUCAGUCGGCCUUAUACUCUGGAGGAAACCAGAAAACCCUCCAGCCCAGUUCAAGAAUAAGCCUGUGGAAAGUUACUUCUUCAAAAGCAAAAGUAUCCCAUAUCAUCUCUCCUCAUUUUUCUUCACUUUAUCCUUCAUGCUGCUUGCAAGAUAGGGAGAAUGUGAACAAUCAGCCGGAGCUCUGAUUGCUUACCUUGUCUGUCACCUCUUUCAGCAGAUCCCCCAGCUCGGCGACUUGGGGGACUCCUACUACAUGGUUUGUAUCUCGCUUGACCAAGCAUGAAACUACAAGUAAGCUUCAAGUGAAAUUGAUACAUUACCUUGUGCAUCUCCACCAGUUACAGAUACCACCCCUGGAUGGAGGAAGAGUACUUCCAGAGAAGAUGCCACAUCUACCUAUGAGACAGAUAAAGGCAAGUCAAGACGAUACCAUACUCCGGUACUUAGAAGUUUCGUGGCUACGAGAUCAUUCUCCCACAAUAUUUCCUAAUGUCAUUUGUACUAAAUCAUUCACUUGUACUCACUAAAGGAGAGCUUGAACCUAUGUACUUGUGUAAACCCUUCACAAUUAAUGAGAACUCCUCUAUUCCGUGGACGUAGCCAAUCUGGGUGAACCACGUACAUCUUGUGUUUGCUUUCCUAUCUCUAUCCAUUUAUAUACUUAUCCACACUAAUGACCGGAGCAAUCUAGCGAAGAUCACAAAAAGUGACCGUUUUCGCUACCUAGGAUCUAUCUUGCAAGAGAACGGAGAAUUAGAUGGAGAUCUCAACCAUAGAAUACAAGCUGGAUGGAUGAAGUGUAAGAGUGCAUCCGGCGUGUUGUGUGACCGUCGUAGGCCACUAAAGCUCAAGGGAAAAUUUUAUAGGACGGCAAUAAGGCCAGCGAUGUUGUAUGGCACAGAAUGUUGGGCGGUGAAGCAUCAACGUACACAAAAUGGGUGUAGCGGAGAUGAGGAUGCUUCGUGGGAUGUAUGGGCACACGAGAGAAAGGAUAAGAUUGGGAAUUAGGAUAUCCGAGGUAAAGUAGGAGUAGCCAAAAUUGAAGGAAAUAUGAGAGAAAAUCGGUUCCGGUGGUUUGGACAUGUGCAAAGAAGGCCUACUGACGCUCCGGUUCGAAAAUGUGACUACGGGACAGAGGUUCGGGGCCGAAGGAGUAGAGGAAGACCUAGGAAAACUUUGGAAGAGACCCUAAGAAAAGACUUGAGUACUUAGAUCUAACGGAGGACAUGACACAAAUGAGCGCAAUGGCGUUCUAGGAUUCAUAUAGCCGACCCCACUUAGUGGGAAAAGGCUUUGUUGUUGUUGUUGUUGUUGUUAUUGAAGAAACAGCCUGAAGCACAUCUUUAUUGUUAGAACACAAACCACCAGGUAUGAAAUAGUGUAUUCAGUUUUCUCAUUUGCCUGAAUAAGAUAAUAUAGAACUAAGGUUAGGAAGCAUAACACAGGAGAAGAAAACUGUAAAAUCAAACAGUGGAUUUACUUUUCUUAUUUCCCCUCCACUACAGCCGCACCAUCAACACUACUAAAAUCUGGGUUUGAUGAACUUACUGGGUCCAUCUGGCAGGACAAAAAAAUUUGAAUUUACCAUUGUGGCAUGGAUGAAUGCAAAAGCAUUCCAAAAUUUUUUCCCAACUUUUAAAUUAAUUAAUAAGAUUGUGAAUUUGACUUGAAUGGCUUCAGCUGGAGCUAAGUAAGCUUACAGUGGGUGAAUAAAAGGGUUAAAGACACUUUGCCAAAAAUAUAAAAAGGGUUAAAGACAUUGCAAUUCAGCUUCAUACCAAACAAUAGACAAAGCACGAUAGCAUGUUGCAAACUAAUUGUUCAAUCAAAUUGAAAGGAAAAGUUGCAGGACAAAGAUAUUCACCUAUCAAAGCAGCAAAUCCCACAAACCCACAUUCACAAAUACAUAUUUCACUGCAAGAAAGAGACUGCACUACUCUCGUCUUAAACACAAACCUCUUCAUCAACUAUCACAAAUAAGCCAUUGUAAAGACUAUUUCCACAUCACAAUAAAAAUAAAGUACAUGAAGUAAAGCUCAUAUUUUUAGCAGAGGUAUUUUAACAAUUCUGCAAGUGAUUGAUUGGCCAGGUAGGGAGGGUAAUUCUCUUAGCCCCACUGCAUCCCGGGUUCAAAGUUCUAACCAACCCCUGUCCCCUUGGUGUAGUUUUCAGGAUAAAUACCACGUUUUAAUAACUAAAAACAUCAAUUCUGAUCAUCCCUACCAGUUUAAGCACGCUAAACACCAAAUUUAAUAUGUUCUUGUCUUAGGUCACCCAACCCCUUAUACAAAACCCAAGAUUAAGUUCCUAACGGAAACAUUACCUGUUUUAGAUUUUCCCAUAGCUGGCUGUACAACAACACACAUCACGACAAUUCCUCAACCAAUACCAACCAAAGGUAAUUUACACUGACCCACUGUCAUGUUGUUCCCCAAAAUCUUGCCAAAACUCAUCAGUUCCGCUUCAUUCGGCAUCAUCGGCGUCAGUCUUGCCUACAAAACAAUCAAAACCCCAGAAUAAAAAACAAAUUCUUUCAGAAAAAUCAAAGAAAUUCAAUCAGGUCAUCAAUCAAUUAAGUACCUAAUUCCCCUGGAUGUCUUGAAUAAAUAUAACAGUCCAACAUAAAUUAACUACCCAAUAUUAAUUUUUCCUGUUUCUUUCUUAUUCUCGGGAAAGAAACAAACCCAAAAACAAAUAAUUGAAGAAAACAUACAGAAAAUAUUGGGGAGGAGUAACAUACAAUCUGCUGAGUUCUUCGCUUUGCAGAUAAGAGAUGGUGGCCGAACUAAACUGCAAAAAAAAGAGAGAUUCAGAGUAAGAAUUUAAGGUGAAAACAAAUGGACACAGGGAAAUGAACUCAACCUGCGACAACAUAAUGGAUUUAAUCUAUGACAGUGCAAUGCACUUAAUCUGUGGCAGAUUCACACACAAACAAAAAUGCAUUUAGACUUAAUUUUAAAAAAAAAUGCACUACAUAAACACCACCAUUGAGCUACUCAACACUACAACUUUCUUUUCCUUUUCCCCCAUUUUUCUCAGCCACCAACCAAAGGCUUCAAAAUGUCAAUUUUCAUUUCCUUUCCUACACCUGCCCUAAGCAUCCCUAAAAUGACAUAUAUAAACUCAAGCUUUGAUAGUUAAAUGUUAAGGAUCAGCAAUGAUCAUAUUGACCCUUUUAAAUAAGUUUAUAAAACCUCAGCUAUAAACUGGGACAUCAUGUGCUUAAACAGCUCCGGUUCUGUAAAUCGGACUUCUUGAAGAAUGUAGUGGAUCUACAAUAACAUUACAUGAAUGCAUUAAAACCUUUAUCUAUUAUCUGCCAAACCACUCAUUGAGCACCAAAAUAAAUGGUGAUAUUAAUAUAGAAGAUAAGGAUAAAAAAAAAUAGUGAGUAAUGACAUGCCAAUUACAUGUCCAGACACCUCCCCCCGUGCGAAAGCAAGUAAAAGUGAAACUAUAAUAUAGGUUUCUUUGUGAAGAGAACUUGUAUAAACAUAGGCAUCUUCAAUUAAUUUAAAUAAGCAAGAGAUGGGUGAACUGGGCUGGUAGGAUCAGCAGCUUAGUUUUCAUUUACAUUCAAUUCAGCUGACAUCAAGACCCAUUGUACAAUUAACUGGAUGACCUUAAACGUUUCUGAUCACAAAAGUUGUGAUCGCAAAAAAUACUGUGUUUGUAUAAGAAACAGAAGCAGCAAUCGACAUGCAGAUCUUCAAAAGAAUACUAAAAAAUAAAGGAAUAACAAACAACAUUUGAGGUUCCAUGUCCCAUUUGACCAAAAAUCUAAGGACGUGCUUAAUGUAAAAGAGAUUUUUCAGACCAACUUACAAAACACUUGGAUGAACUAAUAAAUCCCAGUUUUGGGAGUAAAAGAUAUGAAUUCACAUAUAACAAUUGUAACAUAUAUUGCAUGUACCAGAAAUCAUUUUAAUUAAUCAGAGAGGGUUUAGGGAAUGUAGAAAUGGAAACAGUUGUUAACAAACACUGUAGCUUCAAAAGAAUACCAAAAAAAAAUAAAAAUAAAGGAAUAACAAACAGCAUUCGAGAUGCAUCACAAAUGAAACUGGCCUCUCACCGUGAGACUUCUUUUUCUCUCAACCGACUCUUGGCCUCCCUGAAAAUACCAAAAAAAAAAAGAGAUUUUAGAUAUAUUUUGAAUCCAACACACACUAAACUUUGAUAACGAUAUACCUUUGUAUACCUACUACAACAUACUAUGACCAACUUCAUUUUUCAUUCCUUUCAAACCCAAAAUAAUAAAAUUCGGGAAGACUUACCUUUCACUUUGUUGAUACACAAAAUCCCGUGGAUCUUGCGGGUAACGUCACACAUAGAUCAUAUAAAUAUACAAUAAUGUAGUAUGCCUAGUGAAAUGUGUAUGUGACUAUAAUUUAAUGAAAUUUGAUAAUGUAACAUAGAAUGCAUGUGGUGUGGUUGCCAUAGAUUAAUCUCCUUAGUGGUUUUUCCCAAACCGACAGUGAGACAGUGGGUAAUCAAAUAAAGGCUAGUCCAAAGUUUUAUUCUAAUAUUUAAAUAAUGAAUAAAAUAUUCACAAAUUGAUUAAAGUUAUAUCAUUUUAAAAGGAAGUGGCCGACAAUAUCAAAGGGUAAUAAUACUAAAGUUAUGAUAGGAAUGAUUAUGGUUUGAGAUGUGCUGUGUUUCUGGUCAACAUAAUAUUAAAAUAAUAAACAAUGAGCUGGAAAUGAUGAUAACAAUACUCUUAUCUUAUUUCUGAGUUUUUUCGUGGAUUUGACAAUGGGAUAGUGGGUUGUAUUCGUCCCCUUCAUGAUGAAAGUUUCAUCAUAACAUUUAAAUAAUAAAGGUAGUUUAAAUAAUGAAUGUAGUGGUCAUGAAUGAUUAAAGAUAAAUAAUAAAAUAUUAAAUAAACAGUGAUAAUAUUAAACAAAUCAUUUGAGAAAAGAUAAAGUUCUUAUCUUCUUCCAUGUUCUCCCGUGGGUUGGGCAUGACCGAUAGUUGUAGGAUGCAUGACCUGCUCACGGCAAGUUUGUCAACGCCGACACUAAUUUUUUGACGAGUUAUCCAGCGCCAGCGUCGCUUGGGUUGAGUAGUGAUGACAGUUUUGAGUCCCCCAGAAGUAAAUUGCAUGGUUCCAGCAGAGCCGCCUUGCAACGAGCACCUCCUCCAGCCGAGCAAUUGUCUUGUCGAGAGCAUUGCCUCUAGUCGAGCAGCCUCGCAACGUGUGCUACCUCUAGCCGAGUAUUGCUUGACGUUAAGCACCGUCUCAUGUCGAGUACUAGUUCUGGACGACAUCUAGUCACUUCGGCCCGCACAUGGAUUGGAUUUGAAGUCUCCAGCCAAAAGACUCUUAACUGAAGACUUAGGGGACUCAUGUUGUACCAUAUGUUGGGCCUCGAUACAUCGGCUUCAUUACUGAGCCCAUAAUUUAUGUAAGAGAAGGAAACCCUUAUUCUAUAAAAGGGAUCCUCCUCACCUUCACUGAGGGGGGACUUAAGAAGAGACAGAGGGGAAAGGAGAGAGCAAACACUGCCUCUGUUGCCUCCAUGUAUAUCCAACAUUCAUUUACACAAUUAAACGGAAUCAACGUCAGUGUGGACGUAGCCUCAACUUGAGGUGAACCACGAUAUAUCUUUGUGUUCUUGUGCGUUUGUGUGAUUCAUGGCCAGUUUUACGGUGGUCCAAGAUCGACCCGAUUUUGUGCAUCAACAUUUGGUGCCGUCUGUGGGAAUCGAUACGAAAUGCUAUGUAGGAAACCCUUAUUCUAUAAAAGGGAUCCUCUUCACCUUUACUGAGGGGGGACUCAAGAAGAGAAAGGGAAAACAAGAGAGCAGACACUGCCUCUAGUGCCUCCAUGUAUAUUCAACAUUCAUUUACAUAGUGAAAUGGAAUUGACACCAGUGUGGACGUAGCCUCAACCUGAGGUGAACCACAAUAUAUCUUUGUGUUCUUAUGCGUUUGUGUGAUUCACGGUCGGAUUUACGUUGGUCCAAGAUCUACCAGAUUUUGUGCAUCAACAUUUGGCGCCGUCUGUGGGAAUCGAUACGAAAAGCUAUGUCGAUUCUCUCUACUUUUUUCAUCAAACCUCACAACCUCCACGUGAAUCUGCAGAAACCUAAGAACCAAACACCUGCACAGUCACUGCAAAACCCAUGUCUUCCGCUCCAGCUCUCAAUCACGGCAGUAGCAAUGGAAACACAAUCACAGCCUCUCUCUCUCUUUGUCUGCAGUUGUUGAAGCUCGAAGACGCAACAAUGGCGACUGGGUUGAUACGGAAGGCCAUAGCUUCUGCGGCGGCGUCGGAAUCAACGGCGAUGGCGUCGUUUCGUUACAUCUAUGUCCGGGCUAUGGCGUCGGAGGCCCAGGCCCAGCAGGUGGACCUCAAGUCCCGAGACAAAAUGGACAUCAAAACAUUCUCAAUCUACCGGUGGAACCUGGACAACCCGAAGAAGUUGGAGCUCAAGGAGUACGAGAUCAACCUCAAGGAGUGCGGGCCCAUAGUGCUUGACGCCCUCACCAAGAUCAAGAACGAGAUGGACCCCACCCUCACCUUCCGAAGAUCUUGCCGGGAAGGGAUCUACGGCUCCUGCACCAUGAACAUCAACGGCUGCAACGGCCUGACGAAGACACAGUUCAUGGAUUUUUUUAUCUGCUGGAGCCAUGCAGUUUACUUCUGGAGGACUCAAAACUGUCAUCACUUCUUAACCUAAGCGACGCUGACGCUGGAUAACUCGACUAAAAAUUAGUGUCGAUGCUGGCAAACUUGCCGCGAGCAGGUCAUGCAUCCUGCAACUGUCGGUCAUGCCCAACCCACAUGAGAACAUGGAAGAAGAUAAGAACUUUAUCUUUUCUCAAAUGAUUUGUUUAAUAUUAUCACUGUUUAUUAAUAUUUUAUUAUUUAUCUUUAAUCAUUCCUGACCACUACAUUCAUUAUUUAAACUACCUUUAUUAUUUAAAUGUUAUGAUGAAACUUUCAUCAUGAAAGGGACGAGUACAACCCACUAUCCCAUUGACAAACCCACAAAAAAACUCACAAAUGAGAUAAAAGCACUAUUAUCAUCCUUUCCAACUCAUUGUUUGUUAUUUUAAUAUUAUGUUGACCAGAAACACAUCACAUCUCAAACCAUAAUCAUUCCUAUCAUCACUUUAGUAUUAUUACCCUUUGAUGUUGUCGGCCAUCUCCUUUUAAAAUGUUAUAACUUUAAUCAUUUUUUAGAAUAUUUUAUUCAUCAUUUAAAUAUUAGAAUAAAACUUUGGGCUAGCCUUUAUUUGAUUACACACUGUUUCACUGUCGGUUUGGAAAAACCCACUAAGGAGAUGAAUUCAUGGCAACCACACCACACACAUUCUAUGUUACAUUAUUAAAUUUCAUUAAAUUAUAUUGUCAUACACAUUUCACUAGGCAUACUACAUUAUUGUAUGUUUAUAUGAUCUAUGUGUGACGUUACCCGCAAUAUGCACACUUUAAUGAUUGAUUACAAUUUAUUAAUUAAACAAGGACCAAAAUUAUGGUGGUCAACACUAUGGAUCAGCUUAUGGAUCACUGAGCCACAUGCUUAUGGUGACAAAGAUUUAGUCCGAAUAGUGAUCUCUUGUCUGACCAGACACUCACUUGCUUAUUUGGCCACCUAUGUGCCUGAACACCCGUGAGCUUGGAUACCCAUUCGUUUGGGCACCUACUAAAUUGAACACCCUUGAGCUCGAACCUCGACUCAUGGACCCAACUUAUGAACCCAACUCAAAGACCCUACAGAUGGUCACGACUCGAUGACCCUACGUAUGGCCUCGACUCAAAGACCCGACUUGUGGACCCGAUUCGCGGAUCCGACACAUAGACCCAUAUACAAACCCACAAAGCGGAUCCGAGUCAUGUCGAGAAUUAACUCAUAAUGAGCUCACGCUGACGUCGAGUACAUACUCGCGAUGAAGAACGCCACAAAUCGAGCCGCCUCGCAACGAGCACUGCCUCCAGCCAAGCAACCGCCCCAGCCAAGAGCGUUGCCUCUAGCCGAGCAGCCUAGCAACGUGUGCUAGGAAUGAUUAUGGUUUGAGAUGUGCUGUGUUUCUGGUCAACAUAAUAUUAAAAUAAUAAACAAUGAGCUGGAAAUGAUGAUAACAGUACUCUUAUCUCAUUUCUGAGUUUUUUCGUGGAUUUGACAAUGGGAUAGUGGAUUGUAUUCGUCCCCUUCAUGAUGAAAGUUUCAUCAUAACAUUUAAAUAAUAAAGGUAGUUUAAAUAAUGAAUGUAGUGGUCAUGAAUGAUUAAAGAUAAAUAAUAAAAUAUUAAAUAAACAGUGAUAAUAUUAAACAAAUCAUUUGAGAAAAGAUAAAGUUCUUAUCUUCUUCCAUGUUCUCCCGUGGGUUGGGCAUGACCGAUAGUUGCAGGAUGCAUGACCUGCUCACGGCAAGUUUGUCAGCGCCGACACUAAUUUUUUGACGAGUUAUCCAGCGCCAGCGUCGCUUGGGUUGAGUAGUGAUGAUAGUUUUGAGUCCCCCAGAAGUAAAUUGCAUGGUUCUAGCAGAGCCGCCUCGCAACGAGCACUUCCUCCAGCCGAGCAAUUGCCUCUAGUCGAGCAGCCUCGCAACGUGUGCUACCUCUAGCCGAGUAUUGCUUGACGUUAAACACCGUCUCAUGUCGAGUAUUAGUUCUAGACGACAUCUAGUCACUUCGGCCCGCACAUGGAUUGGAUUUGAAGUCUCUAGCCAAAAGACUUUCUUGACUGAAGACUUGGAGGACUCCUGUUGUACCAUAUAUUGGGCCUCGAUACAUGGGCUUCAUUACUGAGCCCAUGACUUAUGUAAGAAGAGGAAACUCUUAUUCUAUAAAAGGGAUCCUCAUCACCUUCACUGAGGGGGGACUCAAGAAGAGAGGGAAAACAAAAGAUCAGACACUGCCUUUAGAGCCUCCAUGUAUAUUCAACAUUCAUUUACAGAGUGAAAAGAAAUUGACACCAAUGUGGACGUAGCCUAAAUCUGAGGUGAAUCACGAUAUAUCUUUGUGUUCUCGUGCAUAUGUGUGAUUCACGGUCAGAUUUACGUUGGUCCAAGAUCCAUCGGAUUUUGUGCAUCAACACACUUCGUCAAUGGUGGCCAAACAAAAAUCCUAAACUUUGAUCUAUUCACACUUCCCUGUCUCUCAACUGCGCACUGGAAGCUCAACACAGGAAUUGUAGGACCCCAAAUGUACUCCCUAUGCGAAAGCUGGAUCAAACAUAUAGAAUACAAUACGGAUAACUCAAUAAGAAAACACAAUAUUACAGUUUUUUUACAUCUAAUGCACGAUAACUCAGUAGGAAAACACACCAUUUUGGCUAAACCGAAGUUGAGCAGACAAUACAAAUAAGGAAAUUAUGGAUUUAAAACAACAAAUAAAUUUUGUUCAAAAUUGACUUCUGUCAAUUCCGUCCCACCAAUCAGGACUCUUCAAGUAGGUAGUACAUUUCAAGCAGAUCCUAUGUCGGCCAUUAACCAAAAACACUCCCAAAUCACACCAGUCAGCCAUACAAAGCCACUGACCACAUCAAACAUUAGGCAUGAUUCCAGUAACCAAAUUCAAAGAACAGAGUUCGGAUAACGAAAUGCAAAGAACAAGAUACAUAUAGUAAAAUUCAAGAACAUGAUUCAAAGGAUUUGAACUAUAUUGUAACUUUUUAUAAUGCAUCAAGAAUUUACGAAUGUGUUUGCUCACGUAAACAUACAUCCAUUAUCAAGAUCAAAUACAACUAACAUAUGUGAAUUUACCAAAAAGAUGUAACUGAAUAUUCUGAGAACGAAUUAACUCCAAAUUCUCCUAUGGGUAAGGCUCAGGAUACAAAUAUCUACUCCAAAUAUACAGGAUUGAACAAUCAAAGUUCCCACUUAGAAAAAACAAAUAGCACCCUAAAGAAAAAGUACAACCCACGCACAAUGGCCUUGGAAGUGCAUGUAAAAUCUUGGUUUAAUGAUAAUUUCUCAAUCUACAUAUCUAGAAACUAUCAUAAACUUGACCUUUCUCAUUGCUUUAAACUAAAGAUGAAUCAGGGAACAAAAAAAACCUCACCUCAAGAGCUUUCUCUUCCUCAUAAAUAAAUUUUGAUAGCUUCCUCAUCAAGUCUUUUCUGUCGACUCCCACUAGAGCAUUGCUUAUCUGUUAAUAUAUAUGAUAUAAUACGUCAAUCAAAUAGAUGCUUUCGCAAAGAUUAUGUUGUGUUUGUGCAAAUCUAAGUUUCCAAAUAAGUUAAUGCUGCUAAAUAUAUCCCAGCAUAAAGAAAAUUUGGCCUGGCCAACUUUAUACAACCUUAUAGGGAUUGCUCGUUAUUAGUAACCGACAAAUACAACAGUUUGGCCAACAAUUAUUGGUUUGAGCCAUAUACCAUGUGACCUCAGACAUUGCUGCUCCUAUACAAUUUUACCUUUGAAUUAGAGAUCGUCAGUUGUACGCUUGUCUAAUAUUGAAUUUGCAUAAAAUUAGCCUUUCAAUGUAUAUGCAAAAACAAAACACAAACGAAAAGGAGUAAAAUAACAGUCAUUUCACUACGCAAAUCGUAAGUUGUUCUUAGAGUUUCUGAUAAAACAAACUAUAAAACAAAAGAAUACAAGGUGAUACCAGAUUGCAGCCUCUCUUUUCCACGACUCCAUCCAAAACUGUACCUAAUACAUGCGGGUAAGAAGAAGAUAAGGAAUACAUCCAUGCGGCUAGCUGCCAAAUUGAUGUUUUCUGGUGGCGUAAGAGAAAUCAAAACACAAGGACAGGACUAUAUUGCCUUACCUAAUAUGAGGAUCUUCAAGUUCCUUCUUCACCUCUUCAGGGAGAUCCCAUGAGCACUGCUAUAUCAAACUAUCCUCCUACAUUAUAUGAACUGCAGUUUCAAUGAACAUAAAAAUCCUCUUUAGAAGGUUAUUGGAAUUUCAAACAUGCAGCGUGUUAUGUAUGAAUCAAUUUAUAUAGAGAAGACAAUAAAAUUCAUAAUUUACUGAAAGGGGAGAAGAUUACCAGAAAAUUGAAGUAUUUUCCCGAGAAGUAUUUUCAAGAGAGGGAGAGAGAAAAAUUGACGGACCUCGAAGUUGUCCUGGAUCUUGCGGGGGUCGAGGGCUUAGCCCUAGGGGUCGGCGUCGGGGUUGGUGAGCAUAUCGGGGCGCUGAUACAUGUUGGAGAGGAGGGGGUGGGGCUGAUGCUGGCCUUGGUGUGGAGGCCGGAGUACCCUUUGUCACUCUGCAGACUGCCCUCAACCCACUCUGAUUGAGCCCGACGGAACCCUUUCUACGAUGGUCGACACGUGUACGGUAGAAGCGGUGGCAAUUUCGUAAAUAAAUCGAAAUUUUCAAUCCGUAACAGAAAAGGCAGUGGCAAACUGGCAAUUUUAUAAAUAACUCAAAAUCCAUCUCAAAACACUGUUCAUUUGUACAGCGCCAAUUUCGAUCCUUACUUUAGACUAAAGUAAUUUAUUUAUUAUUUUGUGAGAAUUUUGAUACUUUAUUUUAUAUUUUAAUUGUAGAACAUGCGAAUCUAUUUUGAGCAAAAAACGAUGAAAUGAAAUUUUUUUGGAGUAGAUUCAUGUAUCUUUCAAGAUAAUUGUGUCGAAGUUUCAUAAUUUAUUUCUCAACUGUUUGACCGUAACGAAUAAAAGAAGGUUGAUCAUGCAGUGCUCGCAGUUUUACAUUUUGUUCUUGUUUGGGCCAUAAGUAAUUCAAGAUGACCUUUUUUUUAGGAAAGUCCUUUUUAUAAAAUGUAGACAUUUUUAUCUUUCUAACUCCACCUAGUAGGCUUGAUUUUGAGCGGAUUCGACUAGGAAACAUGUUGAAUAUUUGGCUGCCCAGAUUAUCCAAGUUAGGAUAGAAUUAUAUUUCCUAGUUUAUUAUUUUAAUUGGGUUUCCAAAUUUGUUGGGAGACCUAAUUUAGAUCAUUUGUGCACACUAUAUAUAUUUAGUUGGGUCUUUUUCUAGGGCAAAAAUGUUUUUAGAUUUGGAGAUCUCGGCUUAGGAGCUUUUGACGAUUUGUUACAAAGGUGUUUUCUAUCCUUUCUUCUUAAUAAUAUUUUUGCUUUUCAAUUAUAAAUAUGUGUAACUAAUUCUUUUUAUUAGGACGAGUCCACGAGCCUUAGUAUAAAUUUGUAAUUUAUUUUCAAUUUGUUUAAGGCAUAUUGCUUUGAAUUAUUAAUCAUUGUGUUUAAGCUAUCUAUAUGUCUUAAUGCUUGAUCACCAUUAGGAUGUUUAGCCAAGUAAUUUGAUGCAACUUCUGUUGGAAUGUCAUCCUGAAAUUGAGUAGGGUUUAUUGUGAUUAAUAAUUGUAAUCUCAUUUAAGGCGAAUGUCACGUCAUAAGUGUUGCAUGAUUAAAAAAAUAUAUAUUCACAAAGCUUAAUGAGUCUUGCAUGCUCAUACUUAAUAUGAAUAUCACAGACGGAUUGCGUGUUUCAUAUACGUUAUAGCUUGAAUGCCACAAGUAGAAUAUGCAUUAAAAAAAAUGAGUUUUAACGAAACACUCCCGGUACUGCUCACUUUUAACGAAAAAUCACAUUUUUACCUUUUCCAAGUACUAUUCACUACAUCUUUAUUUGUCAUUUUUCAUUAAAACUAUUUUUUUUUUUUUGACUUUUCGUUAGUUUUCUUUUAGAAAAACAUAACCUUCAUGGUUUGCAUGUGUCAACUUAUACGUAAUUGGUAGAACUGCAGAUGAUUGAUUUUUUCUUCAAAACUAUUUCGAUUCUUUUAUUUACUCUUUGAUGCCGAGUUUUUACUAAAACCAAUUUCAAUUCUUUUAUUUUCUGUUUCUUUUAUUUUUUCACAAUUUCGAAUCUUGUUUUAAAUAGUCAGCUAAGAAUAGGUUUUAAGUACAAUUUAUUUAUAUCAUUUGUGUGAGUUUUAAAUACAAAUGGUUCAUACUACAAUUACCUGUUUUCUUGCAAGUAUUUCAAUCGAUACCCACCAAAAAUAUAGACAGGAACGCACUACCUUAUUAACGUUCCCGGACCACCACCUCCGUCACCGUUCAAGCAUUCUGCUACUUCGCCUGAGUAAUGUCACAUGGAUUUUUAUAUUAAUCGGAAGAGAAAAUUUGCCUACGUAUAAAGUACAUGGAUGUGAACGAUUAGUGUUUCCGUUUGGCUUUGGAGUCUUAAUCUCUAUAAAGCCACUAGAACCAAAGUAAAUGAAUGUGAUACGGUCGGAUUUUAUAAUUCUAGUAGUCAUAUAAGAAAUUUGGUGUAAAAUUAUAAAUGAGGAGUGAAAAAUAGGAAAUGUUGAAUCCAACGAUAUUAAGGGCUGUUUGAUGAUUAUUUUGUUUUUAUUUUUUUAGUUUUUACAUUUUUGAAAACUGAAAUCUUGUUUGUUUAUUACUUUUAGUUUUCAAUUUUACAAAAAAUGAAAACUGAAAACCAAAAAGUGAAAACUCAAGAUCAAAUUUUGAAAACUCAAGAAAAUAGUUUUUAAUUUUCGGUUUUUUUUGUUUUUAUUUUUCUUGAAAACUAAAAACUGAAAAUAGUUACUAAUUAAGAUUUUUGUUUUUUGUUUUAAAAAAAUGAAAAUAAGAAAUGAAAAUUGUAAACAAAAUUGAUUAUCAAACAGUUUAUUUAUUUUUAAGUAAGCAUUUACUUUUAAUAGCGGGACAAAGUCUAGCAGCCAAUUGCUGGCUCUAAAUAACUAGCCUAUCAAUAUGUUCAAUUCCUCUUGAACAUAAUUGGACGGGUUGUGUGCGAGCCGAGUGACAUUCCUAAACCUGUAAUUGCUGGUAAAGUGUAGAUGGCAAGCAGUUAUUGAAUACGGUUUUUUAUUUGUAGAUAUUUUUCCAGCUCUCAAAAGAAUUGUAUGAGAGUCAUCCUCAAAGGUACUUCUUCAAGGAAAAGGAUCAUCACCAAAUCCUUUUCCUAGGGAUCAUCCAUGAUCGCGACCAUUCAUCGUACAUCGUGCGGUCAGUUUUCGUUAGGUACUAUUUAUAUUUAAUUUAAAAUUUUAAAAUAAUUUCUGACUGCAUGAUGGACGGUCCCGAUCACAGAAUCCCUAGGAAAAGGAUCUGACGCCAGAUCAUUUUCCCUUCCCCAAUGACCUUACCGAGGAAUUCUACUGUACUCCGUGUAGGUAUUUUUGUUUACGUUGGAUUGGAAAGGGAUCCUCUCCGAAUCCCUUCCACCAAAUCCUCCCCAUCAAACAAUUCGGGUCCUUGAAAUUUGGUCAAACGGUUAUAAUUAUUUUAAAAUGAACUCUUAUUUGUAGCAGUUUGAUCAAAUUUAAAGGAUUCAGAUUAAUUGAUAGGAAUAAUUUGGUGGAAGAGAUCAGGAGAUGAUCUUUUUCCCGUUGGACUUAGCUGAAUAUUAAUUUGGGCCCCAUUUUUAUUUCCCAUUAUUCUGUUUUGAUCGAUUACUGCAUAAAAACUAUUGGAAGAGUGAAACGCUACCGUUUCAUUUUAUAAAGUGAAAAAGUAGGGCCACAACCCUCUUCUUCUUAUUCGCAAGUUGCCUAAGCCCUCUGCAAGUAAACUUAUUUUUCGAAUGCAGGGGCCGUGCCUCUGCCUCUCCAAAGUUUACCAAUCGCUAUCAAGAACCAACCAAUUGCAUGCUAUGUUUCUCAAAACCCAUCUCCCCCAUGACCAUUUUUACGCAACUAGAUUACUCAAAUUCUAUGCAAUCAACGGAGAAGUUCGCUCCGCAUGUAAAGAGUGUUCGACGAAAGUCCCCACUGGAGUGUCUACCUUUGGAACUCCAUCAUUCGAGCCUGUUCGCGUCAGAAAUUUCCGUCGGGGACGUUUCCUGGCCGACGAGCACACAACUCCCCGGGAGGUUGGCGCCGGUUGAGGGCUGUUGUCGGGCUUUGUCGGGCAAGUCUUGUCCGGCAAGACUCUUCGGGCAAGGCUUGUCGAGUAAGGCUGAAAGAAAAUGACAGAGUUAACUUUGAGAGGUGCCUUUGUGGGGCCUUAGGUGUAGGCCUUGAGGCUCACAAUCAAGGUUAACUUUUAGGUGUUCAGGCGUGCCACUGCCUUCUUCAGCAUGGCAGAUGUAAAAUGGAUGUCGAGUUUUAGUUGGAUAUAUGUAUAUAUCCGAGAAACCGUGUUAGUUAUAACAGGUGCCUUUGUGGGGCCUUAGGUGUAGGCCUUGAGGCUUCCCAUCAAUAACUAAACCAGUGCUCGAACACAUCAUAUUUGUUCUCGUGAUUGCAGGAGUUUUAUAACUAUUAUACUUCUGAUUACCCGAGUCCGAGAGGUAGAAUGAACCCAAAUAGGUGCCUUUGUGGGGCCUUAGGUGUAGGCCUUGAGGCUUCCCAUCAGAAUUCGUUCUUAUACUCAGACUCUCUAGAUCGCAGAACGGAAUGAAUCCAAAUAGGUGCCUUUGCGGGGCCUUAGGUGUAGGCCUUGAGGCUUCCUAUCAGAAUCCAUUCCAUGUUCAGGCGUUCUAUGAUAAUCAUAAUAUAAUAGAAAUAAAACUAAAGGGUAGGUCGAUUACUUGCGCCCCAAGUAACUUCGGACUUCUCGUUUAUCAAGGACUGUCGUGGAUGAGUUAAGUCCACAUAAGGUUUUUUUUUAUGCCUUGAGGCCAAGGACUUUUAACUGAUCAGAUUUACAUGCCCGAGGGCUUAGGACUUGGAUCUGGUUUGAACACUGAAGAUAUAUUCAAAUCGGAUCCAAGUACUGAGAAAGCCUUUGAAUAAUCAUCUUGCUAGAAAUAACUUGAAUAUAACUGGAAGUAUACAACAUAUUGCUAGGCUAAUGAAUGAAAAGACAAAAACAAAGAAGGUCGGGCAAGGUUUAACCUUAUCGGGUAAGGCUGAUCGUCUUGCAGGUUCCUAUCUUUAUGGUUUAUCAAGGGUCUGAAAGCUUUAGAGAGAGGGAGAGAGAGAGUUUACAAAAGAUGAAUCGAUACUACAGCAAGGUUGAACAGGGUAGCAGAGCUAUAACAAAGGUUUGAGAGAAGGUUUAUCCCGCGAGGGAUGAAGGCUUGUCCCGAGAGGGAUGAAGGCUUGGGCUGACUACAGCUUCGUUUUGAAGGCAAAUCUGGCUUUAAGCAGAGUUUGUGCUUGCAUUUGUUUGUUUGAUUGAGUCUCCCUAAUCCUUGUGCUUGUGCUCCUUUAUAUAGAGGUCUGGAAGAAACCCCCUGCUGAGGUUUUUGUACCUGCCCGAAAGAAGCUUGGGCAGCUUGCAUUUGCAUUUGCCAACUUGCAUGUAAAAACAAUAUUAAAAUGGAAACUUGCAUCUCCACCACAUGUUUUUAGCACAUGUUUCCCCACUUGUAAUAAACUAACAAUAAAAGAAGAAGCAAGUUGCAUCUCCACCACAUGCCUUUUCCCACUUGCAAUAAAAUAAAUAAAAGAAGCAAACUAGCUUCUUUCACUACACAUUCUUGCCCGAAAGCUCUCCCAUCCACUUGCAAUACAUGCAUGUAUCUUGAUUAAACAAAUGCUUGACAAACCUCCACCACCCAAACAAAUGGGAAAAACAAUAUUAUAGUGCCAAAACCCCCCACUUGCAGCCAAAUAUCUUUCCAAGUUAGUUUUCUUGCUCAUUAAUCCUCCAAAUCCCAUUUUUUACCCAAAUUGCCCAAAUAAGUAAAAAUGGGUAUAUUUUGAGUGCAAACAGUGCCCCCCAAGUUUUACAAAUUUGAGCAAAAUUUGUGAAACUUACAACUCCAAUGCUGCCAAAAACGAUGUCGAAGGAAAGGCACGUCUACCUCUUCGGUCCUUUUGUCGUUGAUAAACUUGGCAAAAUGAGCAAGGCAAUUCGGUAGUGCAACUAGCAUUGAAAAGAAUGUUGUCUGACUUGUGUUCCUUCUUGUUGAUACCAAAAAACAUAGGAGCAUCCUCACUGGUUACCGAGAUAGUAAACUAGAAAAAUGCCCGAAGUCGGGCAAACUGGAAAAGAGAGUUAAGAGAGAAAUAAACUUGGGCAACUAUUCUUUUUGUCUUUUUCUUUUGGCCUCUUUUCAUAUAACAUAAUAUAAUAUAAUAUAAAUACAAAUAUAUAUAUAUAGCCCAUUUGGGCAGAAUACAUAGGAUAAUAUAUAAUAAAAUAUAUAUAUAAGUUAACUUUUAGGCAGACAAAAACUGAGGGAGAGACAGGAAGAAAGAGAAAGGAGAAAAAAGGAAAGAGAAGGAAAGAAGGAGAGAGAAAGAAAUAAUAAGAAAGUAAAAAGAAAGAAAGAGAGAGAGAGCCCUUUCGGGCAAAAUGGAAGAAGAAAGAGAGAGACAAGGAGACAAGACUGACAAGGAGAAAGAGAAAGAGAGAAAAAGAAAGAGAGAAAUAAUAGAUAAAGAAAGAGGGAGGUGCCCUUUCAGGCAAAGAGGAACAGCCUAUAUAUAUAUAUAUACACACACUUAACAUAAUAUAAUAUAAUCUGUCUGUUGCCCUUUCAGGCCAAGUGAAAGACAAACUUGAGAUGGAGACAGAAAGAAGGAAGAGAAAGUGAAGAAAAAGAAAAGGAGAGAGGGAGAAAACCUUUCGGGCAACUCACAGCAGCACAAAGCCCAUUCGGGCAAAUUUUUUUUAAAAAAAGCAACCUUAUUUUUUUAUCUUUUCCUCUUUUAUUUACUUACAUAUUAUAAUAUAUAAUAUAAUAUAAUAUAAUAUACUAUACAUAUAUAUAAAAAGCCCUUUCGGGCAAAAUGAAAAGACCAGAUAAGACAGAAAGAAAGAAAAAGAGAAAGGAAAGAAAAGAAAGGAAGAAGGAAAAAAAAAGGAAAGAAAGGGAAAAGGAGGAGAAGGGUACUGGAGAAAAUGCACAAAGAAUAACACAAAAGAAAGCCAUUCGGGCAAAUUGGAUGAAGCCCCUUGGCUGCUUAAGUGUUAUUUUUCUCUCAACACUCAAAUCUUUUUCUCUUUUUAAAAUUGAGUGUAGAGAGAUCAUACCCUCCAUUUAAAUUGGCCAUGCCAUAUAGCUUGGGAACCAUAGGAGGUGGCCAUUCAUGUUUGACCCCAAGCUUUGUCCUCCUUGAGAUCUUGAUGCGGGCAACAUGCUUGUGUUGGCGGGGAAGAGCGUAAAAGCUUUCUUCUUCGGGCUCCACAUGAGGUGUGGGCUCGUGCCCCCCGAGCGUUGGUGUUUGGCCUACAAUAGCCAUCAUCUCCAUCUUAGCUUGGUCUCCUACAACCAUAUCCAUUUUCAUGGAUUUUUCAUUGGGUGAGGCCAUUGUUUGGCCUUCAUCAACGUGUAUGAUUUGUUCUUCCUUGGUUGUAGUAGGGUGAGCGUGCUUUGUAGAGGGGAUUUGACACAUUUGAUCUAUCAACUUUCUCAAAGUUUCUCCAAAAGUUGUAUAGCUUUCCUCCACCCUUUUAAAACACUUAGUCACCUCUUCACCAUAUUCGAUGCUUGCCACAUGAAGUUUGGACAUCUUCUCUAAUUUGCCCACAUCCUCUUUGUAGAGCUUUUCAUCCGAAUGAUCAUGAGUUGACAUCUCAUAUAUUGGCUCUAUGUACUCAUUGGAAGCAUUUUGAUACUCAAAGCCAUUUGUUGGCCUAUCAUAGUAUUCAUGAAUAUGAUUGUCUUCAAAAGAAUAAUAACCUUCAUCAUAGCCAUAAGUUGGCCAAUCUGCAAGAUUAUUAUUUAUUUGAUGGCCAUUAGUUGGCCGACAAUCAUGUUCCAUGGGACUUGAGUACUCUUCAGCCAUGUACCCAUGAGUUGGCAACUCAUAGGUUGGCUCUAUAUGAUUUUCACCAUAGCCAUGGCUCGGGCAUGCUUCAACACCAUCAUCUUCUUCCCAUUCCGGAAUGUAGGGCUUGAAAGCAUAUCGAGAAAAUCAUAAACAUAAGGAUUGUUCAUGAUCUAACUCCAUAUAAGGAUCCUACCGGGCGUGCCAAAACUAUGUUCGCGUCAGGAAUUUCUGUCGGGGACGUUUCCUGGCCGACGAGCACACAGCUCCCCGGGAGGUUGGCGCCGGUUAAGGGCUGUUGUAGGGCUUCUGCUUCACUGUCGGGCUUUGUCGGGCAAGUCUUGUUGGGUAAGACUCUUCGGGCAAGGCUCGUCGGGCAAGGCUGAAAGAGAAGGACAUAGUUAACUUUGAGAGGUGCCUUUGUGGGGCCUUAGGUGUAGGCCUUGAGGCUCACAAUCAAGGUUAACUUUUAGGUGCUUAGGCGUGCCACUGCCAUCUUCAGCAUGGUAGAUGUAAAAUUGAUGUCGAGUUUUAGUUGGAUAUAUGUAUAUAUCCGAGAAACCGUGUUAGUUAUAACAAGUGCCUUUGUGAGGCCUUAGGUGUAGGCCUUGAGGCUUCCCAUCAAUCUAAACCAGUGCUCAAACACAUCAUAUUUGUUCUUGUGAUUGCAGGAGUUUUAUAACUAUUAUACUUCUGAUUACCCGAGUCCGAGAGGUAGAAUGAACCCAAAUAGGUCCCUUUGUGGGGCCUUAGGUGUAGGCCUUGAGGCUUCCCAUCAGAAUUCGUUCUUAUACUCAGACUCUCUAGAUCGCAGAACGGAAUGAAUCCAAAUGGGUGCCUUUGUGGGGCCUUAGGUGUAGGCCUUGAGGCUUCCUAUCAGAAUCCAUUCCAUGUUCAGGCGUUCUAUGAUAAUCAUAAUAUAAUAGAAAUAAAAUUAAAGGGUAGGUCGAUUACUUGCGCCCCAAGUAAGUUCGGACUUCUCGUUUAUCAAGGACUGUCGUGGAUGGGUUAAGUCCACAUAAGGUUCUUUUUAUGCCUUGAGGCCAAGGACUUUUAACUGAUCAGAUUUACAUGCCCGAGGGCUUAGGACUUGGAUCUGAUUUGAACACUGAAGAUAUAUUCAAAUCGGAUCCAAGUACUGAGAAAGCCUUUUAAUAAUCAUCUUGCUAUAAAUAACUUGAAUAUAACUGGAAGUAUACAACAUAUUGCUAGGCUAAUGAAUGAAAAGACAAAAACAAAGAAGGUCGGGCAAGGUUUAACCUUAUCGGGUAAGGCUGAUCGUCUUGCAGGUUCCUAUCUUUGUGGUUUAUCAAGGGUCUGAAAGCUUUAUAGAGAGGGAGAGAGGGAGAGAGAGAGUUUACAAAAGAUGAAUCGAUAUUACAGCAAGGUUGAACAGGGUAGCAGAGCUAUAACAAAGGUUUGAGAGAAGGUUUAUCCCACGAGGGAUGAAGGCUUGUCCCGAGAGGGAUGAAGGCUUGGGCUAACUAAAACUUCGUUUUGAAGGCAAAUCUGGCUUUGAGUAGAGUUUGUGCUUGCAUUUGUUUGUUUGAUUGAGUCUCCCUAAUCCUUGUGCUUGUGCUCCUUUAUAUAGAGGUCUAGAAGAAACCCCUUGCUGAGGUUUUUGUACUUGCCCGAAAAAAGCUUGGGCAGCUUGCAUUUGCAUUUGCCAACUUGCAUGUAGAAGCAAUAUUAAAAUGGAAACUUGCAUCUCCACCACAUGUUUUUAGCACAUGUUUCCCCACUUGUAAUAAACUAACAAUAAAAAAAGAAGCAAGUUGCAUCUCCAUCACAUGCCUUUUCCCACUUGCAAUAAAAUAAAUAAAAGAAGCAAACUAGCUUCUUUCACUACACAUUCUUGCCCGAAAGCUCUCUCAUCCACUUGCAAUACAUGCAUGUAUCUUGAUUAAACAAAUGAUUGACAAACCUCCACCACCCAAACAAAUGGGAAAAACAAUAUUAUAGUGCCAAAACCCCCCACUUGCAGCCAAAUAUCUUUCCAAAUUAGUUUUCUUGCUCGUUAAUCCUCCAAAUCCCUUUUUUUACCCAAAUUGCCCAAAUAAGUAAAAAUGGGUAUAUUUUGAGUGCAAAUAGAGCCCACACUCAAGCACGCGGAUUUGAAGAUGUAUUUUCUCUGUUUGCUGAGAUGCGUAGAACUGAAAUCAAACCGGAUAACUUCACUCAUGCUUGCAUUGUACGUGCCUGCGCUGAUAGUUUUGAUUUGGAUGGACUGAAGCUUGUGCAUUGUGGAGUAAUGGUUGCAGGGUUGGGAUUGGACUCCAUUUGUAGCAGUGCACUUGUUUCAGCUUACUGAAGACUCAGCCUUGUUGAUGAAGCAAUCAGGGUGUUUAAUGGGAUUCGACAGCCGGAUUUGGUUUUAUGGAAUUCGAUGAUUUCGGGUUAUGGAAGUGGCGGGUUUUGGGAUACAGGUUUGCAGCUGUUUAGUGAGAUGAGAAGCAUGGAGCUGGUGCCGGAUGGAUACACAAUUGUUGGGUUGCUUUCGGGUUUAGCGGAUUCGAGCUUGAUAAGUAUUGGAGAGGGAAUACAUGGUCUUUGUUUGAAAUGGAAUUUAGAUUCUAAUGCUCAUGUGAGCAAUGUACUUGUGAGCAUGUAUUCGAGAUGUAUGUCUAUGAAUUCUUCACAUAGAGAUUUUAGUGGUUUGUUCGAGCCAGAUUUAGUAACACGGUCUGCUUUGAUCACUGGGUUUUCGCAGUCGGGAGAUUAUGACAAGGCAUUGUUCUUUUUCAAGAAUUUGAACAUGGAAGGUAAGAAGCCGAAUUCGGUUUUGAUUGCCAGUAUGUUGGCUGCUGCUUCUCAGAUGGCGCAUGUAGGGCCUGGUUGUGAGAUACAUGCUCAUGAUUUCCUCUGCACUUAUAGCCAUGUAUUCAAAGUGCGGCUUCUUGGGGAUGGGUACUCGUGUUUUUGAGAUCAUGCCAGAGAAGAAUAUUGUUUCGUACAAUUCUUUAAUAUUGGGUCUUGGUUUGCAUGGACUUGCCUCCGAGGCCUUUAGAAUGUUUGAUGAGAUACUCAGAAACGGAUUGAAACCUGAUGAGUCUACAUUUUCUGCUCUCCCUUGUGCAUGCUGCCAUGCUGGCCUUGUCGAAGAUGGCCGGGAAAUUUUCAGAAGAAUGAAAGAUGAGUUUUGCAUUCAAGCUAGAACGGAGCAUUAUGUUCAUAUGGUGAAACUUCUUGGGAUGGAAGGAAGAUUGGAAGAGGCUUACUAUCUAAUUUUGUCCUUGCCUGAGCCAGUGGACAGCGGCAUAUGGGGAGCCCUUUUAUUGUGCUGUGAUGUAUGUGGGAAAUUUGGAGCUGGCAGAAAUUGUAGCCCGAAGGCUCUCUUUGAAAGUAAUUUGGAGAAAAGUGCUUACAGAGUCAUGCUUUCAAAUAUAUAUGGUGGGAUGAUGCAAAGAAGUUGAGGGAUUCCAUAACAGAAGGAAAACUGAUGAAAAUGCCCGGGCUCAACUGGAUUAAAGGUAGUGAAUUUUUGUUUGAUCAAAAUAUUACUUGUAGUAGGAUUUAAAAUUAGCGACAAAACAAGCUAUCUGUACUAGGAACAGAAUAUUUUUUAUGAGUACGGAAAUCUGACAAGGCUCUUACUCUCUGCGUUAAUCGAAUGCCAUAAAAUCUCGGAUUGGUUUUGCUUGUUUUACCUUCUGAUCUUAUAAGCAGCUCUCUAGUGAUGCAUAAAGAAGGCCAGAGGCAACUAUUAAGAUAUGAAGAUGAUAAACUGAAGGAUAUAAUAUUGUAAUUAUUAAGCUAUAAAGACGAUGAAUUGUCAAAUGCAACUGUCCGUAGCAGUGGAUUUUAUUCUGCUUUGUGAUGUUUUACUGGAAUUGAAAGUGUGUAUAGAGGUGUACAAAGAAAGAAAAGUGUGUAUGGAGUCAAUCAUAAUAUUUGAGGGCCAACUACUUGUAUAUGGAAACAACCCUAACUAUUACAGCUUUGCAUUGUCAUCCUGAAUUUAUCAGACAGCUUAAAAAUUAUCUGUUCACCCGCAUUGGCUCCUCUCCAUCCGAAGAUCUCCAAACUUUAUUAGAUCCUUAUAAUUCCUUGGUGGCAGCAAUUUGUUACGCCGUUGAUAUGGUACUAAAUGAUAUGUGGAAUGUGCCUAAUUUUGUAGUUUUCCUCUCCCCCAUCAGGUGUCAAUCGUUCUGCAUGAUCAUUCAUCAAAGGCAGCAAGUCUAACUGCUCAAGUGUAGUGAGAAACUGCAAACCUUCAGGUAACGUCUUCAGCCCGCAAGCAACAGUGCAAGUGGAGGAUAUUCAUAGAAUCUGAGUAUUCUAGUUGGUGAAGACAGAAUUUUCGAAGAGAUGAAGACAGAAUUCUAGUUGGAGUAUGCAGGUAACGUCUCCAUUUGGUGAAGACAGAAUUCUCGAAGAGGAUUGGGGACCUGGGGACCUGCAAUUUAGUUCCUGUGUAAGGGCGGUCAUCAUAUACUUGCAGCGAGCCCUGGUUGAUCAAUUCAUUUAUAUUUUCUUCUGCUACUUCCUCCAUAAUCUGCACUACUAUCUCUUGAACCAGUCCUUCAGCCACUAGUAACCGUAUAAGUUUCCCUUUGGAAAUCCAGUGGUUCUCAGGGAAGAUGGAACAAUAUAUCAAGCAGUGGUAAAGAGAAUCAGGUAAAUCUCUACAACAUAUUUUUUAUGGAAUGCUUGAAGAAGAAGCUGAUGUCUCAGCUUCUUCGUUGUCUUGAGAGUCUCUGUUUUCUUACAUCUCGACUUCAAUGGUAUUUAAACUAGCAAUAGCGAUCUAACAACUGUGUUUUGCUUAUAGAAGAGAAAUAGAAGAGAAAUAUAGCAAUAUUUAUAGGUUAGAGCUUACGUCAUUCGGUAUAUAUGCUUUGCAGUUUGAUACUUGUUUGCGUUUCUUUCGAGCCUGUCGUAGUGUUGUGGUCUUGUAGACUAUUUCUUUGAAAGCUUCAGGAUGUGGCUUUGUGAUGGAAAUAGAUGCUUAUAGUUUGUGAUGGUUGAGCUUUGUAUUGAAGCAGCCUACAGCAGAAGAAAUGAUGAAGAAGCUGAUGUCUCAACUUCUUAGUUCUCUUCGAAGUUUAUGUUUUCUUGUCUCUCCUUCGAUGGUAUUUGAACUUAGCCAUUUGGUGUUCUACAAAUGUGUUGAUAGCUUAUGCAGCUUGAUGCGACUCUGAGAUGGUAGCACAUGCAAAUUUGUGAUGGUUAUGUUGUGCCUUGGCCCGUUCGUUAGUGCGGAAACGAGAUUCAGAUUACAACCUCACCAUAUUCACACUCAGUUGAACAGAAUAAAAUACAAGAAAUAAAGACACUGAGAGAUUUACGAGGUUCGGCAAAAACCUGCCUACGUCCUCCAAGAGAUAUUGCUCUUCACUAUGAGAAUAACUAGUAAAAGAUACACUUGAGUUAAAUCAACAUAACUCAAACCCCAACCCCUUGUACCCUCACAGAAUUUUACUAAGAGACUCACUCUCCCCAAGAGUUUCUCACUCUCACUCUAUAUUUUUCUCUCCUUUGUGUUUUCCGAAUGCACACCCACUUUCUUCACAAUCGGCAAGCUCACUCCUCUUUGUGUAUGAAAAAUGCCUUCACUUAUAGACAUGCACCAUCAAUUAUGUCAACCACCAAAAACAAAGUUUACGGGGUCAUGUUUCCAAAGUCCACAAAACAUGCUUCCAAAGUCCACAAAGUUGAGAGGAAAUGGUUGCCAACUCAUAAUUAUAUGAGCCAAACAUAACAAUCUCCACCUUGGCGAAUAUACUGUGCAAAAAUCCUUGCACCCAUCACCAAUGUCCAUUGGCCUUACGUACCAGCAUACACACCCUGAAUCAACCUCGUUGGUCCUGUUCCUGAUUCAGUCACUGCCAAUGCAUGUGCAGCUGUUGCAAGCUAAAAAUCACCAUUUAGCUUCAGACAGGAUCUCGACAUAUCCUCGUCUCCUCCAGCAGGUUUUCCUCCUCUUCAUUGUCAACCUGGAAACUUGUCAGUGCACCCAUUUCCAGCAACACCCGUCGAGCCAGACAAAUAUUCCUCACACUUCUCCUCCUUCAGGACCAUCUCAUCACCUGUGAAUCCCAUAGCUCCACCUGCUGCAAAACCUCUGCAACACUUGAGACUAAACAUCACAGGAGAAGUGUUGCUUCGAGUACCUAGAGGGCAUACUCGAAGUCUUCUGCCACAAAAUUGCUACUACUCGAACCAAGAUCAUCCUUUCUUUUUCUCAAAGGACAAUUUUUCUUUUUAUGCCCGAAUUUUUUGCAGUCGUAGCAUUGUAGACCCUUGCCUUUGGAACUUGAUUUGAACCUACUGUCUCCCUCAAAUCCUCCUCCCAAUUUUCUUCCACGAUUCCAACCUUAAACAGCUAAAGCAGUCUCGUGCCCACCAUCAACAAUGGUCUUCUUCUUUUGUGUAUCAUAAGACACCAAAGAAGCAUGCACCUGCUCCAAACUUACUGUAUCUUUUCCAUGCAGUAAGGUUGUCACAAGAUUUUCAUACGAAUCUGGAAGUGAGGUAAGAAGUAAGAGGGCUUUGUCUUCUUCCUCAACCUUAACAUCAACUUUCCGCAAUUGAUCCAAGUAUCCGUUGAACACAUUCAUGUGGUCCAUGAGAUUCCCGCCUCCAUCCAUCUUUAGCUUGUACAGCUUCCGCUUCAGAUGUAACUUGUUGGUCAAACUCUUAGCAAUAUAGAGUUUUUCCAACUUCUCCCAAAGUGCAGGCGCAGAAUCUUCAUCCAUAACAUUAUUGAUAAUGUUAUCAGCUAUACAGUGUCGAAUCGUGCUAACACAACACGCCUCCAGCUCCUCCCACUGGUCAUCUGUCAUUUCUUGAGGCUUCCCAUCUUUUCCCUUCAAAGCUCUAGCCAAGCCUUGUUGAGUCAAGACAUCCUUUACUCUCAUUUGCCAAAGAGUAAAACUGCCUUUCCCAUUAAACUUCUCAACUGAAAAUGACAUGUUUGUAGUCAUCAUGGUGAAUAACAAAUCUGGACCUUCAAUGAACCAAAGCUUCCAACAAAGCUCUGAUACCAAUUGUUGUGCCUUGGCCCGUUCGUUAGUGCGGAAACGAGAUUCAGAUUACAACCUCACCAUAUUCACACUCAGUUGAACAGAAUAAAAUACAAGAAAUAAAGACACUGAGAGAUUUACGAGGUUCGGCAAAAACCUGCCUACGUCCUCCAAGAGAUAUUGCUCUUCACUAUGAGAAUAACUAGUACAAGAUACACUUGAGUUAAAUCAACAUAACCCAAACCCCAACCCCUUGUACCCUCACAUAAUUUUACUAAGAGACUCACUCUCCCCAAGAGUUUCUCACUCUCACUCUAUAUUUUUCUCUCUUUUGUGUUUUCCGGAUGCACACCCACUUUCUUCACAAUCGGCAAGCUCACUCCUCUUUGUGUAUGAAAAAUGCCUUCACUUAUAGACAUGCACCAUCAAUUAUGUCAACCACCAAAAACAAAGUUUACGGGGUCAUGUUUCCAAAGUCCACAAAACAUGCUUCCACAAAACAUGCUUCCAAAGUCCACAAAGUUGAGAGGAAAUGAUUGCCAACUCAUAAUUAUAUGAGCCAAACACAACAGGUUAAGCUUUGUAAAAUCACAUUUAAUGUAAAAUUUCAAUACAAAGUAAAACAUGAUUUUAAUUGAUAUGGGACGAGGAUGGAGAUGAAUGAUAAUGAUAGUAUGUACUACCAAAAUUACUCUUUAUUUUUUGUUAUUUUUUUAUUGAUUUCUUUUGUUACUUUGUGCUUGGUUCAAAUGAAAACUCAAUUAUGGCGCUAGGGCGACGGUCUUUUUUUAUUGAUUUCUUUUGUUACUUUGUGCUUGGUUCUUUUUUUAAAUCAUUAAAAAUUGAUUCUGACCAGCCUUAUUAUGUGGUUUACAAAAAAUAGUCUAAGAAUAUGGUUUUCCAAACCUUUCCCCUCCCCCCAUAAAUUGUGUUACAAAUUUAAACACCAUUUUCUCCACGAAUUUGGAUCCUCUCCUGAGUAGAGGGUUCAAAUCUUGCUGACCAAGAAACACGGACUGUUAGGUCAAAAUCCAACGGCAACAAUUAUUAUAACUUUUAGAGAGUUUCUUUGUUUGUAACAGUUAGAUUUUGAUCCAACGGUCCGUGUUGUUUGGUCAGCAGGAUUUGGACCCUCUGCUCAGGAGAGGAUCCAAAUCCUUUUCUCCACAUUAGACCGUUUCAAACAAGCAUUGAUGCCUCUCGUUCAUAAUUAACGAGAAUCUAAUGUGAAAAAAAUAAAGUUCAGGUGCCUAUACCAAAAUGCAUAUUUCAUUUGGAAUGUGCCCCUUGAAAUUGUUACAUAGAAAUGUUAACGAGACUCCUUCAAAAUGUUUUAAAAUGUUGACUCAGAGAAUUAAUGUUAAAUUGUACCGUGACAUGGAGUCCACGAAGAGUACAACUUUUGAGAAAGUCCUUAAAAUUUCUCAUUCUUAGAUAUUUUUCUUUAUGACUUGUCUGCUUUUAUAGGGUUUGUCCGGCAUACCAAGCUUGGAAACCAUUAAAGGACCCAUUUACGGGAAGGAGAUGGGCUAAACCUCAUAAUGGGGUAACAAUAAUGUAGUUUAAUUUCUCAUUUGGCGAUAAUUAAACGUAAAAUAUCUCACUUACAAGUGAAAAUGAAUACCACUAAACUGUAGUACCAAGUGGCAAGAAUUUGAUGCUCUUGGCUCCUCUUAUUAAACAUGUUUAGGGUUGGGGGAGGUGUGGGGGUCUUUAUAUAAUGAUCUUUAUUGGUAAACCCUUCAGCCACGAGUACAAUUUUGGUCAUAAAUAAUACUGAACAGAUGACAGUUGCUCAUGAAACUGUCAUUUCGAUUUGUCAUAAUAUAGAUUAUCCCUGAAUAUCGUCUGUGUUGGGUAGCGAUAAACACUACGUAAUUAAGAUCUUGAAGCGCUUGUUCGCGAAAACUUCAAUUUUAGCCUCAAAUGCCAAACUUAAACAUAUGAAGGGAUAUGGGUAUGUUAAAUUCAAGAUCUUCAUAUUCAUGACUAAAACUAGUCUAUAAUAGAGUGUGUGUUAAGAAAAAUGCUAACGACUCUCUAUGGUUUAUAUGGCACUUCACAAUUUAACAUUAAUUAUCGUGCUAAUAUUAUAAAAAAAACUGUUAUUAGCAUUCUAAUAAUCUCAUUUUACACUCCUCACAAGUGUAUUUUCUUUCUAAAAUUGGUAUAACAAUCAAGGCUAAAAAAAAUAGUAGAAGUAAGAAAAAAUGAAAAGAAGGUGUUUGGGUUAAUAUUUAAACUUUGGGCUUCAGAAAGGGAAGCCCAAAAAGAGCUCAAGAAGGAGAUUUCGCCCGGGACCCAGCACUUGAGCCCAGAUCAUCCAUCUUAAAGACCAAUUGGCACUCCCCCAUUAAUGCAAAUGCUAGUUGCUUACAAGAAGUGACAACCCAUGGAAAUUCACCAACUAUAGGCCUAAAAGAGCUUUUUGGAUGGCAAACACGUAAAAAGGUUGAUGACUCACUACCAUUCAGUUACUUUCGGGCAAGAGUAGAAAUAACACAGCUGGGCCACUACGUCUAUAAAAGGGGGAAGAGGGCCCAGACACAAGGACAUUCAACCAAUCAAACAAAUAGAUAUACAACUUGUCUCUCAGCCAUGGACCAAAAUAUCGAUAAUAUCGGAUCGUUUUUUGAGAUGACGAUAUUUCGUGACUUAUCUCCUUAAUUAUCGUUAAUAUAUCGCGAGAUGAAACCUAAAAAUACUUGAAAAUUUCUGAAAAGUCUCAAUCUUGCGCAUAGAGGGAUUCGAUGACCACCAUAUCACUUAUGUUUUUGUGAAAAUAUGCUAAAAUAUUUAUAUAUAUGGUUUUAUUUUGAAUUCUUUUUGCAAGAAACAAAUUUGCACAUAUUCCAAAAUUUUUGUGGUAUUAUAUUUUAAAUUGUGUCAAUUAAUUACUUAGUUAAUGGCAUGUGGUUUUUAAUUUUUCUAUUUUUUAUUUGGUCACUUACAUGUAGGGCUGGAAAAAAAUCUCGAAAAUCCCAAACCAAACCGAAAAAGUCCCAAACCCAAACCAAAACCAUCAUGAAGUUCGGGAAUCCCAUCCUGAAAAAUACCGAAAUUUUCGAUAUGGGAUUGGUUUCCAAAUCCCAUUUGUUUGGUAAUCCAGAAAAAUACCGAAGUAUUCAGUUUCCUAUUGACUUUUGGGUUUUAGCUCUUGAAAACUAUUGCCAUGGUUGCUGACUACUCUUCAUAAUAUACUCACUCUACACAUAGAGAUGAUGAAGAUAGUGAAAAUUUUGAAUCUCAUAAGAACUCUAUGUGGUACUAAGUCACUCAUGUAUCUUACCAUGCAAUGUAUAAAGUGUAAAAUAUUGUACUAAUUCAUUAUAUAUAAAUGAUUAUGGUGUGUUUAAACUUCUUUCAUUAAUUACUACAUAUUUUCUACACUCACAAUGUUUGCCAGCUCGCUAUAUAAUCAACUUAAAUCAGUUCAUCAUGCAAUGCAUUUCCUUCUAAUAGAUAAUUGACUAAAUAAACAUCCUGCAAAGUUCCAAUAAAAAUUUCCAAGUUUUUCUUACAAUUUUCGUGGUUUUUAUUCAAUUUUUAUUGAUAUCGAUAAUAUCCCGAUAUUUCUAUCGAAAUUUUCGUGUUUUUAGACUACCGAUAUUUUCGAUAUCAUCGAUAUUUUAGACCAUGCUCUCAACUAAGCAAAUACUCAGAAAGCUGCGCUUUGUCCAAAUUCUGCACAUUUUUAGCCUUAGAUUUCUUGUCGAAAGACAUAUUUUGUCUAUGUAAAAAGCUCUGCUACCUUUUUUUCUUUCUAAAUGCUGUAGUAUCGAUCUCUCAUAUGUAAACUCAUUUCCAGUCAUCCCCUUUAAGUACUCAACCCUUUUGUUACUGCCAAGAGAAGAGACCGCAAGAUGUUUUAACCUUACCCAACAAGGUGAAAUAUCGCCCGACUCUCUUUGUUUUUGCCUUUCCAUUAAUAGAUCUGGUGUUAUAAUGCAUCCAUCAGUAUAUAUGCAAGUCAUUUCCGGUCUCCUGAUAAUCCAAAGUUCCAGUAACUCUCAGAUCUGGUUCACUUAGUACUUUUACUAUCGUAAAGGUAAAUGAAACUAAUGUUUUAAUCUGAUCUGGACCUUCACCCUUUAAAACAUACAAGAUAAACAAAAAGUACUUAAUCUCAAGGCAUAGAAAAGAACUUAAUGUGGACUUAACCCAUCCAUGACAAUCCUUUGAUAAUGAUAAGUUAGAAUAACUUGGGGCGCAAGUAAUCGGCUUAAAUACAUUCAUUCUACAUCUGCCAUACAGAGAUGGUAAUGGCACGCCUUAGCACUUAGUUAGUUUUGAUUGCAAGCCUCACGACUUACACCUAAGGCCCGACAAAGGCACAUUUCAGAACUAACUCUAUCCUAUUCUUGCAGCCCGACAAGCAAGCGAGAACCCAACAGCUAACCGAAGUGCCAACUUCUCGGGGAGCUGUGUGCUCGAGCCAAAGACCAUUUUCCAGUGAAAUUCCUGCCCGAACAUAGUUUUGGCAUGCCCAUAAAUCUUGUAUGCCAAGAAGAUGAAGGAAGGAACAAACCUUCAGGUGGGAAUCAAAACAAAAACCACCAGGAUCUAGCAUGGCAAAUCUCCCCGAAGACUUGCAAGGAUCCGUUUUAAUCGAAAGCUCGACCCCUUCUAAGAGAUCAGGAGAAAAGGUCACAAAUGAAGAUUUGCAGGCUAUUAUAAUGGCUGCGAUAAGGAGCAUGGAAAGAAACUCUUUACAUACAAGAGAAUAAGUAAACAGACUCUGUUCCUUAACAGAACAUCUGCAAAAGAGACUGGAUCUGGAGUACCCUACCCCAAAAAAUAAUCGUGCUAAAGAAACCAUAAGGGAAACUAGCCUUGUGGAUGAAUAAGUUAUUCCUCUGUUUCCUUUACUUGAGGAAAAAAGGAAAAAAGGAAAGAACAAGGAAGAGUACGGAGCCAGUCAGUAUUAGAAAAAUUACUGGAAGUGGAAUUGCCCGACCCCCUAUUUUCACUAAAUAGUAGGAGGCAGAGCGAGCAAGAAAGAGCGAAGUAUGGAAUGCCCCAGUUGAUCGGGGAAUCUAACGGGAAAUAAGAGCUUACCAAAGCAGACAAACCUCCACCUUAUAGGUCACCACCAAUGGUCACUAAAGAAUGAGGGUUCAAGUGGAGAAAGUCCGAGGCAAGAAAUGAGAUUAACUCGGGCAAUGAUCGUAGCCUAAAAUGAGAAUCACGUCUUUGUACUCCGUCUAUUAAUGCAUCCAAUCAGCAACUCAGAGAUGAGUUAGCAGAGUUAAGAAGAAUGGUGAUGAGAAAUACUCAGUCGCAAGCCCGUCUGCUGUUUAGGAUUACUUAUCAGAAGCCUUACUCGGAGUUCAUUAAUGAUUAGAAUCCAUUUCCUCUUAACUUCAAGAUGCUCGCAUUCCUAACUUUCAGUGGAAAAGACAACAAUGUGUCAUAUAGGGAUCACACCUUUAAGUUUUCCGCCCACUGCGUGGCAUUUGAAGAUAACUCCAACUACAAAUUAAGACUAUUUGGAAACUCCUUAGUGGGCUUAGUAUCUCAGUGGUACUUUCUGUUGCCCCCAAAUUCCAUUGCUAACCGAGGGCAAAUGGAAAUGGCUUUCCACGAGCAGUUUUAUAGGAUAAAGUCAGAGAUGACCAUCAACGAUUUGGUUGAGGAAAAACAAUACGAGCAUGAAUCUACUGAGGAUUUCAUUAUGAGGUUUAGGAGGACAAUGAUGAGAUGUCAGUUUCCUAUCAACCAUGUCUAACUCAUAACUAUUGCUCAAAUGCCUUGAGAUUGCCCUUGAGGAAGAGAUUUUAUGACGCACAGUUUAAUGAGCUUCAAGACUUGGUGAUUGCGGCCACUAAGUAUGAGAAGUUGUUGCUUGAGGAGCAGUAACUAAAGCACUCCUCUAAAACACCACCUUUCUACAAAAGUAAAGCCAUAAUUCACCAAGUGGAGUUUGAGGGAGAGCCAGAAUGAGAUGAUGGUCGAGGGAGAGAAGUAAUAGACAUGUAUGCAGCAUAGAUGACCACUCAUUUUAAACCCUUGAUAGUCAAAUGAUUGGUUCAGCCGGUCAAGGAUCAGAAGGUAGUGAUGAACGAUGGUGGAUUCAUCCCCAUGAAACCCCCAAAACACCAGAGCUAUUCUUUUGACUUGACCAAGGCUGCAGAAAUUUAUGAAGAAUUGGUGCAGGCAAAAGUGAUUGUGCCCGACAACACUAAAAAGAUGCCUAAUCCCGAGGAAUUAAGAGGGAAAAAGUAUUGCAAGCUACACUACACAUUCAAUCACUCUAUUACUAACUAUGUCUAAUUUAGAGAUUGGAUACAAGAUCUCAUCAUUAAAGGGAAGUUGCUAUUGGAGAAACCUCAGGCCAACAUGAUUAUUGACACGGAUCCCUUCCCAGAAGCUCCUAUAAACAUGGUCAACCUAAUGUGGGCCAAGAAAGAAGGAGGGAAAACCACUUGGGAAAUGGAAGCAGAAUGAAGGAUCCAUAGAGGAAACUCUCAAAAUACCCAAAAAAUCCAAAGCAGCCAUAAAAGAUUGACUUUUACCACUAAAAAGUUCUGAAAGUGAAAUUCAAAUAGAAGAAGAUUUCAUUCCAUUUCGUAAAAAGGUUACAAGGAUCUUAGUCUAAUAACUUUACAUCUUCGGCAAGAGCAACUACUCUAGAGAAUUAAGUUUGCAUGAUGGUGAAAAUCCGCCCUGGUUCUCCUAAAUACAUGUUGUUAUUCACAAGUUGAACGCUGGAAUCCUCAACCUUCUGGGAAAUCUUUUCCAUCUCUUUUACUUUUUGGGAAAGAUGGUUGUUAAGGGUCACUUUCUCAGCCUUAAAAGAAGACAACUGUUCCUCCAAGCGCUGGAUUUCAGAGUCAACCACUGCUAUCUUUCCUUCUUUCACUAACCCUUCCUCCAACGACUGUCGAAGCACGGUUGUACUCUUUACAUGUUUUUCUUGAAAGAACUUCACUCGAUUUGUUGCCUGCUCCGCCUUCUGAUGCUGAUCCCUUAGUGCCCGCAAAUUCUAAAAAAAACUCAGAAAAGAUUUAUACUGAACCUGGGAUAAUAACUGAGCUUGGUAAAGCUAAAUAAGGGUUUUCUCUGCGUCAUGGAGGUUUUAAGACUGAAGGUAGCUGUAAAGUCCUUUUUCAUUUAAUCCUUGAAGAUCUGACGAGCAUGCUGAAAAGGAGGAAACUCUAAAGAUGUUGAAGAUGACUACAAUUUGGUUUUGAUUUGCCCGAAUUUCUUUACCAAGUCAGGCAAGGAUAAUGCUGGUGAUGCGGAAGGUUCACCUUUCGCACCUUCCACCAUAACAGAAGGAGCAACAUCAGCUAAAGAAAUAUAAAGGAUGGCAAAAGUAGGAGCAGGUGCAUGAAUGGAAGUAGUCGUUGCAAUAGUCUUGGCUCGUUUUUUUUUUUUUUGCCUAGAAAUGGAGGCCCUUGUACCCCUAGAAGCCGAAAAAGAACGUGGAAAAUCUCUUUUACGUACCAAACACGGUGGAUAGUUGCUUGAACCUUCUCCAGAAUCCUAUUGCAACCAAGAAAGAUGUGUUAAAAAUGAGAAUUCACAAGACGAAUGAGGACAAGGCAAAUCUACCUAAGUUAAGCUUGAAGCCUUGGAAGGAAGGGGAGUUACUUCAGUUGAUUGCUAAGGGAGAUUGUCAUGGCUAACUAAGGGAAGAUAAGCUAUGCUCGAACUUUCAACAAAAACCUACAAUUAACAGAAGCAGGAAUAAAGUUAGUAAUAAGUUUUGAAAAGAGAAAAACAGAAAGUCUAAAUAAUAAAUAUACCUGAUGGAGAACUUGAGGUUGGGAAACAAACACUUCAGAGACAACAGAAUGAGCUGCCCGCGAGGCCUGCGGAUUAGCCACCUCUAAAACCACGGGAAUUUCAGGGACAAUGGGCUCCCCAAAAAAUAGAAACUGGUGUUUGAUGGAAUUCCUAUGUAAAAGCUUUGCUACCUUUUUUUUCUAAAUGUUGUAGUAUCGAUCUCUCAUAUGUAAACUAAUUUCCAGUCAUCCCCUUUAAGUACUCAACUCUUUUGUUACUGCUAAGAGAAGAGACCGCAAGACGUUUUAACCUUGCUUGACAAGGUGAAAUCUCGCCCGACUCUUUUUGUUUUUGCCUUUCCAUUAAUAGAUAUGGUGUUAUAAUGCAUCCCUCAAUAUAUAUGCAAGUCAUUUCCGGUCUCUUGAUGAUCUAAAGUUCCAGUAACUCUCAGAUCUGGUUCACUUAGUACUUUUACUAUUGUAAAGGUAAAUGAAACUGAUGUCUUAAUCCGAUAUGGACCUUCACCCUUUAAAGCAUACAAGAUAAACAAAAAGUCCUUGAUCUUAAGGCAUAGAAAAGAACUUAAUGUGGACUUAACCCAUCCACGACAAUCCUUUGAUAAUGAGAAGUCAGAAUAACUUGGGACGCAAGUAAUCGGCUUAAAUACAUUCAUUCUACAUCUGGCAUACAGAGAUGGUAGUGGCACGCCUCAGCACUUAGUUAGUUUUGAUUGCGAGCCUCACGACCUACACCUAAGGCCCGACAAAUGCACCUUUCAAAACUAACUCUGUCAUUUUCUUGUAGCUCGACCAGCGAGCAAGAACCUGACAGCCAACCAAAGUGCCAACUCCUCAGGGAGCUAUGUGCUCGAGCCAGGGACACUUCCCAGUAAAAUUCCUGCCCGAACAGAAGGAAAGAAAGGGAAGAACGGAGAUUGACCUCGGCCGAAACUAGGAUUGGCGCCACCGAUUCUGCUCAAAUUUGGAGGCCUCACACGAACAUGUGAGAAAGACUCUCACUCAAGAGAGAACCAGAAGCUUCCAACUUUUGAUGUGAUGUUUAUGUAUAAUUUCCAAACAGGACUUUUGGCAACCUUUCUUCUACCAAUCCAUAAUUAAUUUUCUAAAUUCAUUAUUUAUCGUUGCAUUUUUCACAAAGAAUCCAAUAAUCUCGUAUCAAUAUUAGAUCCAACACAUAUUUGAGCAUACAUCGCAAUCCAUAAUAUAUUGAAACAAUUGCAUUAAUAGAGAAAACAUGUAAGAGCUGGAAUAAUUAAACUAAUCAGGGAGGAAUUAUGAAAAUGAUAGCUAGAACCCAUUAUCCAUGAUUCUGAAUUAAAUUAAUCAAGGAAUUAAGAAAAUGAUCAUAGGAGUUAGAACCCAUUAUCAACGAUCCCAUUCCGAAUUAAACUAAUCAAGGAAAUAUGAAAAUGAUCAUAGGAGCCAGAACUCAUUAUCCACGAUUCCGGAUUAAACUAAUGAGGGAAUUAUAAAAAUGAUCAUAGGAGCCAUAACCCAUUAUCCACGAUUCCGAAUUAAACUAAUCAGGUAAUUAUGAAAAGAGAAAUUUUAUUUGAACCCAUAUAACAUUUUUCUACAUUCAAAUUAAAUUUUAAAUAUGAGGGAUCCUUUUUAACCUUUUACAUAAUUACUAAAACUAAAUUUUAUCAAUAAACCCACACCCAAUACUUUCACCAAUCCUUCUUCUACGAAACUUAAAAUGAGACAAAGAAAUUAGAUCUGUGACUGAAUGCCUCGCAUAAAAAUCACAAGUCCAUGAAGGCAUAUACCACUUCCCUAUCCAUCCUAUAGAAAACUGAGGCAAUCACGCCAACGUCAAGGCAAAGAAGACAGAAGAUGGAGACUAUGUACUAGUUAAAAUUGGUCAAGCACAAAACCAGAUAGCAUGAUAUUUAUGUAAAUAUUCAUAUAACUAAAUUCAAAUGGCAAAGAGCAUAGGCACCUAUAGAAAAAUUAUGGGUUAUUGCUAAAAAGUGGUAACAAGUCAAAGGAAAAUACAUAAACUUUUGGAUAGCGAUUUUGGACCCUCAUUUUAAGUGUUUUGCACUCAAAGGAAGGAGUGCAAGAGAUUCAAUCGAACGUGAAAAUCACUGGCCAAGUUUUUUUCAAACAAUGUAACAAAGAUUUAAAGUCGAAUGUCAAUAGAAAAGUUGUAAUCACCAAAAAGGAUACAAUGAAGAGAGUAAAAUUGCUGAUGGAAUUGGCAACAAUAUGACGGUAGAGGGUGCUGAGGCAGACAUCAAUUACCAUACCUAAACAUGUAUAUAUAAACAUGUCAAACAAAAUAGCAACUGAUGAUUUUCUAACAAAUGCAAAAUAUAACAAGAUUAAAGAAAAACUGCAAGUAGCCUAUGACCUUUAAGUCUCGAAAUCAAACUCAGUAAAAACCAAAUUAGGGAAUGCAUAAAUCAGAAUCUAAAUCAUAUUGAUUUGGUUAUUUUGUAAGAGAUUAAGUUAUCACAAAUUCUAACUUGAUAUGGGUAUAAAGAUAAAUUUACAUAUUGAAUUGGGUUUGUGAGGGUAGUUUAUGUAGUAAAUUUGGUUUAACAAGAUAUUGAUAGUAACUUUAAUUAAAAAGUUAGGUGUAAAGAAAGAUUAUAUGGAUUCAAAUAAAAUUUUCCUGAUGAAAAUGAUCAUAAGAGCUGGAACCCAUUAUCCACGAGUUCGUGGUGGAAGAAAAUGAUCAUAAGAGCCGGAACCCAUUAUUCACGAUUCCACGGUGAAAGACUUGUCGUCAACCUUUUGAAAGUCCAAUUAGAAACUCUUAUCCAAACUCCUGCAAGUAAGUUAGGGUGACUCAAGAAAAAUUAAAAGAAUAAAAUACGUAAAGUGUAAACCAAGGUUCAUAGACGGAUCAAAGUCAAAUCAAAGUCCAUAAAUCUUUGCUUUCCCUUUGCACUAUCAUUCAUCUCCACCUUCACCCAUAAAAAAUAAAUUAAGGAAGCAGUUUGUUCCAGCGCUGAGGUCUUGAAAUUUGGGGGCCGAAUCGAUCACAAAAUGGAGCCCUACAUAUGAGCAACUUUUUUUUUUUCCUCACUUUAUUCUCGUAGAUAAUUAACUAAGAAAAUACUUUACUCGUAGAUAAUUAACCAAGAAAAAAUUAGGCACCUAAUGCAAAUGACAUAUUUGUAAAAAAACGACUCUCCUAGUGAGAAGUCUUACGCGACUUGUGACAAGUUACUUGUCACACCGCACAUGGGUGAUUGUACUAAAUCAAGGUGACAUUAAAGUUUAAUAAAAAAUUGUCACAUGUUUAAAAUUACACUAUUUUUUUAUGAACAAAUGAAGAAUCUCUUGUAUGGGAGAGAAUGAAUAAAAAGAGUGGAUGACGCAACAUAAAGUGAUGAAAUGGUUAUCAACGUAAUCCAUUGCAGAGCAAAAUCUAGAAUCCUUCAGAAAAUUGAGAGAAAUCCCAAAAUGUCACAUCCCGGCCCGGGUCCACCACAUUCCGGCCCGCUCCACCACCGUAACAUGAUAUUGUCCGCUUUGGGCUUAUUCCCUCACAGUUUUUUUUUUUAGGAACUCACGAGCAACUUCCCAGUGGGUCACCCAUUCUGGGAAUGCUCUGGCCUCAUUCUCGCUUAACUUCAAAGUUCCUACGGAACCCGAAGCCAGUGAGCUCCCAAAAAACCUUGUGCUCGGUAGGGAUGAGAAUAUACAUUUAAGGAUCACUCCCCUGGGCGAUGUGGGAUGUUGCACAAAAGGUUUUUGUUUGAUUAAUUCUUGAAUGAUUGUCAUUGAUACAUCUAGAUGACUUAAAUAAAGAUUACAAAUGUUUGGAACAACUCAAAUGACUUCUAAUAAUUACAACAACAUUAGUUAAACAUUAAUCGGACUACAAACGAAGAGUCCGAUUUUUAUUCCGAAACUUUAAACGUUCUUUUGGAGGCUAUCCUUUUAUCUUUCAACAGUCCAUUUCCUCUUCGAUUUAUUCUGCCAUUUAUUCUACAUCAACGAACAACUCAAGGGUCCUUCCUUUGACAGUCCAAUUAGAAACAUAAGCAUAUAUUGACCAAAAAAAGAAGAAAGAAACAUAAGCAUAUAAUUAUUGUCCAAACCACCGAAAGCUAAAGUCUAUAAAUCUUGUUUUCCCCUUGCACUAUCAUUCAUCUCCACGUUGUGGUGAAAGGAUUUUCAAAGUCAUUGUUUCUGCUUCCGAAGAUGAAUGGUUCUUUAGCAAAGCUGAUGGCAAUUACAACACUAGUGUUGCUUCUGAUGGGGGAUUUCCAAGCAACUUGUGGACUACUUCCUCAUGGUAUAUCUAAUAAUUAUCUUCCUUUUAUGAGAUCUCUAAGCCUUAGCAUUAGCUACUUAAUUAAAUCGACUUAGUUUUUACCAAUUUUAUUAUUUGGUAGCUAAUUUCUUGCUUCUUGUGAUUUUCUCAUAUAAUUGAACAAGAUUGCUUUGAAUGUCAAAGUGAUAUUUUGAGCACGAAAGUGGUGCCCGUUCGCCGCAGCCUAAGACCAUUCAAAAGGCCACCACCCGCACCUGCUCGCAAUAAACCGGAAUCGCAUACGCCUGAGGUACAAGUGAAAUAAACAAACAUAAAACCCUUGGCAGAAACUCCCUGGAGCACUUCAUCGUUCCUAUUUUCUUGUAUUUUUAUUUGUUUUCUUAAGAGGAGUUAAGUUUAUAUCCCCCGUUCUUUUAUUGUAUUUUUUACUUUAUUAUUUCUUCUUAUAUUAUGAGCUAAACUUUAUGUCCCCUUACUUAAGUGCAACUUCUUUUUCCUGAUUCUAUAAAAUUUCUCUUAUGCAGUCGAGGUUUCUUUAAAACAAGUGGAACAAACCAACCAACCAACCAACCAACCAACCAAGAAACAGAAAAUUAAGCCACAAUAUUCAAGCAUGAUGACCAAUAGAUAUAAUUUCUAACAAGGUUCUAAAAGACGUUAGGCGCUAGUCGGGUGGCGGGCUGGGGCCUAGCGCCUAGGCAGCUAGAAGGGGUCUAGGUGGGCUCGUAGGCGAACUAGCGGAUUUAAUUAAAUCUAUUAUAUUUUGUAUAAAUAAAAGUCCGUUUAUAUUUAGGGAAUUGGUAUUAGCACUCCAAAAAUCUCAUUUGGCACUCCAAACUUUCUAUAAUUAGAAAGAAAAAUAUACUUAUGAGGAGUGUAGAAUGAUAUUUUGGAGUGCUAAUAACAGUUCCCUAUAUUUAAAAUAUAUAUUAUUUCAUCAUAAACUACAAAAUGAAAUGACAUAUAUAUUAUGAGCUAUUGGAACACAAUAAAAACAUUGCGAACGAGUAUAUAAUGUGUGUUCCCUUAAGUAUUCAACAAGUCUCUUACAAUUUAUUAAAGAAAAAAAGAAAAUGUAAUAUGAAAGUUAUCUAUUUUUUGUCUAAGUGAGUUGCAACCUAAGCAGGUGUCUAGGCAGGUCCGGGCGGGCUAGGCGGGUGCCUCAGUAGGUCUAGGCACCCUUUCUUAAUUUUCAAACGCCUAGGCAUUAAUCAGGGCAGUGACCAACCACCUAGCGCCUAGGCGGGGAUAUUUAGAACAAUGAUUUCUAUUAACAUUCACCAAUGCAAUUGAAUAAAAAGAACAUUGAAUUCAAAGAACAUAAAAAUUUCAACAAAAGAAAAAAGAAAAAAAAAGACACAUCCAAUAAAUUAAGCAAAGAUUUCAAUCGAUAGGUGAUGAGUCAAUAUUAUUCUAUAUUUGUACUCUAAUCUUAGUUAUAAUUUAUUUGUUAUUUUGUGAGGAUUUUGAUACUUUGCUUUAUCUUCAAUUGUAGGACAUGUGAAUCUAUUUUGAGCAAAAGGCGAUGAAACGAAAAAAAUUUAGAGUAGAUUUAUAUGUCUUUCAAGAUGAUUGUGUCUAAGUUUCAGAAUUUAUUUCCUAGUCGUUUGACCAUAGUGAAUAAAAGAAGGCUGAUCACGCAGUGCUGGCAGCUUGAUGUUUUGUUCUUGUUUCGGCCAUAAGUCAUUCAAGAUGACUUUUUUUUUUUUUAAUUUUUGGGAAAGUCCAUUUUGUAAAAGUGUAAGGAACGUUUUUAUCUUUCUAACGCCACCCGGCAUGCUUGAUUUGGAGCAAAUUUGACUAGGAAACGUGUUGAAUAUUUGGCUGCCCAGAUUGUCCAAGUUAGGGUAGGAAUGUUUUUCCUAGUUUAUUAUUUGGGCUUCCAAAUUUGUUGGGGACCUAAUUUAGAUAGGAUUUCAAUUUCUGCACACUAUAUAUAGGACAAGGAUUGUCUGCCCCAAGCUCUCCUAUGCCCUCCUGUUUGUGUGGUCACGGUUAAGCCACGUCAACAUUUUAUAUUACUAUUCAUUUUUGUCUUAUUAUCUCUAUAAAAAAACAAUAUAAAAUGUUGAUGUGGCUUAACCGUGACCACACAAAACAAGAGGGCACGGGAGGGCACGAGAACAAAGAGGGCAGACAAUCCUUGUCCCUGUAUAUAUAACCGAGUCUUUUUCUAGGGCCAUAAUGUUUUUAGACUUGUAGAUCUUCUUAGGAGCUUUUGAUGAUUUGUUACAAGGGUAUUUUCUAUCUUUUCUCCUUAAUAAUAUUUUUGCUUUCCAAUUAUGAAUAUGCGUAACUAAUUCCUUUUCCUAGGAAGAGUCCACGAGCUUUAGCAUGAAUAUGUAGUUUCUUUUCAAAUAAACUAGGAACGUAUUGAAUAUUUUGCACACUAUAUAUAUAUAUAUAUUUAGCCGAGUCUUUUUCUAGGGCCAGAACAUUUUUAGACUUGGAGAUCUUGGCUUAGGAGCUUUUGACGAUUUGUUACAAGGGUGUUUUCUAUCUUUUCUUCUUAAUAAUAUUUUUACUUUACAAUUAUGAAUAUGUGUAACUAAUUCCUUUUGCUAGGGCGAGUCCACGAGCCUUAGUAAGAAUAUGUAGUUUCUUUUAAAAAAUCUUGUUUGAUACAACUUCUAUUAGAAUGUCAUCAUGAAAUUGAGUAGGACUUCUUGUGAUUGUUAAUUAUAAUUUCACUUAAGGCGAAUGUCAUGUCUUAAGGGAUGCAUGAUUUUUCGAAAGGUUUUCACAAAGCUUAAUGAGUUUUGCAUGUUCAUGUUUGAUCUAAAUAUCACAGACGGAUUGCAAGUUUGAUAUAUGUUCUAGCUUGAAUGCCAUAAGUAGAAUAUGCAUUAGGAAAAUCUAACCUUCAAAGUUUGCAUGUAUUAACUCAUAAGUAAUUGAUAGAACUGCAUAUGAUUGAUUUUUUCAUAAAACUAUUUUAUUUUCUCUUUGCUGCCGAGUUUUUACUAAAACCAAUUUCAAUUAUUUUAUUUUAUGUUUCUUUUAAUUCACAAUUUCAAAUCUUGUUUUAAACAGUUAGCUAAGAAUUGGUUUUAUAUACAAAUUGUCCAUAUCAGUCCCUAUAGGUUUUAGCUACAAAUUGUUCAUAUCAGUCUCUAUAGAGAACGAUCUUACUUGAGCUGUUUAUACUAUUGUUGUAAACUAAACCAAAAAAACCAAUCAAGCAAUAAACAAAACACAACGAUUCCAGAGUUCCUCUAAUAUAGGAGUACCUCUCUAACAACUGAAGCUUUAUUGACUACCAACAAAUACAAGAGAACUAACAAACACAAAGUAUUCUCAAGUAUAUAAACUUAUACCUCUCAAAACUCUAUUCCACAUCCAUCCAUUUAUACUACUAGAUGUCCUAGGUUUACACAAAGUCCCUAGAAUAUAGGAAACCAAAUCCCAAACCAACUAGGAAACACAAAUCCAAAUAUCUUGCGUCCAAGAUAUCCUAAUCCUUUUUAGUUUAGGCAUAUUGAUUUAAUGUCAAAUCCAACAAUCUCUACCUUGGCAUGAAAUCCAUAACGAGGCGUCAACAACUUUUGUUGCUCCACCAUAUCGCAAGAUCAAACUUGCUUCAACUGCACCAAAUCCAGGUAGUGCUCGAACUUAGCUAUAUUAACCACCUUUGUCAACAUGUAAACUGGAUUACCUUCUGCAGCAACCUUUUUUAGACGAAUCUCACCUUCAGCUACCACUUCUCUUACAAAAUGAUAUCGUACAUCAAUGUGCUUAGUCUUAGCAUGAUGUACCUGAUAUCUUGCCAAAUAAAUGGCAGUUUGGCUAUCAUAAUAUACAUCAAACUUGUGUUGUUCUACACUUAAAUCUCCUAACAACCCAGAGUCCACAUUACCUCUUUGAUAGCUUCAACGAUCGCUAUGUAUUUUGCUUCCGUGGUUGAUAAUGUCAUCGUUGGUUGUACUAUUGAUCUCCAACAUAUAGGAUCAUUUGCCAUAGUAAACACAUACCCAGUCAUCGAUCUUCUCUUGUCUAAGUCUCCAACAAAGUCUGAGUCCAUAUAUCCAACUGGGAACUUAUCAAUUCCUUCAUCACAUCUUUCAAAACAAAUACAUUUGUCCCUCGUUCCAUGUAAGUAUCCACUUAGCAGCAUUCCAAUACUCUCUUCCAGGAUUAUACAUGAAUCUACUAACAAUUCCAGCUGCGUGUGCUAUAUCAGGACGAGUACACACCAUAGCACACAUUAAUCAUGCAACCAAAUUAGCACAUGGAAUACCAUCCAUCUUCAUCUUCUCUUCAUUAAUUUUGGGACAUUGUUCACUGCUCAAUUUGAAGUAAGCACCUAAUGGAGUUCUUACAGGCUUAAUGUCUUUUGUUACUCCAAACUUUUGUAACAACUUCUUAAGAUAUUGCUUCUGAGACAAACACACCAAACAUUUUUGUCUAUCCCUUGUGAUUUCCAUUCCCAAUAUUUUCUUGGCUUCAUUGAGAUCCUUCAUUUCUAACUCCCUUCUCAUUUGCUCAUUCAACUUUUCUAUCUCUGAAUUAUUGCUUGAGGCUAUGAGCAUGUCGUCCACAUAGAUUAACAAGUACACAGACGAACCAUCUUUCAACUUCUUACGAUAAACAUAAUGAUCAUAAUGACUUCUUGUAUAGUCUUGACCCUUCAUAAACUUGUCAAAUCUUAAAUAUCAUUGCCUGGACGACUGCUUUAAACCAUAAGGAGAUUUUCUAAGCUUACAAACCAAUCUUUCUUUGCCCUUCACUUGAUACCCCUCGGGUUGUCUCAUAUAAAUCUCUUCAUCCAAAUUACCAUGAAGAAAUGCAAUAUUCACAUCUUGUACCAAUUCAAGGUUGAACUGUGUAACUAAAGCAAGCAAUAUUCGAAUAGAGAAGUGCUUAACCACAGGAGAAAAAAAUCCCAUUGUAAUAUAUUCCCUCUUUCUGAGCAUAUCUUUUAGCCACUAGCCUAGCUUUAAAUCUUACUAAGCUCUUGUCAUCCAUUCCAUCUUUCUUUGCAUAAACCCAUUUGCAGCCAAUUGCUUUCUUUCCUCUAGGUAACUUUACCAAUUCUCAAGUCUUAUUCUUGUGAAGGGAGAGCAUCUCAUCGUUCAUUGCAUCAUGCCAUUUACUCUCUUCUUCACUAUUUAUUGCUUCUUCAAAAUUAGUGGGAAUUUCAGCCUCAAUUACUAGUAAUGCAUAUACCAUGCAGACCAUGCAAUCUUUAUAUCUCACAUGUAAGGAUAUGUCUCUUUUUCCCUUCCUUUGGGCUAUGCAAUCAUUUUGUAUCUUUAGUUCUUCUGAUGGUGUUGCUUCUUUGUGAUCACUCUCUUCAUAUUCAAGUUGAUCACCUUGUCUUUCUUCUUCCACAGCUUUCUUACUUGCCUGUGAAUUCACAAUUACUUGUUCCCCAAGCUCCACCAUCUGAACAUCUUCCUUCAAUUUCAUGUGACUUUCAUCGAAUGUCACAUCUCUACUUACUAUAAUCUUGUUCAACUCGAGACACCAAAGUCUGAAGCCUUUCACACCACUAUUGAAUCUCAUAAUGAUAACUUUAUUGGCUCGUGGAUCCAGUUUUUUUUUUCCUUCACAUGAAAGUAGGCAUUGCAUCGAAACACUCUUAGCUUAUCAUAGUUUUGAGCUGGUUCUCCAGACCACACUUCAAUGGUUGUUCUACCCUCCAAUGUUAUUUAUGGUAGUCGAUUAAGCACAUGACAUGCAUAACUCAAAACUUAUACCCAAAAUCUCUUUGGCAGCUUAGCUUGAGAUAGCAUGCAACGAACUUUCUUGAGCAAGGUCCUAUUUAGUUUCUCUGCAAUUCUAUUUUGCUGUGGAGUAUGUCUAACACUGAAAUGUCAAGUAAUCCCUUCUUUUUUACACACUUUGAAGAAAGGAUCAGAGGUAUAUUCCCCUCCAUUGUCACUUCCCAGUAUCUUAAUCUUCUUUUCAAUCUUGUUCUCCACCAUGUUCUUCCAUUCCAGGAAGAUGUCAAAAACUUCGUCCUUUUGUUUCAUCAUAUAUAUCUAUGAUCUGCGAGAGUAGUCAUCAAUAAAAGAUACAAACCAUAUGUUUCCACCUAAAGAAGCAUUCUUUACAGGCCCCCAAACAUCAGAGUGAACAUAGUCCAAAAUCCCUUUCGUUUGAUUAACAGUUGAGCCAAAUUUCACCUUUGCUUUUUUGUUUAUUUGUCAAGAAUGCAAUAUUCACAAAACUCUACCUUUCCAGUUUUUGCUCAUUUUAAACACCCUUACUCGAUUAAUCCUUGCAAUGCUUUUUCUCCUACAUGUCUUAACCUCAUGUGUCAUAACGCAAACAAGUCACUUUUAUCACUUUGCAUUUCAUCAGCUACCAUAGCCAAUCCAUUUUCCAAAGUUCUUCCUUGUAGCAUAUAAAGUAAGCCAUUUCGAGGCCCUUUCAUUAUGACAAGUGCUCCUUGAGCAUGUUGUUAUCGGAGUAAAACUUGUAGCCUUGUGACUCGAGAAUGCCUAGUGAGAUCAAAAUUUUCUUCAGAUUUGGGACAUACCUUCACCAUGCAAUUCUAGAAUCACACCAUCAUGAUGUUUCCAAUUCCUUGAGUUGUACAUGGGUUAUCAUCUCCCAUAUACACAGUUCCAUUCAUAACUUUGAAGCUUGAAAACUAAUGCCUUUGAGAAGUCAUGUGAUGAGUAUAACCUGUGUUGAGCACCCACUCUUUCGUAUAAUCCACAGUGCUCGAUGUAGUUAGGGCAUAGACAAAUUCCUCAUCCUCAACUUCAACCAUAUUUUCUUCUGAGUCUUCCUUCUUUUUAGUCUUUUCUUUGAUUUUAAGGCAGUCCUUCUUCCAAUGUCCUUUUUCAUGACAAAAAGCACACUCAUCUUUGUCCAAGAACUUCCUAUUCUUUGAGACUCCUCUAGUACGAGACAUACUAUUUUUCCUGUAUGAACCUUCUUUUUCUUUCGAUCUCCUUCUCACCAUCAAAGCUUCAAAGUUAUUCCUUUUUUGCAUGUCAAUGUGUCUCACCUCAUAAUUCAUAAGAGUACUUGAGAUUUCAUCAUACUUAAUUGUCUCCCUGCCAUAAAUCCAGGUAGUCACGAAAGGCUCAUAAGAUUUAGGUAAUGAGUUCAUCAAGAUUAAGGCCUUGUCUUCAUCUUUGAUUAUCUUUUCAAGAUUUGCCAGUUUAGCUAGAAGCUUGUUAAACUCUUCUAGAUGGCCAAUCAUCUUCAUGCCCUCUUUGUACUGGAACCUGUACAACUUGCUCUUGAGAUGCAUUCAAUUCUAUGCACUCUUCUUCAUAUAUUUUGUCUCCAAUGUAGCCCACAAUUAUUUCAUAGAACUUAUGUUCAUCACACCAUACUUCUGUUGCUUUCCCAAGCAUAGCUGAACUGUAUAAUAUGCAUGAGCAUUCAAUCUUUCCCAUUCUAUUUUUUUUCAUUGAAAACAACAUGUCUCCUAACACAACCACCAAACCUUGUUGUAUCAGGACAUCUCGAACCUCACACUGCCACAUAGCAAAGUUGUUCGUUCCAUCAAAUUUCUCAAUUUCAAACCUAAUACUUUGAACCGUCGUCUUGGUUCCACUAGUGCUAGACUUUUCUUCAACAUCAUCACUACUGGUGGAAUCACUAGUCUUCGUCAUUGCUUGAUAGUCACAACCCACAUCAAAACCUAAGCUCUUGAUACCACUUGUUCUAAACUAAACCAAAAAACCAAUAAAGCAAUAAACAAAACACAACAAUUCUAGAGUUCCUCCAAUAUAGGAGUACCUCUCUAACAACGGAAGCUUUAUUAAUUACCAACAAAUACAAGAGAACUAACAAACACAGAGUGUUCUCAAGUAUACAAACUUAUGUCUCUCAAAACUCUCACACACAAAACUCUAUUCCACAUACAUCUAUUUAUACUAAUAGAUGUCCUAGGUUUACACAAAGUCCCUAGAAUAUAGGAAACCAAAUCCUAUACUAAAACUAAAUCCCAAACCAACUAGGAAACACAAAUCCAAAUAUCUUGCGUCCAAGAUAUCCUAAUCCGUUUUAGUUUAGUCCUUCACUCGAUAGGCACACUAAACACUUACCAUUGAAACACGUGAGCAAGCUCUCCUUCACAUCAUCACUUUACCCUAAUAUUUCUCUUACGAGCAGGUUUGUAGUAGUUAUUUCUUCUUCUUCUUCUUUUUCUCGCUCUACCUUCUUUUUCUUUUUUGGUUGGAUCUCCUCCCUCAUUUUCUUUGCUCGUCGGAUCGCGAUGUUGGAACUCAGAGAAAAUGGCAAAAAGCUUUUGUACGUGUACAGUUUGAUAACACUAGAAACCUGAGAGAAUGUCCUUGUUUAUUGAAUGAAACUUGUGGCUAUUAAAUAGCCUUACAAUGCAAUGAAAUAGGAAAUAACAACCCACGAUUUACAUGGCCUAAGAUCGUGGUGCAUGACUAAGUCAGAAACAGAAAGAUAAGCUUGUCCCUCAAGAAUAUGAGGGAUUAUUUGCACGACUAGAAACUAAACCCUAGAAACAAGGAACCUUAACCCUAACGGCUAGGAGACUUCAAAUACUUUAACAUCCUCCCUUAAACUGAAUAUCAUUGAUAAUCAGUUUAUCCCUAGGUAUUUGCAGACACCCAUUGCUUCUCGCAGCUUUGCAAACACUUAUAACUUCAAUGGUUUAGUCAUAACAUCUGCAAUCUGCUCCUGGGUUGAACACUGUUUGAGCUCCACUACUCCAUCAUUGACCAAAUUUCGAAGAAAAUGAAACCGAACGUCAAUGUGCUUGCUACGUCCAUGCAUUACUGGAUUUUUCGAGAGUUUGAUGGUUGAGAUGUUAUCACAGUACACGACAGUAGGUUCAGACUGCUCACAAGUUAGACUUUUCAUAAUCCUCUUUAGCCAAACAACUUGACAAGCACUUGAAGCUACAGUGAUAAACUCAUAUUCGGUAGUGGAAAGAGUAACCACUGGUUGCUUCUUUGAGGACCACGAUACUGCACUUGAGUUCACCAUGAAGACAUAUCCUGAUGUACUUUUCCUGUCAUCCUAAUCUCUUGCAUAGUCACUGUCCGUGUAGCCAAAAAGCUUUUCAUCUCCUCCCUUCCUAUAAAACACCCCAAAACUGGAUGUUCCCUUCACAUACCUUAGAAUCCUCUUUGCUGCCUUCAAGUGAGUCUCCGUGGGGCGUUCCAUAUACCUACUGAUUAAGCUUACAACAAACAUCAGGUCAUGGCGUGUGGCUGUAAGAUACAUAAGACUUCCCACCAUUUGCUUGUAAAGAGUACCAUCGACUCCUACUCCUUCUUCAUCCCUUGUGAGUUUGAAACCAGGAAUCACUGGAUUUUGAACCAAGUUGCACUGAUCCAUGUUGAAUCUUUCAAGGACCUCGUGAGCAUAUUUUCGUUGGCUUAUAAAAACCUCAUCUUCCUUCUGCAACAUUUCAAUCCCCAUAAAAUAUCUUAUUUUUCCGAGAUCAAUCAUGUCAAUUUCAUCCAUCAUAGACUUCUUAAAUUGUUCAAUCAUAACUCCAUCGUUCCCAGUGUUUAUAAGAUCAUCAACAUACAAACAAAUAAUCAAUAUUUUACCUCCAUUUGCUGUUUUAGUGAACAACGUGUGCUCAUGAUGACAUUUGUUGAAGCCUUCUUUGACAAAAUAUGAUUAUAUGCGACUGUACCAAGCUCAGGGAGCUUGUUUGAGUCCAUACAGUGUUUUCUUGAGUCGAUAGACUUUUGAUUCUUCUCCCUUCUGUACGUAACCUGGUGGUUGAUCAACAAAUACUUAUUCACUGAUUUCGCCAUGCAGGAAUGCUGAUUUGACGUCAAGUUGGUAUAUCAACCAACCUUUCUGUGCAGCAAGUGAAAACACUAUGCGAAUUGUGUCCAAGCGAGCCACUGGUGCAAAUACUUCUGCAUAAUCCACUCCAUACUGUUGACUGUACCCUUUCGCCACUAGCCGUGCCUUGUACUUGUCUACUUCCCCAUGCUCAUUGAGUUUGGUUUUGAAAAUCCAUUUCACUCCAACAGAUCUUCCUCCUGGUGGUAGGUUAGUUAAUUCCCACGUCUCAUUUUUCUCUAUUGCCUUGAUUUCUUGAUCCAUUGCUUGCCUCAAUUUCUCACUUUUCACAGUGUCUUCAUAUGUCAUCGGAUCACCAUUAGUGAAUAAGGCUAGAUGAGCUAUAUUCACAUUUUCUUAAUCAGAGAGACCUUGACCAGUCUCAUAAUCUCUCAUCCAUGCAGGAGGUCUUCGUGUUCGUCCUUCUGGGAGUGAGGUGACAUUUGAAGUGUCUUCUUCGAAAGAACCACUGCUGUUGGACCCAUGUUCUUCUAGUUCUUCAGCUGUCUCAGAACCAUUUUCAUUGUUUUCCUCUUCUGUACUUGCUUCUUCAUUAACUUCCCAUUCUAAAUCAGCCAAUAUGGUUUGCUUGUGGACCUCAUCCCAACUCCAUUCUUGGUCUUCUUCAAAGACCACAUCUCUGCUAACAAUUAUCUUGGAAGAAAUAGGAUCAAACAAUCUAUAAGCUUUAGAUUCGUCACUUACUCCCAGAAAUAUGCAUUUGAGACUUUUAGCUUCAAGCUUCACUCUUUUGUUGUCAGGUAUGUGAACAUGUGAAAUACAACCGAAGACUCUAAAGUGCUCCACUGAUGGUUUGAGACCCUGCCACGCCUCUUCAGGUGUUUUGCUUUUCACAGCAAUGGUUGGACUUCUGUUUAGCACAUGUACUGUCCAAUUUACAGCUUCAGGCCAAAAUGUUUUAGGAAUUUUCUUCUCUAUCAGCAUGCUUCGUACCAUAUUCAUUAUGGUCCGAUUUUUCCUCUCGGCGACACCGUUUUGCUGCGGAGUGUAUGUAGCAGUUAAUUGUUUGUGUAUCCCAUUCUCAUUGCAAUAGUUUGUAAACUUUUGUGAUGUGAAUUCACCCCCUCGAUCUAUUCUCAGACUUCGAAUGAAUGCUCCAGUUUCCUCUCCACCCUAGCUUUAUAGGUUUUGAAGGUAGCAAAGGCUUCUAAUUUCUCUAUCAAAAAAUAAACCCAGGUUUUUCUACUAUAAUCAUCAAUAAAGGUGAUUAAAUACCUUUUGUUGUUGUUCGAGGUUGGGUUGAUCGGACCACAGAUGUCCGCAUACACCAACUGAAGAACUUUGGAAGCCCUCCAUAAGCUUUCUUUUGGGAAUGGAUCUCGAUGCUGUCGUCCUACCAAACAACCUUCACAUACUUGCUGAAUGGCUUUGAACUGGGGUAACCCUUCCACCAUCUUCUUUUGUUGAAGUACUUUGAGUCUAUUCCAACUCAGGUGCCCAUAUCGACGGUGCCAAAGAGUGGCCUGAUCUGUGGUUAGAGAAGAGAAGCACUUUGUCUCACUUGGUGGUAGGCAGUGAGCAACCACGAUAAACAUUCUGUUAGGAGUCAUUUUAGUUUCAAUGAUGAGCCCCCUCUCAGGAUGAAAUAUCUUACAUUUAUCUCGUUGAAUGAGCACAGUGAGCCCAUUCUCUUGUAACUGCCCAAUACUUAACAGAUUGUUCUUUAGUUCAGGUACAAAGAAAACUCCCGUGAUCACAUGAACUAUCCCUUUUACCUCUACUCGAACUGUGCCUUUGCCUUGAACAAUAAGACUCGAGUCAUUUCCCAUCUUUAUUGAUUCCUUGAAACUGCUAUCAAGACCAACAAAAAUGUCUCUCUUGCCGCUCAUAUGGUUGCUACACCCAGAGUCAAGAAACCAGAUAUGUUCAGUUUCACCUUUUUUGAAAUUGACAUGCGCCAUCAACAACAUCUCAUCUUUUGUUUCUGCAUAGUUUGCCUUUGGAUCCCAUGCUUUCUUUGGGCAUUCCAACUGAAAGUGUCCCAACUCAUGACAGUUAUAACAUUCUAGGGUCGAUUUAUCAAACCCAGAUUUGCCCCUUCCUCUUCCCCUUCCACGAUAGUUACUGCGACCUCCACCUCGUCCUCCUUGUUGAGUCCCAGAUGUGACUUGCAGCGCUUGUUCCUCCACUACAACAUGGCGACUAAUCCGUUGUUCAUGCACCAACAAACUGCUUUGAAGCUCAUCGAUGGACAAAGCAUCCAGAUCAUUUGAUUCCUCAAUACAACAUAUUACAUAGUCAUAUUUUAGAACCAUAGACCUUAAGAUCUUCUCUAUGAUCACCACAUCCUCCAUGUGCUCUCCGUGAAUCCUCAUCUUGUUGGCAAUGACGAGAGUUCAUCCAAAAUAGUCAUUGACAGAUUCUCCAGCCUUCAUGUGUAGCACUUCAAACUCCUUUCAAAUAGCCUGCAGUUGAGCACGUUUGACACGUGUUGUUCCUUGAUAUUUCUGCUUCAAGGAAUCCCAUAUGUCAUUCGCAGUGUCCUUCUUCAAUAUGGUCUCUAAGAUCGAACGAUCGAUGGCUUGAAACAAAUAGUUUUUGCACUUCAAGUCUUUCAGCUUCUGAUCAUCAAUCACCUUCUUCUGUGCUUCACUUGAGUCAGCUCCCUCUGCUGCUUCAGUGACUCCCGUUUCCACCAGGUUCCAAUACUCUUUGGAACGUAGAAAGUUUUCCAUUAGCAUACUCCAGUGAUCGUAGUGUCCAUCAAACCGUGGAAUCGCAGGUUGUACAAAGCUGCCUUCGGACGUCAUAUCUUUGUUCCUCCACACUAGUUCCCGUGUAGCAGGUUUUGGUCAGGCCCCGUGGUGGGGCUCUGAUACCAGAUGUUAGAACUCAGAGAGAAUGGCAGAAAGCUUUUGUACGUGUACAGUUUGAUAACACUAGAAACCUAAGAGAAUGUCCUUGUUUAUUGAAUGAAACUUGUGGCUGUUAAAUAGCCUUACAAUGCAAUGAAAUAGGAAAUAACAACCCACGAUUUACAUGGCCUAUGAUCGUGGUGCAUGACUAAGUCAGAAACAGAAAGAUAAGCUUGUCCCUCAAGAAUAGGAGAGAUUAUUUGCACGACUAGAAACUGAACCCUAGAAACAAGGAACCCUAACCCUAAUGGCUAGGAGACUUCAAAUACUUUAACACGCUACCCUCCUCCUUCACAUCAUCAUUUGCCCUAAUUGCAUCUCUCUUUCUUAUUCACUCUUUAACCAUCUCUAUUGCUUCCUCCAAACGCCUCUUCAGCUUACAUUCCCCACACCGAUACAUGUCAUGGGAUUUUCCAACAUAAAUGUACAACCCCGAUACGUCUACAUCCUCCAUCAAAAUCUUAUGCUGCUCAGUUUCGCAACCCUGCUUCAUAAUCAUGUCCAUUAUAUCAUUAUGCAACUCACCAUGCUCACGUGAUCUUUCAAUUCCAAAUGACGAAACCACAUUGGAAAGAAGCUCCUUGUCGGAGCUCUUUAAUUCCGGUUGGUCGAACAUGACUGGUUCCGCCUCUUGUUCAUGAUACUGAUCGAAUAGGAUUCAACGACAGGUUCCAGUAUUGGCAGAGGAAUGAACAUCGAAGUAUGAGUGGAUGACAUGGUAGUCAAACUUCACUACAUAUGUACUGAACCGACGGUGAGGAAGACUCGUAGUCACCUAGGUUGUUGAUAGUUCUUUGGCUUACAUCAACUUGUGUACACUACUCCUAUUAUUUGAAUAUAUAUAUGGUGAACUCUCUGCUUAAUUAAUUGAAGUGUUUAUCGUAUUGUUAAAUUACACUUUGUAUAAGAUAAAUAUUAUGACUGGCAUUAUGAUAGAGGAGAUCAAAUUUAAAGAUAUGCGGUUGAGGAUGUGGGAGCAAAAAUUACACCUUCACUAACAAGCCACAAGCAAUGAAAUAUGAGGAUCAAUCGUACAAAAUCCUCUGCUACAUUCCUGUUAGCUUGCUAAGCAAGCAAUUCCAUUAAUUUUUCAGAAUCUACUCAUGAGGGUGGGCGUGGUUAUACCAUGUUAAAUUUCAGGUAGAUGGGCUAUUGGCCCACUACAACAACAUUGAUACUGUCUCUACUUGGCCACCUGCUCAAUCCUUCAAGUGUGGGGUUUUAAUGCAAAAGGCAUCGGUGUUAGUUAAAGUGGGGUAAUUCUAUUUAAAGGGUUUGUUCUCAAGCCUUCUGGCCGAUGCAGGACAGAAGAAUUCUAACAUAUUGGUGUGGUAGUGUUGGCCUCCAUGGAAUCGCUAAUGGAAAAGAACGUCUCCCGCUAAAAGCAGUAGUCUUUAUAUGGUGCAGUUCAGUUGCAGUGAUGCAAGUUAAUUUUCUUUGAGUUUUAAGUUCUUAUUGAUAUACGGAGAAUGAGGAGUAUUACUUACCCUCAUUAAAUAAUUUAUUUACUUAUCGCAUGGAAGAAAACAAGGUUGCUUGAGAUGCAAGAAAAUAGUUCCCGUCCACUGCCGCAGCUUAAGAACAAAUUAUAAUGUCCAAGCCACCUUCACCAACCAGAAAUACAGGAAGGCACCACCUUAUUAACGCUCCCAGACAACCGCCUCCGUCACCGUUCAAGCAUUCCGCUACUCCGCCUGAGUAAUGCCACAUGGAUUUUUAUAAUUAAGUGGAAGAGAAAUGAAGGUGAUAAACUGAAGGAUAUAAUAGUGUAAUUAUUAAGCUCAAAUGCAACUGUCCCUAGCAGUUUAUGUAGCCUAGUCGAACUAAGCUGCCCAUAUGCACCCGUUGGUCGGAAACUCCUUUAUGUAGCCUAGUCGAACUAAGCUGGCAAGCUGUCGGAUUUACCGUUAGGUCAUACCCUCUUUUAACUCCCUUUGGGCUUUUGGUUUUUUAAUCUUUCACGGGCUUUGACUUUAUUUGAGUCUUUUGUGAUCUCUUUUCUGACCUGCACCAUUUUGUGGGUUGAAAAGAACUCUGUAUUAACAUAAAUAUUUAUGAGUGAUUUUGGUUAAGAAAAAGUUGGCUGAAGUCUUCUUAAUUAAAGCUUUCUUUAUUCUUAAAAGAAAAAAAAAUUAGAAUGAGGCACUAAUGAGGCAAGUGUGGACAUCCACCAUAUUUACAACAAAUGAGGCACUAAUGCAAGUGAGGAUUACUUAUUCGUCCAAAUUAAGAUGUCUCUCCUACUUUAUACGAGACUUGUGACAAUUCACUCUAACACCGGCCGGCGCACUGGUCAUUGUACCAAAUUGAGGGCUAGGGUAAGAAUCCAUUAUCCAAGGUGGAAGACUUUGACGUCAACCUUUUAAAAGUCCGAACAGAAACGUAAUUAAAUGUAUGUCUUCUGCGAAUCCAUUAUCCAAGGUGGAAGACUUUGAUGUUAACCUUUUGAAAAUCCAAACAAAAACAUAAUUGCAUGUAAUUAUUCUGCAAACCCCAGCACAUUAAUAUCAUCUUCAAUGAAGAUGUCAAAUUAAGAUGUUAAAUUUCAUUUUUACAGUUGAUGUGAUAAAAUAACAUCAUGUAAAGUCUAAUAUUCCAACCGAGGUGUCAAAUUAAAAUACGUUUUGGUUUCAUAAAAACAAACGAGUCAUAAUUUAAUAAUAAAAUAAUUAAAGCGAAGAAAAGUAAACAAAUAUGUGGGCCCAACAUUACAAUAAAAUUUGGCGUUGCCUGCAACCAAGUGGAGAAUAUCACUCUAUGUAAAAUUUUCAUUUGAAACAAGAAAAUCACUUUUUUUGUCAAAAUAGUCUACGUUGGAUUUUUUACUUUUCCUUUCAAUAUGCUCUUAGGUCUAUAAAUCUUGCUUCCCGUUUGCAUUAUCAAAAGGGGUGUGAUAUCCACACACACCCCAUUUUACUUUUCACACAUCCUUUUAAUUUUUGACCAUCGGAUCGGAUGAAUUAAAGAAUAUCAACGAACAGAAAUUAACAAGGGGUGUGUGAGAAGUAAUUUGGGGUGUGUGGAUAGCACACCCCUAUCAAAAAACACAACAUGGCAGUGAUAGGAUUUUUCAAAGUUAUUUUUUGGGUUCUUUAGAGAAAGACCCUUGAAACUCCUAUUUUCCAAACAAAAACCCACAUAAUAGUAAAUAUUCAAAUAAAACCCAAAAUUCAAAUAGACUACCAUGUAGACAAAUAUGUAACCAAUUAUUACAACAUAUUUAUAACUUAUGCCACAAACCCCUAAUUAUGUCAAUAAAUAUUAUUAGUCACCCUAAUUAUGAUUAGGAAUUAACCCAUAUGGAAAUUUACCUUUCUUGUAUCAUAAAUAUUAGUAACAUGUAUAUAUAUACACUAAUUUAUCCAUAUUCAUAAACAAUUAUGGGCACAAUUUUCAUAUGAAAAAAGAAAAUCCUUUGUAUAAUCAGUUAUUUUGCAUCAAAUAAUAUUGUUUGAUAAAAAAAAACAAACCAAUUAAUGUUCUUUAUGUUGUAGGUAAAUUAUUUUACAUAGAUUAGACAUUUUUUAUUUGUUAUUAUAUAUGCAUGUUAAAAAUAAUUUAUCUAUAUUUAUAUGUAAAAUGUAAGUAAAUUAAUUUUGAAUCAAAUAGCAUUUAUUUUGUAGGUAAAUUAAAAUAGUAGUUACAUUAUUUUGGUCAAGUUAAACAGUGCCUAAAUUAUUUCGUAAAAACUAAACCAAGACAAAUUAUCACCAUUAAAAUGAAACAAUAGAUACGUUAUUUUUUUAUUUGAUUAAACAAUAGGUAAAUUAUAUUGUAGGUACAUUAUGUUUGUAAAAAAAAAAAAGGAAAAUUGAAAGUAGUAGAUAUUAUUUUUAACCAAAUUUCCUUUAUUUGUAGGUGAAUUAUUUGCAUGCAUUUAUAUAUAUAUAUAUAUAUAUAUAUAUAUUAUAUAAAUUUCUUUUGAAUCAAAUAACAUUUCUUUAAUUUUAUAAGUAAAUUAUUUUGCAUGUAUUAUUACUGGACAAAUUUUAUAGUGCCCUUUCAGAUUUUCAUUUGGGUAAGAAAAUGACAAGAUUAAAUUAAAAUUGUCAAAUUUUAUGCAAAUUUGAAAAACAAUUACAAAAUCUUAAGGAAAGUAUAACAUUAGUGCUUUUUUUUUCCAAGAAGCAUUAACAUACAAUUUGUUAUGAUAUAUCAAUAUGCAAUGAUUUUAAACAUUAAUGCAUUUUUUUUAAUUAAUCCCUCCCUUCAAAUCUGCAUAGAAUUUAAUGUAUACAUUAAAAUUGUAAUUAGGGGUGUUUUAGGCAUCUAAAAAUGCAAAAUGUGUAAAGGCAAAUAGAAUUAAUGAAUUUGCUUAUGUGGAGCCUAGUCAUUGGGUUUUAUUCAGGUAAAAAGAUUAUGUCGGAUUUUAUGUAAAGAAACUUGAGUUUCAGGGGCUAAAGUCAUAUUUUUAGUUAUUUAUUUUUUUGCUACCGGAAGUGAGUGCUUCUUCUGCUACCAGAAGGGAAUGAUAAAGACAUACUCCAUUUAGUUUGUCACAUACUCUUAUUUAAUUAUGUUUGUCAUUUUUGUUUGAUUAAUUCAAUUUAAUGAUAGACCUAAUCCUUUUCCAUUUUUUUUAUUUAUCAAAUUGUAUUUGUCAAAUUGGCAUGUGCAACAUGAAGUUUUUAGUCUAAAAAAAAUAAAAAAAAUGAAGCACCCACAGUGCGCAUUGGAGAUUCUACUAAAUUGAGGUGUAUGGUAAUGAGAAAUUUUCAUUUGUCAUCAAGUUUUAAUUUCAAUGACACAAAACUUUAAUAAAUAAUUGUCACGUGUUAAAAAAUUACAAUAUUUUCAAUGAACAAAUGAAGAAUUUCUUGUAUGGUAGAGAAUAAAUGAAAAGAAUGGAUGGCGCGGCACAAAGCGAUGAAAGGGUUAUCAACAUAAUCCAUUAUAAAACAAAAUCUGGAAUCCAUUAGAAAAUUGAGAGAAAUCCCAAAGGGUUUUGUUUGAUUAAUUCUUGAAUGAUUGCUAUUGGUACGUCCAGAUGACUUAAAUAAAGAUUACAAACAUUUGGAACAACUCAAAUGACUUCUAAUAAUUAAAACAACAUUAGUUAAACAUUAAUCGGAUGACAAACGAAGAGUCCGAUUUUUAUUAUGAAAUUUUAAACGCUGUUUUGGAGGCUGAAAUGACCCUGGAUGGCCAAAAUCUAUCGUACGUCACAGCCGAAGCGAUGUGUUGGGCUCGUGGCGUAGUUUCCUUUCCAAAAAGGUAGCACGAGUCUAAAUCAGAGCUCAUAUGCAAGUUCCCACUACAUCCUUUUAUCUUUCGAAGGUCAAUUUUCUCUUUGAUUUAUUCUGUCAUUUAUUCUACAUCAAUGGAAGAAUUAGGGGUCAACCCUUCGAAAGUCCAACUAGAAACAGAAGCAUAUAAUUAUUGUCCAAACCCCUGCAAGUUAAAGUCUAUAAAUCUUGCUUUCCCUUUGCACUAUCAUUCAUCUCCACGUUGUGGUUCGAAGUUAUUGUUUCUGCUCCCGAAGAUGAAUGGUUCUUCAGCAAAGCUGGUGGCAAUUACAACACUAGUGUUGCUUCUGAUGGGGGAUUUUCAAGCAACUUGUGGACUACUUCCUCAUGGUAUAACUAAUAAUUAUCUUCCUUUUAUGAGAUCUCCAAGCAUUAGCAUUAGCUACUUAAAUCGACUUAGUUUUUACCAAUUUUAUUAUUUGGUAACUAAUUUCUUGCUUCUUGUGAUUUUCUCAUAUAAUUGAACAAGGUUGCUUUGAAUGUCAAAGUGAUAUUUUGAGUACCAAAAUGGUGCCUGUUCGCCGCAGCCUAAGACCAUUCAAUAGGCCGCCACCUACACCUGCUCGCAAUAAACAGCCAUCGCAUAGACAUGUUCCACUACCUCCCCCCCCCACCCCCAAAGAAACUCUAAAUCAGGCUUGACUUCCCACCCCACCCCCCGAGGACCAUCUGGGGCACGCGUCGUUCAUAUUUUCUUGUAUUUUUAUUUGUUUUCUUAAGAGAAGUUAAGUUUAUGUCCUCCAUUCUUUUCUUGUAUUUUUACUUUAUUAUUUCUACUUAUAUUAUGAGCUAAGGUUUAUGUCCCCUUAACUAAGUGUAAUUUCUUUUUUUUUUUUCUGAUUCAAUAAAAUUUCUCUUGUAUCGUUGAGGUUUGCUAAAAAAAAAUGGAACAAACCAAGCAACCAACCAAGAAACUAAACAACAGAAAAUUCAGCCAUAAUAUUCAAGCAAGAUUACCGAUAGAUAUAAUUGAAUUCUAAUAUCAUUCACCAAUGCAAUUGAAUAAAAAAAAUUGAAUUCAAAUAACUUCAAAUUUCAACCAAAGAAAAAAAAGGACACAUCCAAUUUAUUAAGCAAAGAUUUCAAUCGAUAGGUGAUGAGUCGAUAUUAUUCUAUAUUUUUACCCUAAUCUUAGUUAUAAUUUAUUUGUUAUUUUGUAAGAAUUUUGAUACUUUACUUUAUAUUUCAAUUGUAGGACAUGUGAAUCUAUUUUGAGCAAAAAACGAUGAAAUGAAAAUUUUGUGGAGUAGAUUCAUGCGUCUUUCAAGAUGAUUGUGUCGAAAUUUCAUAAUUUAUUUCUCAGCCGUUUGACCGUAGUGAAUAAAAGAAGGCUAAUCGCACAGUGCUGGCAACUUGACGUUUUGUUCUUGUUUGGGCCAUAAGUAAUUCAAGAUGAACUUUUUUUUUAGAAAAGUCCUUUUUAUAAAAUAUAAGGUACAAUUUUAUCUUUCUAACGCCACCUGGCAGGCCUGAUUUUGAGCAGAUUCGAUUAGGGAACAUGUUGAAUACUUGGUUGCCCAGAUUGUCCUAGGAUAGGAUUGUAUUUCCUAGUUUAUUAUUUUAAUUGGGUUUCCAAAUUUGUUGGAAGACCUAAUUUAGAUAAUUUGUGCACACUAUAUAUAUUUAGCCGGGUCUUUUUCUAGGGCCAGAAUGUUUUUAGACUUGGAGAUCUCAGCUUAGGAGCUUUUGACGAUUUGUUACAAGGGUGUUUUCUAUCUUUUCUUCUUAAUAAUAUUUGUACUUUUCAAUUAUAAAUAUGCGUAACUACUUCCUUUUGCUAUGGCGAGUCCACGAGCCUUGGUAUGAAUAUGUAGUUUCUUUUCAAUUUGUUUAUGGCAUAUUGCUUUGAAUUAUUAAUCAUCAUGUUUAAACCAUCUAUGUGUCUUAAUGUUUGAUCACCAUUAGGAUGUUUAGACAAGUAAUUUGAUGCAAUUCUGUUGGAAUGUCAUCUUGAAAUUGAGAAGGGUUUCUUGUGAUUGAUAAUUGUAAUUUCACUUAAGGUGAAUGCCACGUCGUAAGUGUUGCAUGAUUUUCAAAAGAUUUUUCACAAAGUUUAAUGAGUCUUGCAUGCUCAUAUUUGAUAUGAAUAUCACAGACGGAUUGCAUGUUUAAUAUACGUUCAAACUUGAAUGCCAUAAGUAAAAUAUGCAUUAGAAAGACCUAACCUCCAUGGUUUGCAUGUAUCAACUCAUACGUAAUUGAUAGAACUGCAUAUGAUUGAUUUUUUCUUCAAAACUAUUUAAUUUUCUCUUUGCUGCCGAGUUUUUACUAAAACCAAUUUCAAUUCUUUUAUUUUCUGUUUCUUUUAUAUUCUCAAUUUCAAAUCUUAUUCAAAUCUUGUUUUAAAUAGUCAGCUAAGAAUCGGUUUUAUAUACAAUUUAUUCAUAUUAGUUAUGUGAGUUUUAAAUACAAAUGGUUCAUACUACAAUUACUUGUUUUCUUGCAAGUCCAUCACCGUUCAAGCAUUCCGCUAAUCCGCCCGAGUGAUCACAUGGAUUUUUAUAUUAAUCGGAAGAGAAAAUUGCCUACGUAUAUAGUACCUGGAUGAGAACCAUUAGUGUUUCCAUUUGGCUUUGGAGUCUUAAUCUCUACAAAACCACUAAAGCCAAAGUAAAUGAAUGUGAUACGGUCGGUUUUUUUUUUUAUAUCUAGUAGUCAUAUAAGAAAUUUGGUGUAAAAUUAUAAAUGAGGAAUGAAAAGUAGGAAAUGUUGAAUCCAACGAUGUUAAGGGGUUGUUUGAUGAUUAUUUUGUUUUUAUUUUUUAGUUUUUACGUUUUUGGAAACUGAAAUCUUGUUUGUUAACAUCUUUCAGUUUUCAAUUUUACGAAAAAUGAAAACUAAAAACCAAAAAGUAAAAACUCAAAAUCAAAUUUUGAAAACUCAAGAAAGUAGUUUUUAAUUUUCGAUUUUUUUGUUUUUAUUUUUCUUGAAAACUAAAAACUGCAAAUAAUUACUAAUCAAGAUUUCAGUUUUUAGUUUUUAAAAAAGUGAAAACAAAAAGUGAAAAUUGGAAACGAAAUUGAUUAUCAAACAGUUUAUUCAUUUUUAAGUAAACAUUUACUUCUAAUUGCGGGACAAAAUCUAGCCGCCAGUUGCUAGCUCUGAAUAACCAGCCCACCAAUAUGUUCAAUUCCUUUAUAACAUAAUUGGAUAGGGUUGUGCACGAGCCGAGUGAAAUUCCUAAACCUGGAAUUGCUGGUGAAGCAUAGAUGGCAAGCAGUUAUAUGGAUACGUGCUUUAUCCGUACACUUUUUUCCAACUCUCGCAAGAAUUGUUUGGGAGUCAUCCUUAGAUGUACUUCCACACUGACCUUCUCGAGGAAUUCUAUUGUACUCCGUGUAGGUAUUUUUGUUUGCCCAGUCGGAUCCUCUUUGUGAGGAUCUUAGGGAUCCUCCAAUCAUAUUCGUUCAUUGUACAUCGCACGGCCAUAAAUCAUUGUAAAUAUUUUUAUUUAAAAUUGAAUAUAAACAGUACCUAAUAAAAACUGACCACAUAAUGUACGAUGAACGAAUGUGACUAGAGGAUCCGGCGAGGAUCCGCUCUCUUUGUUUACGAUGGACUUAGCUGAACAUUAAUUUGGGCCCCAUAUUUAUUUCCCAUUAUUUCCGUUUUGAUCCAUUACUGCAUAAAAACUAAGGAAAACUAUUGGAAGAGUGAAACGCUACCGUUUCAUUUUAUAAAGUGAAAAAGUAGGGCCACAACCCUCUUCUUCUUAUUCGCAGGUUGCCAGAGCCCUCUGCAAGUAGACUUAUUUUUCGAAUGCAGGGGCCGUGCCUCUGCCUCUCCAAAGUCUACCAAUCGCUAUCAAGAACCAACCAAUUGCAUGCUCUGUUUCUCAAAACCCACCUCCGCCCCGACCCUUUUUACGCAACCAGAUUACUCAGAUUCUAUGCAAUCAACGGAGACCUUCACUCUGCACGUCAAGUGUUCGACGAAGGUCCCCACCGGAGUGUCUACCUUUGGAACUCCAUCAUUCGAGCCCACGCUCAAGCAUACAGAUUUGAAGAUGCAUUUUCUCUGUUUUCUGAGAUGCGUAGAACUGACAUCAAACCGGAUAACUUCACUUAUGCUUGCAUUGUACGUGCCUGCGCUGAUAGUUUUGAUUUGGAUGGACUGAAGCUUGUGCAUUGUGGAGUAAUGGUUGCAGGGUUGGGAUUGGACUCCAUUUGUAGCAGUGCACUUGUUUCAGCUUACUCAAGACUCAGCCUUGUUGAUGAAGCAAGCAGGGUGUUCAAUGGGAUUCGACAGCCGGAUUUGGUUUUAUGGAAUUCGAUGAUUUCGGGUUAUGGAAGUGGCGGGUUUUGGGAUAAAGGGUUGCAGCUAUUUAGUGAGAUGAGAAGCAUGGAGAUGGUGCCGGAUGGAUACACAAUUGUUGGGUUGCUUUCGGGUUUAGCGGAUUCGAGCUUGAUAAGUAUUGGAGAAGGAAUACAUAGCCUUUGUUUGAAAUGGAAUUUAGAUUCUAAUGCUCAUGUGAGCAGUGUACUUGUGAGCAUGUAUUCGAGAUGCAUGUCUAUAAAUUCUGCACAUAGAGUUUUUAGUGGUUUGUCCGAGCCGGAUUUAGUUACAUGGUCUGCUUUGAUCACUGGGUUUUCGCAGUCGGGAGAUUAUGAGAAGGCAUUGUUUUUUUUCAAGAAUUUGAACAUGGAAGGUAAGAAACCAGAUUCAGUUUUGAUUGCCAGUAUGUUGGCUGCUGCUGCUCAGAUGGCGCAUGUAGGGCCUGGUUGUGAGAUACAUGCUUAUGUUCUUCGACAUGGAAGCGAAUCGGAUGUCAUGAUUUCCUCUGCACUUAUAGCCAUGUAUUCAAAGUGCGGCUUCUUGGGGAUGGGUACCCGUGUUUUUGAGAUCAUGCCAGAGAAGAAUAUUGUUUCGUACAAUUCUUUAAUAUUGGGUCUUGGUUUGCAUGGACUUGCCUCCGAGGCCUUUAGAAUGUUUGAUGAGAUACUCGGAAACGGAUUGAAACCUGAUGAGUCUACAUUUUCUGCUCUCCUUUGUGCAUGCUGCCAUGCUGGCCUUGUCAAAGAUGGCCGGGAAGUUUUCAGAAGAAUGAAAGAUGAGUUUUGCAUUCAAGCUAGAACGGAGCAUUAUGUUCAUAUGGUGAAACUUCUUGGGAUGGAAGGAAGAUUGGAAGAGGCUUACUAUCUAAUUUUGUCCUUGCCUGAGCCAGUGGACAGCGGCAUAUGGGGAGCCCUUUUAUUGUGCUGUGAUGUAUGUGGAAAUUUGGACCUGGCAGAAAUUGUAGCCCAAGGGCUCUUUCAAAGUAAUUCGGAGAAAAGUGCUUACAGAGUCAUGCUUUCAAAUAUAUAUGCUGGUGAUGGGAGGUGGGAUGAUGCAAAGAAGUUGAGGGAUUCCAUAACAGAAGGAAAACUGAUGAAAAUGCCCGGGCUCAGCUGGAUUAAAGGUAGUGAAUUCUUGUUUGAUCAAAAUAUUCCUUGUAGUAGGAUUUAAAAUUAGUGACAAAACAAGCUAUCUGUACUAGGAACAGAAUAUUUUUUAUAUGUACGGAAAUCUGACAAGGCUCUUACUUUCUGCGUUAAUCGAAUGCCAUAAAAUCUCGGAUUGGUUUUGCUUGUUUUACUUUCUCUUCUUAUAAGCAGCUCUCUAGUGAUGCACAAAGAAGGCCAGAGGCAACUAUUAAGAUGUGAAGAUGAUAAACUGAAGGAUAUAAUAUUGUAAUUAUUAAGCUAUAAAGACGAUGUAUUGUCAAAUGCAACUGUCCAUAGCAGUGGAUUUUAUUCUGCUUUGUGAUGUUUUACUGGAAUUGAAAGUGUGUAUGGAGGUGUACAAAAAGAAAGAAAAGUGUGUAUGGAGUCAAUCAUAAUAGUUGAGGGCCAACUACUUGUAUAUGGAAACAAUCCUAACUAUUACAGCUUUGCAUUGGUACAUAUGUGAUCCUGAAUAUAUCAGACAGCUUAAAAAUUAUCCAUUCACCCUCAUUGGCUCCUUUCCAUCCGAAGAUCUCCAAACUUUAUUAGAUCCUUAUACUUCCUUAGUGGCUGCAAUUUGUUGCGCCCUUGAUAUGGUAAUAAAUGAUAUGUGGAAUGUGCCUAAUUUUGUAGUUUUCCUCUCCCCCAUCAGGUCUCAAUCGUUCUGCAUGAUCAUUCAUCAAAGGCAGCAAGUCUAACUGCUCAAGAGUAGUGAGAAACUGCAAACCUUCAGGUAAAGUCUUC
This 97049-nucleotide long non-coding RNA is filed under the name Malus domestica (apple). Its description in RNAcentral is "long non-coding RNA (MDOM_LNC006296)". Lineage: Eukaryota; Viridiplantae; Streptophyta; Magnoliopsida; Rosales; Rosaceae. The record is from RNAcentral.